This 97650-nucleotide long non-coding RNA is filed under the name Vitis vinifera (wine grape). Its description in RNAcentral is "long non-coding RNA (VVIN_LNC000131)". Lineage: Eukaryota; Viridiplantae; Streptophyta; Magnoliopsida; Vitales; Vitaceae. The record is from RNAcentral.
UUCUUCCGCGAGUCGAUGCUGAAGAAGGGGACUGUGAUGCCAAUGCCGGACAUUAGGGAUAAAAUGCCCAAAAGGUCGUUUUUGCCCCGCAGUAUUUCCUCCAAAUUACCGUUUUCAACCUCCAAACUCGAGGAGAUGAAGAAAAUAUUCCAUGCCGCGGAUAACUCAAGCAUGGAGCACAUGUUCACAGAGGCAUUGGAUGAUUGCGAGAGAGCACCCAGCAAAGGCGAGACCAGGCGCUGCGUCCCCUCCAUCGAGGACAUGAUCGACUUCGCCACCACCGUCCUCGGCCGCAACGUUGUGGUUCGCACCACCCAAUCCGUCGAAGGGUCAAAACAAAACGUAAUGAUCGGGUCGGUCAAAGGGAUCAACGGUGGACAAGUCACCAAAUCGGUGUCCUGCCACCAGAGCCUGUUCCCUUAUCUACUCUAUUACUGCCACUUCGUUCCCAAGGUUCGGGUCUAUGAAGCGGACCUCCUGGACCCGAAAACCAAAGCCAACAUUAACCAUGGUGUUGCCAUCUGUCACUUGGACACCUCCGAUUGGAGCGCAGGUCAUGGUGCAUUCGUAGCAUUGGGUUCGGGCCCUGGCCGGAUUGAAGUUUGUCACUGGAUCUUCGAGAAUGAUAUGACCUGGACCAUUGUAGACUGAUUCAUGACCCACCUUGUCAGCUCAGUUCGAACCACUUGGUCAACCAAGCUGGCGCGACCCCGACAUCUGCUUGUUCGUUUCCUUCAUAACGAGUCAUGGUGAAAUAUUUCAAGGCAUUUGCUUCAUCUAUGUAAGGAUGGUAAUUUAUCUCAGUUGUGCGAGAGCUAAGGAAGGAUUAAAAUGUUGAAAAUUAUAAAAAUAUGGGUAGUUAAAAUUUAGAUAAAUAUAGAAAAAUGUUGGACAGAAAAUUGGUUAAAAAAUACCAGUUUAAAAGAAAUUGAUGGUAAAAUAAGUAAUAAUUUAUGAAAACUCAAAAAAAUAAAAAAUAAAUAAUAAUAUAUAUUUUAAAAUUGUUUUAUUAGAGAAAAUUAUAUAUAUAUGGAUAAAAUUUAUAAUAUUAAUUUGUAAAAGUUGAAAAUAUAUUUAUUAAACACAUUUAAUAUUAAAAUUAUUAUCUAAUUAGUAUAGAUGUAUUUAAGUCUAUAAAAGAAUGAUAAGUGUGCAUAUAUAAUAUUUAAUUAUUAUUUAAAAAUAUAUAAAAAAAAUAAAUUAAGAAGAUUAUUAUGAUGAUUUUCAGAUCCGUUGAAUGAAAUUUUAAAGUACCAUAGUUAAAAGUAAUUCAUUUAAUUUUUUUUUUAAUUUAAUAUUAAUUUCAUGUCUUGGGUUCAGAUGAUGAAGAUUUUAUUAAUAUGAUACUUCAUUCGUACGUGAAAGCAAGAGAAAAGUGACAAAAUCAGGAUAAAAUCCUAAAAUAUUAAAGAAAUAUCAUGAAAUCGAGGAGAAAUAUCAAGAGACUUUAGAGAAAUACUAGGAAUUUUCAUAGAAAUAUCAAAAAAUGUAGGAAAAAAAUAGAGAAAUACUAGUAAAUAACGACAAUAUUGGUUGAUUUUUGGCAAGCCAAGAUUUCCAUCCCUUUUUGGUAUCACGACCGGUCGAUGCACUGAAAUUUGAAGAUAUUUCAUUGAAAUAAUGUUGAUAUUUUCACCCAAAUUUCGCAACGUUUUAAUCUUUGAACCUAACAAAUGCUUUGAUGGCUUCCGAAAGGUGGAAGGUAAUGAAUGAAUGGCUUUCAGUAAUCAGUAUUAGAACAAUGGUGCUUCGCUGGGGCUUCAUUUCCUAAUAAUGGCCUAGAAAUCUAUGAAAGAUGCAAAAUUGAUGUGAGGUCCACGUGAUGUACAUGGACAAAAUUGCUCUUUUAUUAUUUAAGCAUGUGAUAGUUGUGGAAAUGGGCCAAAGAAUUCUCUCAUUACAUGGAUGCAUAUGUGAUGGAUAACAUGACAAAUGCAAUAUUGCAUAAAACAAACAGGGUCAAGCCCUAGUUUUAGAAAUGAAGCUCUUGUACUCAAAACUAGGAGAAUAACGAAGACCUCUCUAACUAAGGUUAUGGCAAAGACCUCCACGAUCAGGGCAAUGGCAAAUACAUAGAUAGAAGGGAGGUUGCACAAUUGCAAAACCUUGGUGAAGGGAGGGAAAUGAGGGUGAAGUCAUGAUGGUGAAAUGACCACAAUCCAAGCCUUGGUAAGUUAUAUAUUAAUGUCCCUCCCAAUCUUAAAGUCUUGAAAUUGAUUUGAUAGGUUCUAUCAUCAGUUUGGCUUGGAAACAAACCAAGAAUCUAAAGCCUAUGAAGUAAAAGAAAAUGAGUGAUGUUAGAGAAAAUGUUAUAAAUUGAAUAGAUUUAUGUUAUUGAAAUUUCUAGAGAGUAGAUAAUUAUACAACUAUUUUGAUAAGCCGAAUACAAUAUUAAGCAAUGGAAUGAAAAUAUUAGUUUGAAAUCUUCAAAUUGAUAACAAAUGUGACAGUGGGAAUCAAGCAAGGAAAAAAAAUAUUGGGAUAUAUUAGCGAUAUAUCGGUGAUAUAUCGUGUAUCAGAGAAGACAAAUAUGAUAUAUAGAUAAGAUAUAUCGUCUGACGAAAAUAUUGGUAAAUAUCGGUGAUACAAGUAAAAUAUCGACCAUAAAUAAGAAAAAAUCGUUGAAAUUUUGGAGAUAUAUUGGAUAUAUCGAAGAUAUAUCGGUGAAAAAUCGAUAAAAAAUUAAAUUAUUAUAAAUAAGUUAAUUUUAAUUAUGCUUUAAUUUAUUUUGUAUGCUAAUUAAAUAUAAAAUCAUAAAUAAAAUUAUCAAUAUUUUUAAAUAAAAAUAUUUUGUAUCAAAAUGUACCAAUAUUUUAAAAUAAAAAUCAUAAAUAUAUUUAAAUAGCAUAAUUAGUAAAUUUGCAAUAAUUUAGUUUUAAAUUAAUUAUUUUAUUUUAUUUUGAUAUUCAAGUGUAAUAAUAGUAUAUUGAGAAUAAAUUAACUUAAUACAUUUUUAAAUUAGUAUAACAUUGAAUUUAAAUUAGUACAUUUUUAUAAUUAAUUAAUGUAUUUUUUAUAGAGGUAAGUAAAUUAACUUAAUAUAGUAAUAUAUUUAAAUCAUAUAAUUAGUAUAUUUAUAAUAAUUUAAUUUCAUAAUGAGUUUACACUUACAAAAUUCACAUUUCUUAUCAGUCGAUACUAUAUAAUUAAAUUUAAUAUUGCAAAUCAUAUCAUACAUAUAUUAAUUUUUUCAACAAAACAAUUUUAAAAUGUCUAUUAUACUUCUAAUUUCAUUUUUAAGAGUUCUUUACUUACAUUUUCAUAAGUUUUGAUGAAUUUUUUGUGUAUCGAUAUUUUGUGUCAAAAUAUCUACCGAUAUAUCUCUGAUAUAUCCGAUAUAUUUGUAAAAUCUAAGUAUCGAUAUAUCCAUGAUUACCGAUAUUUUCAUUCUUGAAAACAAGCUCAUGCAAAAUUUUGAUAUAGCUCUAGUGUUUUGCAUAAUAACCUUUUGAGGUUCAACACUCGAUGUGAGAAUAAACCAAUAUCAAAGUACCUUAUUGAUUUGUAGCCUUAUUCUAACCUAGUUGUAAAAUCUAAUAGGCUUAAUUCUUCUUAACUUUGAUAUAGUUCCCCAUAUAUGCCCCCAUUUUUAUUAAAGCUUUAGCAACUCCCAAGCCAUAAGGCUUUAGGGCACUAGGAUUAAUUAGUGAUUUUCUUCGGAUUCAUACCCUAGUUUCUGGUCAAUUAUAGGUUUUUCCACAUAUGCUUCAAUCUCAAGACACCUACAUUUUGAUGUGAACCUCAACUCUUACCUAGGAGUAAAGGGUACUAAAUUACUCAAUAGGGACUCUUGCCAAAGGCAAACCCAACAACAACUUAAGGAUAAUAAACCCAAAAUUUAUCAUACAAGAACUUAGACCCUUGAUGCCUUCAACCUACCUCACUCGUCUAUGUGCACCAUGUGUUAUAAAGGGUGAACAAGAAAUAUCCACUUGGAUUAUUAAUGGUUUAGGUUUUAAGUUGAACCAUGUUUGUUACUAGGCUACUGCCUAAUCAAGUAAUUUGACCCUUUGUAUUGAUGUAACCUAGUUUCAACUUACUCAGCCUCCAAAAUUUUGAUAAGAAAGACUCUCAAAAUUGAAUUUAGGGUAAGUGCAAGUAUGAGGUACAAGUAUGCACAAGGGUUCCUGUUUUUUUUUUUUUUGGUAAAUUUUUCAUUCUAACCCAUCCUUUACCACCCAUAUAUCAUCACAUCCUAUUCAUAUAAUAUUCAAUAACUACUCACCCCCUGACCUAACCUAAACAUUGUCCUUAAUGUUUUCAAGUAAUAGAGAAUAAAGGUAUGAAACAAUUCAACAAUGAGGAAAAAGAAGGGGGAGAUGGAAGGAUAUCCUCCCAUAGCACUGGUGAAAGUAGAAGGAUGACUUAGAGAAUUAUUUAAAAGCUAUAAAGCGAAAUAAAUAUAAAAUAAGACAAAUAAAAUAAAGAUAGGUAGGCAUUAUUUUAUUUUAUUUUAUUGUUUAAAAAUGGAUCCAAAAUAGGUGCGAAAGGUUAACUUGUUUCUUGUUAAAUAUGAGUUUGAUGGUCCCAUAACUCCAUAACAUCAAUGGGUUGUUUAAUUUUUGCACUGAAAUUAAGAGAAUAAACACGUUGAGAAUAUUCCCCUUUCAUUUAUUUUUCAGGAACUUCUUUUUUGGAACCAUGAAGAUGAUCAUAUGUAAACAGUAUUAUAUGUUAUGGAAAAAAGGAAAAAGUCGAAGUGAUAUGCUAAUUCUGAUGGUGGUGGAGGUGGUGAGAACUGAGAAGAUGGCUGUGAAGGUGGUAGUGGUGGUGGUGAAAGUCCAAGCCUCCGCCAUUUUCCAAAGGGUAAGCCAUCUGAUCAGACCAUUUUUCAGAUGGGCUUUUUGUCAACUCGAGCAAGGAGUCCCUGACAUGGUCAGCUUGAACCAUCUCACUGUCCCUCUUCUGCUACCAAGAUGAGAAAAUCAACAGAUACACAUGAAAAUAAUUUAUCAAACAGUUGAUGAGAAGUGUUCAAGGGUGGCCUUACCUCUACUUUGAACACAUUAGAAACCAGGCCUUUGCAGCUUGUUACAUUUGCAUUUGUCACUUCCAAGCCUAGAGAGCUCAGAGCCUCCAUCAGCCUCGCAAACCCGCCAGCCUUGUGCUCACAAAACACCUUAACGAAGAACUCAUUGCCUUCUAUCUGAGCCACUUCCACUUGGGGCUGCAGCAUAGUUUCAACUUUCACUUCCAAUUGAACACACAGAAAAGAGAAUCACAGAAUGGAAACAAUAAAUAUCAUCAAGUACCUCCAUCUGCUGUGCUUUGUCAUUGUUGAUUUGAUCAGUUUCAUGGUUUUGCUUAGGGAGCCUGCAGGCACUGCCAUUGCCUGCUUCUCCCAUAUGAAUCCCGUUUUGAGCUUCUUCAUUUUCAGUUUUAGACCCAAUGUUAACUCCUGAUCCAUCAUUGUUCAGAAUUUCAGAUUGGACAUUGUUAUGGUUGCUGUUGAUGCCUGCAUUAAUCUUCCCCCCUUCAUCGUCUGAAUGCUCUUCCAGCUCAUCUUGAAGAUCCUUUGCUUGUUUCUGCAACUCCUUCACAAAUUCUAUUGCAUCACCCAGAAUUGAAGCUCUAUCCAACUAGGAAUCAAAAAUACAUCAGAUAUCAGUAAAAAGUACUAAUCAUAGUGUGAAUUAAUCUUGAAGAAUCUUGACCAGGCCAAAGAAGAAUGACAGCCACCUUAGAUAUUUUGGGAACCAAAGCACGAAGCGCAUAGAGUCUAUCAUUAAGCUUCUUCCUUCGCCUCCUCUCAGCGACCAAGUUUUUUGAUUGAGUCCCUUUUCCAGUCCUCCUUCGGUACUUCAAAUCAUCAUCAUCAUCAAUCUGAUCACUGCAGUCUGAUACUGAAUCAGCUUGGUUUGCCAUUUGUUUAGUACUCGAAUCCUUAUCAUCACCCAGCUGCUCCUUGUUUGCUAGAGGCUCCAUCAUUUCUCUAUGCAUGUUUUUGGAAUUGUUAGUACACACCAUCAUGGAUUUCUGCAUUGCCUCCAUCUCCUGAAAUCCACAAUCUGAGGACAUAAAGGGGUUAAUCACCUUCUCUGAAAGAAAUGAGCCAUCGGAUCCUUCAAAGAAGAUAUCAUUCUUGACGCUACUCUCAGAGGUGUAACUGAAUUGCUGCAAGAAGUUCAUGGGAGAGCUGCAUAGGCGGAUUCGUUCAACUGAGAUGUCAAAUGGCAGAUCAUUCAAGUUCUCCAAUGCUGUUACUGGGGAAAUUGUUGCCUGGAAAUGAUUGUUGGGAUCCUUUUCCUCAUCUGCAUUGCCUGCAUUGGCAUUAACUGAGAAGAUUGUAUCAAUAUUGCUUGAAUUCAUCAUGGCUUCCUGCUCCAUCAAGAUUAUGUUGCACUGUGUUGUGACGAAGUUUACUACGUGUUGAUCCUCAGCUACCUAUUUCAAUAAAUAAAUGAAGUUACCAAUUUCAUUUUCAUCAUGAAAAGAUCAUUUUUCUUCAAAUCAACCUGAAAAUACUAUGUUAAGAACUGAUCAGGCACAAUUUGAUGCAGCUAAUUAAUAUUUUCAACAUUAUACGAAACAUUAAUAGUACUUGAUUAGCAACAAACAGUUCAAUUAGUCCUCCCAGCACUGGAAUCAAGAGCCUGGUCCCAACUGUUUCCUGCAAAAACCCAAGUGGAAAAUCAUUAUCUCGAUUGGGGAUAUGGCCUAGUUUAAAUAGGAAUUUGGAAUACUACUCACUUCGAGAACGCUUGAAUCUGAACUAUUACAGAAGUUGAGCCAUCUGGGUUGGUUUGAAAUCAAGGUCUGUCCAUGAAUGCUGCUUAUAAGCAUCUAUGUCAGGUGAAGUUUUAACUGUAUGUCAUUUAAGGCGAAAAGGCUGAAAAAAAGGGAGAUACCCAGAAUCUAGGGAAAUAGAAGAAGGCAAUUGGGCAAGAAGAUCACAAGAUUUGGUUCUUGGAUGCUGCAACAUGGCAUCCCUGCAAGGAAGUACACUGGAAACAGGAAAAAGAAUCUCCUCUUCACCAUUUUGAGUACUGUUUUCGCUUCCAGCACAGCAACAAUCCAUCCAGUCCAGAAACCUAAAACAAAACCGAAUUAUGAAUCAUGAGCUGAUCACAAAUAGCACAAGACAUAGAUUGAAGCUUUUCACUCAACCUUUGAUCUUCACUUAGUUUCCAAAGAACACAGUAGUCCCAGCUUUUCAAUCCCACAAGAGGCCUCAGCCUCUCCUUGAGGCUCUGCACCAUGUUGACCAUUUCUCCUGUAAUUAACAUCAUGCCCACUUCAAAAAACCUGCAUUAAACACAAUUCCAUGACAAACUAUCCAUUGCCAAAAAGUUUAAGCUACCAGAUAACUAGACAAAAAUGAAUAUUAAGCUUGAAUAAUCCUUGGGACUAAGAAAAAACAAAAGAAGAAAGCAAUGAAAAGGAGAAGAAACAAAAGCGAAUAUCCAUACAAACUUGGAUUACUUGAUAGCAAUAGGUAACUGCAACAUCAUCCAAGAGACAGCACCCACUUCAUCCAAGAAAACCCCAUCUCAGCAAAUGGGCUGAGAGAGGUAAAAGCAAAAGCUCAAAUUCUUCGUUAGUCUAAAAUCUUUGGUUUUAUAUUUGGGGUUUUGGCUUUUACUUUGGUAGGUGAAGUGUAGUGCAUGCAUGAGAGAGAGGGUGAGAGUUUUGUAAAGAAGAUAAGAAAAAACGGAAUAUAAAAAGGAUAUAUGAGAAGUAAUGAUGGAAGGGCGUAUCGUGUGAGCUAAGAAGGCGUACAAAAGCCUAACUAAUUCGGUUAUAUAUUCUUUCGUCUCUCAACUACUCUCCUACUUUGAAUCAUAUUGAAAACUACUCUAAAAGAAUCUUCUUCAAUUGGAUAUGUCUUCCAAUGUAAAUAAGCAAAAUAUUCUAAAUUAUCAAAGUUCUAAGAUAAUUGUAGUAUCACGUAUUUAUAUUUUGGAAAAAAAAAAAAACGAAGUUACCAAAGAGGUACUUAUUCAAUUCCUCGUAUUCAUAAUUGAAAAUGCACAAAAAGAAAAAAAAUCUAACUCGUUUGGAUGAAGCUAUAAAUAAUAUGAUUAAAGUAUAAAAAAUAAGACUAAAACAUAAAUGAAAUGAAAUCAAGUUACAAAGCAGUUAGUAUAAAGUAAUUAGGCCUAAAUGCAUACGUAAUAUAACUUAAUUAGUCACACUUUUCUGAAGGUACCUCUCAAGCAAUCUAAUCAAAUCUUUAUAUCUUUAGUACCUUGAUUGUGUUAUCAUAUUUUCACUUACACUAGAGGUGUAAUUUGAUUGAAUUAACCUAACUCAACAUGAAGUUUGGAUGAAUUUGAGCAAUCAUCUUUUAAUACUCGAGUUGAGUUUGGGUUAAGUUUUUUUAACCCGAACUGAAGUUGGAUUUGGAUCAAAAUUUAAACAACCUAAGCCUAACCUGAAUUUGAUUUAAUAUUUUUAUAAUAUUACAAAAAGCUUUUUCACUAGUAGCCAUAUUCAAAUCCAUCAAAGCGUUCCUAUCUAUUGUGGUGCAUCUCAUUUAUGAGAUACAACAAUUAGAUAUCGAGAUAACAUUCUUGAAAGGUCAUCUUAAUGUUAGUAUCUAUAUGAUGCAACCAGAUAUUUUCAUAAUAAAGGGUUUUGUUUGUACAAGAAGACAUAGUGAAAGCAUAGUGGUGCUUUAAGAUCUUGUAGGUAGAUGACAAUCUACUCAUUGGGAAUAAUAUAGAGACAUUGUCACUAGUCAAAAUUUGUUGUCUACUUAGUUCUAUAUGAAAAUCUAGUAGGCACAAUAAAUUCUUGGGAUUAAGGUCCUUAUAGAUGCAAGAUUAUGAAAAUUUUGUUAUGCUAUAUCAUCUACAUUAACAAGCAUUUGUUCAAGUGCAUGAUGCAAGAUAAAAAGGGUUGCUCCAUUUUGGUUUAGAGUUAUCUUUCUCAGAUUAAUUAGUAUCAUUGGACAUUUAAGGAGAUAAUACCUUAUUGGCACAAUUUAUGAGAGUUGAAUUAACUCUUAGUUCAUUUAUAUGCAUAUAAGGAUGUUUUGAUAAUUACAAAAGAUUGUAUAGGGAUUAGUAAACAAUAUUUUUGAAUUGAGCUAAUUAAUUAAUUAGAAGAUCAUGUAGAGUUAAUUAAUCAAUUAAAAUCUUAUUUGGGCUAGAUUAAGUGAUCUAAGCCUAUGAUGGACUCAAGUCACUUAAACCCAGUUAGGAACCCUAUAAAAUACCCCCUUAAGGCUAAUGGUUUCUAUACUUUAGUCUUCCAUCAUCUAAUGAGAGAAAAUCCUAGCCUCCACCCUCCCAAACCUCUCAUCGUUUGUGUGCUAAAGAAAAAAGGAGAGCCAUCGGGUAGGAGAUCUUAGGUUCACAAAACUUCCAAUGGCUAUAAGAUUGAUCUUCAUCGAAAGGAAUUGAUUUGGGAAUAUCCAAAUUAGAGGUAUUGUUUUCUAAAGCACUAUUAUAUAUCUUUUUAAUGUUAAAAAUGGUCUUUAAUUUUUGCUUUUGUUGCAUAAUAUCUAAAUGCCUCAGGUAGUUUUUAUGCGCCUAACUUGAUCAUAGGAUAAAAAAUAGAGUGAUUCGGGAUUCCUUUCAAUCUUAAAGACACGUGAUCAGGAAAUUUAUGAUCGUUAUAAUUCCUUAACUGGAAUUUGACAUAUGCUCUUAGAGAGUUAAAGUAUGUCAAGUGAUUAUAUUAUAGAAGGAUUUGAGACUCAAAGAUUUGAGAGGUUGAUAGCAUCUACCUCAUUAGAUUACAAACACCAAUUCAUAGGAACUCUGCAUGCAAUGAAUAGUAGGUCAUAAACACAAGUUUACAUCUCAUUUUAAUAUCAUAAGAUAUUGGAGUACAAUUGGCUCUCUAUAAUAGGAUGUUGAUUCAACUUCAGAAUUAGAUUUUGAGUUAGUAUUUUCUUAUAGGUCUCAAUAGUACUUCAUGCUCAUAUUCCUUGGUGGUACAUUUAUCGAGGGAUAUUUAGGUUCCUUAUUCAUAUAUAUAUAUAUAUAUAUAUAUAUGCAUAAAGAUGUUUUCGUAAAAACACAAGGUUGCUUUAGAGUCUAUGAAUGGUCUUUUUUUUAUUAUGCUAAUUAAUUAAUUAAGACCAAAUGGGAUAGAUUAAGUGACCUAAACCAUAGAUGAGUGUGGACCCGUAUUUUUCAUCUGUGUUCCUAGUUAAUGGUGAGACUUGCUUUUUAUUAGUGAAAAUUUGAUUUUUGAAAAAGUUAGUCUCCACUUAUUUUAGUUUAUUUUUAAAAAGAAAAUAAAGUAAGAAAGAAAACUUUGUGUAAUUCCUUAUUUGAAAAAAUGACAAGUUUGUAAACCAAAAAUGGAUUUAGGAAUUAAGUUGCCUAUUGGGAAAGUAUGGUAAUAAGUUAUAGCAGCCCUUUAACCUUGUAUAUCUAUGGUCUCUACUAGACAAAUGAAGAAAAUUAUGACAAUUGAUUAAUUAAACAUGAAUAUUGAAAAAAAAAACACAAUACAAGCAAACAUACAACAUGACAUUAGCUAAAAAAUAAAUUACAAGAAUAUAAAAAACUGAUAUAAGCUAAAAGCACAAAAUGAUUUAUUAGAAAAUAUGUUUAUUAUUCCAAAUGUCAUAACACAAUUUUAAAGAAAAUUCAAUUGUUUAUUUACAAAUAAAGUUCAGUUUAUUAACAAAUGAUUUGAUUUAUUUAUUCAAAUUGAAAGAGGUGUUUUUUUAUUUAUUUAUUUAUUUAUUUAUUAGAAGAGUUUAUUGAAUAAAAUUUCAUUUAAAGAGAAAAGUUUGAAUUUGAUUUUAUUUAUAAAAAAAAUGAUUUUUAUUUAUUUUUACUAGAAAAAGAAUGAAUUUUUAUGAUUCUAUUUUCAAGGAAUUCAAUUCAAUUUUUGUUUAAAGACUUUUUUUUUUUACAAAUAAUUAAAAGAAAGUGAUUUUUACAAAAUCAUUUAUAGAAAGAAAAUUCUAAUUUGAUUUUAUUUACAAAGAAAUUGAUUUUUAUUAGUGAUUUUAAAAAGCAUCAAUUUGAUUCUUAUUUUGGGAAAAAAAUUAUGAGGAAAAAGGUUUUAACCAAUUUAUUAAAAAAGAGAAAUUUCAAUUCAAAUUUUAUUUAAGAACAAGUGGCUUUCCUACAAAGUAUUAAAAAAAACUUAACAAAUUUAUUAAAAAGUAAUCUUUUUCUAAAUUUAUUUAGAAAAAGAAUUUCACAAAUUUAUUUAUUUUUCUUUAUUUACAACAAGAGAUUCCAUUAAGAAAUAUUUUUUCUUUUUACAAAUCCUAUUUACAAAAAUGAUUUCACAAUCCAAUUUUUAUUAAAGAUUUUUUUAAAUACAACUUUCAUUUCCAAUCCAAUUUUUGUUUCAGAAAAGAUUUUAUUUCAACUUUUAUUUUCAAUCAAAUUUUUAUUUUAAUAUUUUUUUACCAAUUUACUCAAAAAGGAAUUUUACAAAUUUAUUUCAAGUCCAAUUUUAUUAAGAAAGAAAUUUUGAAUUUUAUCUAUAAAAAAAUUGUUUACCAAUUUAAUAAAAAAUGUAUUUCAAUUUAAUUUUUAUUCAAAAUGUUUUUACAAAUUUUAUUUCUGAAAUUAUUUACAACUCAAAUUUUUUAUUUAAAAAGAGAUUUUUAUUUGAAAAGAAAGAUCUUGACAUUUUUACAAUUUUAUUGAAAGAAACUUUGUAGUUUUUUGUUUUUUAAAGCAUUUCUAGUUUCUAUUUGGAAAAUGAUUUUACAAAUUUAUUUUCAUAAAGUGAUUUUAUAGUUUUUAUUUGGAAAAAGUGAUUUUACAAAUCUUAUUUGAAGAAGUGACUUUGCAAUUUUAUACAAAAACUAUAAGAAUUUUGUAGAAAAGUCACUUAAUUAAAAAGAAAAAGAUUUGAAGUCUUUUUUUACUUUAAAAAAAAUUAGAUUUAUAAAUUUGAUAUUUGAAAAUACAAUGGAAUGAAAUGGAAAGAAACUUCACAAUAAACAUAUGGGAGAAUAUGAAUAAAUUAGAUAAAAUAAUAAAAAGACUAAAGAUAAACAUCAAAACUAAAAUAUAACAAACAUAUAUAUGAGAAAAAAAAAAGUACUUAAAAAAAAUAUACUGUAAACAAAUAUUCCUAAAGAUAAAUAAAAAGAAAUAAAUAAACAAGUAAGGGAAUAUACCCAAUAUUAUGCAGUGAAAGAACAAUAAAACAAAAAAAAAAUAGAGAGUAGUACUCUCCAAGCCAUCCCCAUUGCUUAAACCCUUAGGGUUCUUCACUUCAUAUAACCUCCCAUGGGAAAAUCCAACCCUCCAUGUGUUUAGCAUUCAGGCUUAGCCAAAGAAAUCUAAGAAAUAGGCUCAUGCAUAGAAAAUAAGAAUAGCAUAAAUAAAUAAAUAAGUCUGACACUAAUAACAAACUAUCAUCAAAUUAGUUCAAUAAAUUUCAUCAAUAAAAAUAGGUUCAAAUGAAUAAAUGAAACUUAAUGAAAAUAUCCAACAUACCAUAGUCCCAAAUCCAAAAUUCCAAUUAAUAACCAAUACAACGUAUCUACAAUCCUAAGUUCAAUAUUCAUAAAUAAUGCACUAUGAAGAUCAAGAAAUAAUAAUAAAUAAAAUAAAUAAAAAUAAGGAAAUGAGGACUUAUCUUGAAACCCAAAUAAAGAAAAAAUGGUGGUAGUGGACUUGAAAAGGGUGGUGUCAUGUGAUGAUAGUCAUGGAAGCAUGUGGUGUGGUUAACGGAUAAGAGAAUGAGAAACAAAGAAAACAGGUGUAGAAGAAAUAGGAAAUGAAAGAGAGAAAGAUAGAGAAACAGAGAAAAAAAAAAGAUGAGAAGGGAAGAGAAGUGUCAUCGAUCAAAGAGGCUCGUCGGUGGUGAUUAGUAGCCGAGAUAGUCACUGGUAGGAAGGCACAGUGAAGGUAGGGUGGUGAAGAAUGGUAGCAAUACAAAAUGGGAAAGAAAAGAAAUAAGAGAGAGAAAGAGAAUACAUAGUGAAAUGAGAAAGAGUGAGAUGAGAUGAAAAAGAGGACUGUUGGUCAACAUCGUAGAACUGCUAGUGAUGCUACCAACAUCAAAGUAGUGGCUGGCCAUGGAGGUGGUGGUGGGUGUGGAGAAAGAAAAAGGAAAAGAAAUGAAAGAAGAGAAAGGAAAAGGAAAAAGGAGGAGAAAUCCCAAUGGGAGUAGGCAACUGAAGAUGGAAAGAAUGUGUGGUCUUUAGGGUUUUAGAUGAAUGAAUGGUGUAAAUGAAGGGGAAAAUGAAUGAUCAAGAUGGGUUCUUCUAAAAUGGGUAUAAAAUUUGGUAGUCUACAAUGGACUCAAGUCACUUAAACCCACAAGGAAACCUAUAUAAACCUCUUUUAAGGUUUUAAGGCUUGAGACACUCUUGACAUUCAGUUUUUCAAAGAGGAACCCUAGUCUCCACCCCUUCAAAAGGGGAUUCCACCUUCUUACAUGUUAAGAUUCAGGAAAAAAAUAUUAUUGAGUUGAAAGCUUAUUGGCUUUUUACACCCGUUACACUUCUUUGUAGAUUGGAAACAAUUUAGGAACAUUCAUAUCAUAAUUAUUGCAUCUAAACUCCAAAACUAAAGUUUUUAAUAUUAACGUUUACCACUCUAUAUUGAUUUGGCUCAAGGUAUAUAUAACAAUGAUAAAACCUUACAUAAAUAGAAUUUAAGAAUCACUAGGAAUCCAUGAUAUCAAAGAAUAGACAAUUGUAUCAUCCUCCAAGCUAAAAUUAGAGGGCAUUUACUUUUCAUACCAAUUCCUUAGCCCCUACUUUAUUUCAUUAUUGAGUUUAACUAUUCCCAUUAAAUCCUACUUUAGCUUUUCAUAUUUCAUAUCCCAAGAAAGCCUUUUAACCUCUCAUAGGUGUGUUGUCACCUACACAAUCCAUUAAAGAAAGAUAAAGAGUUAUUCUUGAAAAUUAAAGAAUUCAAAAGCAAUAUAUUGAUUGAUAAUAAUUGAGAAAGAAAUACCAAGCAAGAUCCUUUUCUAUCUUAUUCUUUAAAAAAAAAAAAAAAAACUCUAAACUCUUCAAAAAAAAAAAAACUAAAAAUUUGAGUUUUUAUAGUUUGGGUAAGAACCUUACAUGUGGCAUGUUCCUAUUGGUCACUUAUUUUCCAAAAAGUGCUUAAAAAUAACUAAAAACUAAUAAAAAUCUAACUUUAGAAUGUCUGGGCCCCAUUUUGGAUUGGAGAAGUGUCAAAAUGUUUCAUAUUGAGAAUUCACAAGUAAUGUGGAAUUGGAGUAACUAAAGUCGAAAUCAAUUUUAACAUGUAUUUCAACUUGGUAAGUUAGGAAUUUUGACAUGGUAAUGUGCAUUUCAACCUCUAUUUUGAUAUGAACUUCUCAUGUCAAAAUUUUCAUUCCAACAAAAACAUCGUCAAAAUGGCUAUCCAAUUUUAACAUGAGGUUCUGUUUCUGUAUUGCUUAUUCAAGUGGCUAUAACUUCUUCAUUUUAUCUCCAAUUCAUGCACUAUUUGAGGCAUUAGAUUUUUGAAUUCUCAAGCUUCAAAUUGAUAUGUGUCCUGCUUGAAAUGAUCUUAAUGAAUCCUUCAAGAUUCACGUCAAAGUGAAAGUAUAUGCAACUAUGAGGCGAUCUUAAACUCUAAUUCCUAUAUUAAACUUCAAGUUUUAUAGCCUUUAGCUUUUCUUUUUGUGUCUCAUUAACCUUUAUAAACUUGUUUCUCAUAUCUCAUCCUUUCUCCAUUUUUAGUUGUCAAAGCUCUCAUUAUGUUUCUAUUAGGAUUGAGCCUUAGAAAGCAUGACAUAAUAUAUGAUUACUACUCAAAAAGUGCUAUUUCAUAGCUUGUAAUGAACUCUUUUGAGUAUUAGUUAACACCUUUUAACCCAAUUAACAUAUUAAGGACCCUUGCAAUCAAUUCUAAUCAAAUUGUGUUAAGUUUUGGUGUUUUGAUAGCUUUUUUAUCACCAAAGCAAUCAGAGAUUGAGGAGAGUUCUUUGGAAUGCAAGAAGUAAAAGAUGUUCGGACACACCAUCGGAUGGCGGCGGAAGUCAAUGAUCCGGACAACAUAUCCGGAUAGGAUAUGCUAUCGUCCGGGUGUGAUGUUCACGAGUGUCGUGUGCCUCUUCCUGAGGGAGUCCGGAUAGGGGGAGCGCGCCACAUGUCCUCUUGGGGAAUCCGGAUGGAGUUGAUCCGGAUAGCCUUGCGCGCUCCGUGUCAUCCAGGAGAGGGGUCCCUACACCUUGCACACGCAGAUGGUCCCCCUUGCGCAGCAUAGCUCAGUCCACCCGGGGAAGAAUUCCGUGCGCCAACAUUUCAUAUCCGGAAUUCCGUGCGCCGACAUUUUACAUCCGGAUAUCUCACAACCGGAUGGGAGAGGAGGACGUUUCAACUUCUCUAGUCAGACAUAUCCGGAUCCUCUGAUAGCGCUUACCAGGAGAGUUUUUCUCUCAGUAUGUAGUACUGCGGUGUUCUCCUGAAGCUUCCUGAUAUUUCUGACCGACAUCUUGAGAUAUUUCCGACCGACAUCUUGAGAUAUUUUGUUUUAGAUAUUUGUUGUCUAAAUCCCCAAACUCUCCUUGUAAUCCACCUAUCAUAGGAUUCCUUAGUCUUUAAGUAAGUACAAAGGGUGAAUAACCUCAUAUAUAUAGUUUGUAAUUUUCUUUACAAAGGGAUCGAUCAUGUAAUUAGUGAAAGGAAGAAAUAUAAUUCACAGAGCACUUGCUCUGUUUUUCCUUCAUAUAAUUGUUUUCUCGUUAGUUUUCUUACUAGCCAAACAAGCUUUGAGGAAGUUUCCUCAGAGAAUGAGUGGCUAGACUUUUAGUUCCUUGGAGUUAAGGUUGCCGGGAAAGGUUCCAAGUGCAUGAAUUAGUAGCUUUGUGGUUUCAGUCAUUAAUGAAGAGAAAGUGUGAUCCUUAAAUGAUUUCUAUGUUUUUAGUUAACAUAAAACACCUUCAAGUCACUUGAGCCAACACUUGGUAAGGCACGUGAUCUCCGUCCAUGAAGAUGCACUUGUUUAUCUCUUGCAAGCUUUUGGGAAGUGACUUGGAGGUAGGAUUUUCUAGAAUUGCCAACACUUGGUAAGCUUUUGGAUUACAAUGAGACAUCCAUUAGUUAUCUCUUGCGAGCUUGAGAAAGGAAGUCCAAAGUUAAAGAUCACCUUGAAUGGCAAAUGCUAGGUGAGAGGCACGAGCCAUUACAAGUUGCAUCAGUGAGAGAGAAUUAGAGUUGAAAUCCAUUUAAAGGUUACAUCUGUACAACACCGGUUAGAGAAUUGACUAUAUGUUAAUUCUCUAAUGCGAGGAAAUGAACCAAAUGACCAGAGCUCUGUUUUUGCAUAAGGAACCUUCCCUGUGAACCUAAACCUCCAAGGAAUGUUUUUCUUCAUAAGUAAUUUCCAUUACUUUCUUUUUGGUUAGUUUAAGACCAAACCCUUUUCACUCAAACAUCUUUAUGUUUUCUUUUAAAGCUAACCUUGAAAUGAAAAAGUACCAACUCAGCUUUGAAUUGGUAUCAGUGGAGAGUUGAAAACCCUUCCCAGUGAAUGCUCCUAGAGCCACUAUACUAUAUUAGCUAAAGCUAUCCUAAUGCAUGGUGAUAUAGGUUAUAAAUUUUGUUGAUCACUUCCUCAGUCAAGGAGCACCAGCUGGACAUGAAUCAGCUGAGACACCAAUUGGGAACGAAUCAAUAUAACAGAGUAAUAUUCAUUUAUAUUUAUUGAUAUAUAUUUCUUGGUUUCCCUUUAUUAUCUCAUAUGUGUUAAUUGAUUAUUUAAGCAUACACGCCCUACAUCACUUACAUUGUACAUGAUUUGGGUGCAUUAAAAGUUUCAUAGAAGAUCUAGGUCAUGGGUUUUUUUUAGGAUGAUGAGUUGUCUAUAGUUGGUUCAUGAAUUUAGGCAAUCAAUUUAAGAUUAUAAUGCACUACCUCCUGAUUGAAGGGAUGACUUAUCUUAGUCAUCGAGAUGGUUUUUUCAUGGUGAACACAAUAAUAUAUGUGAUGCACAUUGAAUAAGACUUAUAAUGAAUCAUGAUUCAAGGCUAUCUUGAUAGGUGAUAACACUCUCUUCUUAGAUUAUGGAUAUUAGUUCAUGGGGAGUCUGCAUGGAAUAAAUAUUAAGACACAAACCCAAGCUUUCGUUUUAUUGUAAUAACAUAGGAUACUAAAGUGCAAUUAAUUUUCUUUAGUGGAAUGUUAAAUCAACUUCAGAAUUGGAUUUUGAGGAAGCCAAUAUUUUUUUAUGGAUCCCAAUAGUUCUCACUCGAACUUCUAAAUCAAGGAAACACAUUUGUUUUAAGGAUAUUAGGUUUUAGGGUUCAUAAGUGUGCAUAAGAGUGUUUUGGUAAAAAUACAAGUUGCACUAGAUCAUAGAAAUUAACUUUUUGGCAUAGGUUAAUUAACUAAUUGGAGCCCAAUAGGGCUAAUUAAUUAAUUAGGAUCCAAGUGGGCUAGAUUAGGUUGUCCAAGCCUAAUUGAACUUAAGUUACUUAAGCCCACUAAGAGUCCUAAUACCCCUAAGGGUUUCCUACACUCUUUUACUGUCUUUUUCCAAAGAGCCUCCAUAGAGAUUGAGAAACCCUACUUUUCAUCUAAGAGAGAAAAGUCCACUAUUUUCUUGUGCCUAGAGUGUUUUAAGGAGAGAUCAUUGGAAGGCUAAUAGGUAGACAACAUCUCCUACGAAUUCAGACUUGUUCUUCACCGCAUAAAUUAGAUUUGGGAACAUCUAGAUCUAGGUAUGGUUUCUUUUUUCUAGAUUAUUAUUUUAUUUGAUUUUUUUUUACCAUUGUUUCUACUAGAAUAGUUUCUAGAGAAGCCUAGGGUAGAUUACUUGCUCUCUAUUCGAUCCAGGGUAAGGAAACGAAUAAAUUCAGAGUUCUCAUCAGUUUCACAUUCUUAGAGCUUCUUCUAAACAUAUUUGGCAUCUUUUCUACCAUGAAUGACUACUCUUGCAACUUGUAUCUUUAAACCUAAGAUUUAACUAAAGAUGUAUCUUAGAUAGACAAAGUUUUUAUCAAUAAUUCAAAUUAAGUUGAGUGAGUUGAGCCUUUAUAUUGCAUAACUAAUUCUCAAUAUGUGCCAUUAAAACACAAUUUGUGGCUCUAAUUAACUAGGAAGCAUCUAUUGGAGUAAAUUGACAAUAAAUUGAUAGAAUCAAGAAAUUUUGAUAUGGAAAGUGGAAGUGAAAGAGAAAAUUCAUUUCAACAUCAAAUCAACAAUAGAGGACAAACCAAUAUCAUUUUCUAUGUCAAACUCCUUUAUGUCCCUUUUAGUAUUGCAUUCUCAAUCUAUUACCCUCGGAUAUUUGGAGAUUAACAUCCGAUGUUGAAAUUUCAAUAGAGAAUCGAUUCUAAAGUUGAUUUCAACCCAAUGUCAACUUAUUAUGACUUGUUUCCUUCUUUAAAAUUGCUUCUUCAUGAUUUUUUUUUUGUCAGUUUUAUAUUAUAUUUAGACUGUUCCUUGUAGGAUUAGGGUUAGGAUUUAUUUAUAUAUUUUAUGAUUAUUAAUAGGGAUAUAAAUGGGUUAAAGGAGGAUAACCUUUAAAACUUUAGUAUAUUUUAAACAAUUUUAUAAUGAAGGAAUAAGCCAAUCUUGGGUGCCAUGAUAUCAAUCCUUUCCUUAUCAUGGUAUAGAACUUUGGCAAGUAUUAGGUUGUUUCUAUCAAGCUUUAACUAAUGAACCUUAUCAAACUUUAGACAUAAUAUGUGAAGAGAGAAUUGUAAAGAUGGAAUCAACAUUGGCCAUGUACUUGUUGGAUUAUCUUACAUCAUGUACUAUAAAUCUUGAUCUUAUUUCUAAAAAAAACGAUAUGAGUUUGUGAAUGAAAAUGUUAACCCUAGCUAGAAGGGAGACACUCAAUCUCCUUCUAUUGCAUCAUCAAAUUCUCUUACUAUAUGAGGGUUCCACAUGAUCAACAACCCUUAGAAAAUGUGCAUAGUGAAUACGUACAUAUAGACCCAAUUAGAGGUAAUAGUCAACUUGGAAGCAACCGGUGUUGAGAUGGAAAUUAUCAAUGUCAGACCAAGUGAAUUUACUAACCAAGUAACUCAAGUUUUGGCUGAAUUUGCGCUUGAGACAAAUACCUUUUUCUAUCAUUGAAUACAAUCAGAAAAGUGUUGAAUGAAACUUAAGCUUAAUUAUCUAAAAAUAUUGAUGAGUUUGAUGUUAUGGGCCUUGUCACUAUUGCACAGGAUUUUGAACUUGAAAUUUUUUCUGAAAAUGUGCAAGAGUUCAUUUACAAAUAACUCACUAAUAUUGGGAGGGGUGAUACUAAUCAUCAAAUACACCAUGAGCAUACUAAUAAUUCUUCUUAUGAGUAUAAUGUUCACACACAAAACCAAUAUUUUUUCAUAUAUAAAAGAAGGUUUUUAUAGAAAAAUUGAAUGCAAAUCAUUACCUUUUAAUUUAAAUGUAUGCUAAGUCCCAAAUUACUUACCCAAACAUAAACUAAGUUCUCACUUAUGACCCAUGUAACAAGCUACACCAAGUAAGAAGGAUAGAACAAUUAGCUCAUAUGGAGGGCUCUCUAAUUUAAAAGACUACAAAUUGUCUAGGAUUCAAAGAAUGAUUAUAUUUAUUAUUGUAGUGGAAGGUAAUAAAAAAAGUCUUGAUAGUGGUUCCACUACUAAUAUAUCUACUGGUUUGAUCCUAAAUAUAUUUAUUUAGUGAAGAAUGUUGAAAAUAAAAAAUAAAAAUCGGAGGACCCAAGGGCAAUGGAAGUAAGGUGAAGGAGUUGAAAAUGCAUGAGAGUGCACAAGAACAUGAAAAGACAAGAAAAAUGUCAAAUUGAUACCCUAGAAUGCAAAUUGAUACCACGUUGAUUCCGACAUCAUAUAUUUAAUUUGACAAGAUACAAUAUGAGUGGAUGUAAAACAAUAUCUAUGCCAACAUAGAAAGAUAUUACACUUAGCAAAUCACCAAGUCCAAAUAAUAAAGAUGAAAUUAAGUAAAUGAAAAAUAUUCGUUAUGUGCAAGUAGUUGAAAGUCUAAUUAUACAAUGACUAGUACUAGGUCGGAUAUAUGUUGUAUCAUGGUAUUAGUUAGCAUAUACUAAACUAAUCUUAGCGAAGAGCAUUGGCCAGCUAUUAAAAGAGUAUUAAGAUAUAUUUAAGGUACUAAGAAAAAUAAACUAUGUUUUACAUAAGGUGAUUAAAAAAAUUAUGGGUAUUCGUAUGCAAAUUUUACCAGGGACCAUGAUGACUAAAAAUCUACUAGUGGUCAUACACUUUUAUUUAGAGGAGGUGCAACAUCAUGGUUAAGUAAAAAAGCAAACUUAUGUUGCUAGGCAUACAAUAGAAGCUAAAUAUGUAGCUUAUAGCUAGUAUGGCAACCACCCAAGCCUUUUGGAUUAAGCACUUAGCUGACAAUUUGAUAGUUAAGAAAUCAAGAGUUUAAGGUCAAAAUAGUAUUUUUGAAGAAAAAUAGCCAAAGUAGAUAUUCUCCCGAAAUAUUUGUCAAUCUAAUCUUUGCUAUCACAUGUUCAUUCAUGUAACUUUUUUUUUUUUUUUUGAGUAUAUAAAACCACAAUUGGUCAUUGUGAUUUUAGUUUUAAAUUUAAAAUCACAGUUACUAACUGUAAUUUUUAAAACAACAUACCACUUUAACAAAUAUUUUCAAUAUGAGAUUGAUAAUUUUUUUAAAAAAGAAAAACUACUUUGACCGAAAACUCAAGAAAACAAUUGAGCUUGUGAAUUUGCUGUGUGAUCAUAUGACUACAAUAUAUCAUUUAUUUGACACAUCAAGUUCAAAAGUGAAACACAUUCAUGUGAGUUGAUAGAUUGGAUUGAUUGGAUUAUAGUUUUCCAUAUAAUUGAAAAGUUGUAAAUCUUUGUUAAAGAUUCCAACUUUUUAAAAAGGGAUGCAAUAGUUGAUUGUCAAAAGAUAUUUAUCUAAAUAUUUAUCUAAUUAAAUAAGUGUCUUUUCAAUGGCUAUGUGUUAAAAUUGAAACAUUGUGAUUGAAUAGAUAUGAGAAUAUAUUUGAAAAAGCAUAACUUUUAGUAUUAAUAGAUACAUGUAAGUCAAAUUUGUAGUUCUCUCAUUCAUAUCUAUAAUAGGUUUCUAUUGAUUUUGUAAGAGUCAUACUUCGUUUUCUUCUAUUUUUUUCCCCUUCUUUGACAAUGUCUACACAAUAGCCUCCCACCAAUAGUCCAUCCAAGAUAUAACAUCAGAAAAACUUUCUUGACAAAUUGGGCAGAUCAAGAAAACAACAGUAACUAUUGCAGCAGAAGCUUACAAAUUAUAAAUAGGAUCAACACAAUUUUAGGAAGAAGGCAUUUGGUAGUUGCUAUUCUAUUAAAGCCACUUCUGAUGAAUAAAAGCAGUUGAAAGUUGGUGUAUCAUUUUUGUUGGAUGUCAUCACAUAUGGUGAUUGUGGUAAAUGAUGAAAUAGUCAAUGUUUUCAUAAUUCAAUCAUUGGCAUUGAACUAAAAAAGUUAUUAAUUUAUAAUUUAUAAAUUUGAUAAGUAGUGAAAUCAUGAUGUUAACAUGAUACCAUAAAUAUAUAAUUUAUAUUUUAUUAAAAUUUAAAAUAUAUAAAUUAUUGAAAACUUUAAUAAUAUUCAUUUUUUCUUUGACAUUAUUCAAUUAAAUUAUGAUAAAAAUAAAUAUAAAUGUAUUGAUAUUUUAAAUUUUAUUAAAUAAAACAUUUAUAAUAUUUAAGUAUAAAGAUAUUUUCAAAAUGAAAAGAAAAUACAAUUGUUUAUUGUUUUAUAAUUUUGGUUGAGGUUGGAAUCCCAUUGCUGCAAAGAAAUUAAUUAACUUCUGUAAAUUUCUCUAUCUUUUAUAACCUAUCGCUCAAGUACUAUGAUGGGUUAGUGAAUACUUAAUUUGGAGGUUUGAUUCAUUGACGAUUGAUUUAAUUAACUCUAUGUAGAACCCUUAAUCAAAUAUUGAGAUUAAUAAUGUUUUCAAUGUUUAAGAUUUGAAUUUGAAACAGUUUCGCAUUUUUAGAAAAUUGAGAUCCUAUUCCCGUUGAGAUCUGAUCUUAGGAGCAUACUUAUUCCCAUUGAAUUUCAUUUAUUUUGUGUUGAGAUUUUUGUUGAAACUAUGUUUUUAAAGUAUAGGGAUUGAAAGCUACAAUAAAGUAUCAAUGGGGUGACUGUUAUAAUUAUAUAGGAGCAUCAUCCAGGCCUGCACCAACUUACAAAUCCACAAGGGACUAUUUCUAUACUUGGUUUGCACUAGAUUGCAAAUUAGUGAGGAAUCAUCUCAUUGAAAUCAUCCCCAAGCCUACAUAAGCACAAAAAUGAAUAAGAGUCCAUCUUAGUCCCCAAUUGAUCCUUCCUGGUUCUUUUUAUGUUAAGCCCUUAGGUAAUUUCCAACCUUAUUUUGAUUUAGAAGUAAUUUUUUUUUUUUUUUUUUUGUAGCUCUUAUAUAGUUUUCCACAUAGGCCCCUAUUUUUAUUUAAAACUUUAGUAUAUUUUAAACAAUUUUAUAAUGAAGGAAUAAGCCAAUCUUGGGUGCCAUGAUAUCAAUCCUUUCCUUAUCAUGGUAUAGAACUUUGGCAAGUGUUAGGUUGUUUCUAUCAAGCUUUAACUAAUGAACCUUAUCAAACUCUAGACAUAAUAUGUGAAGAGAGAAUUGUUAAGAUGGAAUCAACAUUGGCCAUGCACUUGUUGGAUUAUCUUACAUCAUGUACUAUAAAUCUUGAUCUUAUUUCUAAAAAAAACGAUAUGAGUUUGUGAAUGAAAAUGUUAACCCUAGCUAGAAGGGAGACACUCAAUCUCCUUCUAUUGCAUCAUCAAAUUCUAUUACUAUACAAGGGUUCCACAUGAUCAACAACCCUUAGAAAAUGUGCAUAGUGAAUACGUACAUAUAGACCCAAUUAGAGGUAAUAGUCAACUUGGAAGCAACCGGUGUUGAGAUGGAAAUUAUCAAUGUCAGACCAAGUGAAUUUACUAACCAAGUAACUCAAGUUUUGGUUGAAUUUGCGCUUGAGACAAAUACCUUUUUUCUAUCAUUGAAAACAAUCAGAAAAGUCUUGAAUGAAACUUAAGCUUAAUUAUCUAAAAAUAUUGAUGAGUUUGAUGUUAUGGACCUUGUCAUUAUUGCACAAGAUUUUGAACUUGAAAAUUUUUCUGAAAAUGUGCAAGAGUUCAUUUACAAAGAACUCACUAAUAUUGGGAGGGGUGAUACUAAUCAUCAAAUAGGUACACCAUGAGCAUACUAAUAAUUCUUCUUAUGAGUAUAAUGUUCACACACAAAACCAAUGUUUUUUCAUAUAUAUAAAGAAGGUUUUUAUAGAAAAAUUGAAUGCAAAUCAUUGCCUUUUAAUUUAAAUGUAUGCCAAGUCCCAAAUUACUUACCCAAACAUAAACUAAGUUCUCACUUAUGACCCAUGUAACAAGCUACACCAAGUAAGAAGGAUAGAACAAUUAGCUCAUAUGGAGGGCUCUCUAAUUUAAAAGGCUACAAAUUGUCUAGGAUUCAAAGAAUGAUUCUAUUUAUUAUUGUAGUGGAAGGUAAUAAAAAAAGUCUUGAUAGUGGUUCCACUGCUAAUAUAUCUACUGGUUUGAUCCUAAAUAUAUUUAUUUAGUGAAGAAUGUUAAAAAUAAAAAAUAAAAAAUAAAAAUCGGAGGACCCAAGGGCAAUGGAAGUAAGGUGAAGGAGUUGAAAAUGCAUGAAAGAGUGCACAAGAACAUGAAAAGACAAGAAAAAGGUCAAAUCAUACCCUAGAAAGCAAAUUGAUACCAAGUUGAUUCAGACAUCGUAUAUUUAAUUUGACAAGAUACAAUAUGAGUGGAUGUAAAGCAAUAUCUAUACCAACAUAUAAAGAUAUUACACUUAGCAAAUCACAAAGUCCAAAUAAUAAAGAUGAAAUUAAGUAAAUGAAAAAUAUUCAUUAUGUGCAAGUAGUUGAAAGUCUAAUUAUACAAUGACUAGUACUAGGUCGGAUAUAUGUUGUAUCAUGGUAUUAGUUAGCAUAUACUAAGCUAAUCUUAGCGAAGAGCAUUGGCCAGCUAUUAAAAGAGUAUUAAGAUAUAUUUAAGGUACUAAGAAAAAUAAACUAUGUUUUACAUAAGGUGAUUAAAAAAAUUAUGGGUAUUCGUAUGCAAAUUUUACCAGAGACCAUGAUGACUAAAAAUCUACUAGUGGUCAUACACUUUUAUUUGGAGGAGGUGCAACAUUAUGGUUAAGUAAAAAAGCAAACUUAUGUUGCUAAGCAUACAAUAGAAGCUAAAUAUGUAGCUUAUAGCUAGUAUGGCAACCACCCAAGCUUUUUGGAUUAAGCGCUUAGCUGACAAUUUGAUAGUUAAGAAAUCAAGAGUUUAAGGUCAAAAUAGUCUUUUUGAAGAAAAAAUAGCCAAAGUAGAUAUUCUCCCAAAAUAUUUGUCAAUCUAAUCUUUGCUAUCACAUGUUCAUUCAUGUAACUUUUUCUUUUUUUUUUGAGUAUAUAAAACCACAAUUGGUCAUUGUAAUUUUAGUUUUAAAUUUAAAAUCACAGUUACUAACUGUAAUUUUUAAAACAACAUACCACUUUAACAAAUAUUUUCAAUAUGAGAUUAGAUUGAUAAUUUUUUUUAAAAAGAAAGACUACUUUGACCAAAAACUCAAGAAAUCAAUUGAGCCUGUGAAUUUGCUGUGUGAUCAUAUGACUACAAUAUAUCAUUUAUUUGACACAUCAAGUUCAAAAGUGAAACACAUUCAUGUGAGUUGAUAGAUUGGAUUGAUUGGAUUAUAUUUCCCAUAUAAUUGAAAAGUUGUAAAUCUUUGUUAAAGAUUCCAACUUUUAAAAAGGGAUGAGUAGUUGGUUGUCAAAAGAUACUUAUCUAAAUAUUUAUCUAAUUAAAUAAGUGUCUUUUCAAUGGCUAUGUGUUGAAAUUGAAACAUUGUGAUUGAAUAGAUACGAGAAUAUAUUUGAAAAAGCAUAACUUUUAGUAUUAAUAGAUACAUGGCUAGAUACAAGUCAAAUUUGUAGUUCUUAUAGGUUUCUAUUGAUUUUGUAAGUCAUACUUUUUUUCUUCUAUUUUUUUCCUAUCUUUGACAAUGUCUACACAAUAGCCUUCCACCGGGAGUCCAUCCAAGAUAUACCAUCAUAAAAACUUUCUUGACGAAUUGGGCAGAUCAAGAAAACAACAGUAACUAUUGCAACAUAAGCUUACAAAUUCUAAAUAGGAUCAACAUAAUUUUAGGAAGAAGGCAUUUGGUAGUUGCUAUUCUACCAAUGCCACUUCUUAUGAAUAAAAGCAGUUGAAAGUUUGUGUACCAUUUUUGUUGGAUGUCAUCACAUAUGGUGAUUGUGGUAAAUGAUGAGAUAGUCAAUGUUUUCAUAAUUCAAUCAUUGACACUAAACUAAAAAAAAAAAUUUAAUUUAUAAUUUAUAAAUUUGAUAAGUAGUGAAAUUAUGAUGUUAACAUGAUAUCAUAAAUAUAUAAUUUAUAUUUUAUUAAAAUUUAAAAUAUAUAAAUUAUUGAAAACCUUAAUAAUAUUUAUUUUUUCUUUGACAUUAUUCAAUUAAAUUAUGAUAAAAAUAAACAUAAAUGUAUUGAUAUUUUAAAUUUUAUUAGAUAAAACAUUUAUAAUAUUUAAUUAUAAAUAUAUUGUCAAAAUGAAAAGAAAAUACUAUUGUUUAUUGUUUUAUAAUUUUGGUUGAGGUUGGAAUCCCAUUGCUGCAAAGAAACUACUGUAAAUUUCUCUAACCUUUAUAACCUAUCGCUCGAGUACUAUGAUGGGUUACCAGCCCAUGAAAGGAUUUUCGCGCCCACGAGACCCAUACUUGGGCCAUGCACUAACUUCUCCAUUUGGGCUGCAAAACUUGUCCAAAUUGGCCCGCCUGGUCCCCCGUAUCCGUGUCCGGUUUGUUAGGACAACGAAUCAAAAGGGAGAAUCAGAUGGGAAAGAUGUCCAGGUGAUGGUCCAACCAGUUGAACUGGUUGCUUUAGUCCGAUUUUGAAAACAUUGGAUAAAGCAGCUGGGUAUACAAACUUGCUUUGGUUGGUUUACUUUUCUAUCUAUUUUUAGGCACAGAUGGCUAUUCUUGGGCUACAGCAUUACCCAUAUAAGAUCCAUAUUCUGAAAUGUAAUUUUCAACAUCCAUUGUAUUUAUACUUGACGGUCUUUCCUUGUUUAUUCUUCAUUGUAGUCUCAUGCUCCUCUGCAACCAGCUUUCUUGUCCACAUAAAAUGUGGUCUCUUGAUUGAAAUUACUCCACUGGUUGCUCUAAUAAGGAUGGUAGAGGCAUGAAAUAUUCUGACAAUUUCUCUUGUAGUUGGGGAGUUGACCUAAAAAGCAAGAACAUACCGCACCUGUAUAGGAAGUUCCUGAAGAGAAGAAGAAGAAGAAGAAGAAAGGAAAAUAAAAAUAAAAAUAAAAAAACAAAACAAAACAAAAACCUUGGAACGUGAACAGUUAGCCAAUUAAAAUUGCUGUAGUUGAUUAGAUGUGUCCAAAAAAAAAUAACUAACAAUUUUUUACCAAUUAUAUGAUUUAAAAGACCCUAAAUCAUAAUUAAUCUCUCCAAUUUAAAUGUUCAAGCUGUGGUAGGUGAAAAGUCAUUCCUUCUAGAGACGUCUCACCUACUACGAUAAUAAAAGCAUUUUUCAAGCAUUGCUCUGGUUCAAAAUGCGCACCAGCGUUUCCCCCUCAAGGACUGUUGCUCCAUCUUUGCUACUAGCACUGAUGAAGAUCAUGGUGACGAUGCGUCUAUUUAAGCAUGAAAAUUUAAUGGUAGGGACAUUCAAUGUUAGGUGGAGUGAAAUGGUCUUUAUAUGAUUCAAAACGGUAACGAUAGAUGUAAAUAUUUGAUCUUUCAAUGAUGCCUUCUGUUCUGUGAUGUGUAAAAUUGCCUUAUGUUCCAGUCAAGAAAGGAUUAAUUGCUUUUGCCUUGGGCAGUUAUGUCCAAUUUUUCGACCCAUCACAUGUUAGGCAACAAAUUAACUUAGCUACUAGAAGGGUGGAAAAGAAGUGACACCAGCACUGAUGGGAGUGGUUGAACUACCCUACAUCCUUGUUAUUAUCCUAAUAUACAACUUCAUCUUCCUUUUUUGGAGCCAUGGUUUUAUGGUUUUUAAUACACCCGUGGCAGGGAAAAAGCAAAUAAUCCCAGUUAGGUAUUAAUCAAUUGAUUAAGAUCAUAGCAUAUAUAUGCUACUUUUUGAGGAAAAGUGCGACAAGGGCCUGUACUGAUCAUGUCAUACAUGUAUCAUCUUUGUCGAUCGGAGACCAAAUAAGAGAGUGGCUCCAUACAUGAUCAUGCAUAUGCUUUGGACUGGCUGAAGGGCAACUCAUAUUCCGGACAUGGAAAAAAGAAUAUGAAGCAUAUAUAUGACAAUAACAGCAGGAAGAAGCCAGAAGAAGAAAGAAAUGGGCCAUUUUACGUCGCAUCCACUGAUAUGCAUUGUUUUAACGACUUCUUUUUCCACCUGCUUCAGAGCCGUCUUCUAUGAAGCGGCAUGCAAAGGUCAAAUUUCAUACUUUAAGAAUUAUUGAUCAUAUAGGAAACUGAAAGUAUGUACUUAAUUGGUGUGUAUAUGUUGAUGCAAAGAAUGAAAUCCUAAUUCGAAUGUAUUCCGUCCUCAUUUAUUAUGCUUGCCACCUAUUCAGGGGGAAGUUGUGUUUUGGUCUGAGUGUGCAUGAUUGCUUGGCACAUGCCUACCGGCUGGCGUGAAUGAUUGUUCGGGUCUGCACAUGUCUAUCAAUUUCUUGCUUCCGAAUCAUUCCUCUUGUGGGACUUUUUUUGCCUUCCUGGAUCAACGUCACUGCCAAAUAUAUGCUGACCACAUGUGUCUUUGUGUUCUUUAUAGAUUGCUUAUGGCUUCUCUAAAGAGAUAUCAUCCUCAGAGAUCAAGUUUAUCACUCAAUUUACCACAUGAUUUCACCCGUAUCCACAGCCAUAAUUGCUUGGUAAGCUUACGUACAUGAUAAAGAUGACAAUGAUACCUCUGGAUAAUGCCAUUUAAAUUCCAUGUGCGACCUCCAUGCGCCAAGCCAUUGCUUUGUGGCAACACAAACGCAUGAUCAAGGGCUACCGUGCAAUCAUAUAUUGUUCUGCUGUCCUCUUUAUGGCAUUUGGAUUUUGAAUCCUAACCAUUAUUUACACAAUAAAAAUGAUAAACCCUAGAGUCAAUUUUUCAUGUUUCUUUAUUUCUGCAAUAAAAGUAAGCUCUGAUGUGAGAUAUCAUCCCAUCUGUGGAAUCAGAAGUAGAGCAACAGUUUCAUGUAAAUAGAAUGGAUCAACAAACUUUUCUUUCAUGCCCACACUCUCUGUGUACAAGAUGGAAAUCUGUCCCACAACACAAGUAGUGGGCGAAAUUCAUUAAAGUUUUGGCAGCUCAUGAUGGAAAAGGAACCGUACAUAAAUUGAUUUGGUUGACCCAUUAAUUAAGCAUAUCUCAUCAAUAAAGACAGGUAAUAUGGAUCUGAAUUUCUAUUAAAAGAAAACGCAUCUUACCUCCAAUGCACCGAAAUAAUGUGUCUGAUAAGAUCCUUGAUUUCCAUCUAAUGGCACUCUUUUUCAUUAGACGGUUUUCUGAAAAAGUAAGGCUAUGGUGAACUGAGUAGUGAUGAUCCCAGUGCAGGAAGCAAUUUUGCAGGAAAAUAUUUUAUAGCAUAACAAAUUAAUAUGGAGCUUCCUCACAGUGGAGUAUUAAUUUAUCUAUCUAGUAAAUGGAGAAACAAAUUAUUGUGGUACCAUGAAACUGGUUCCGUCUACUUUUCUCCUUUGAAGGCUGAAUGAAUUCCUGACUUUGUGAAUGUAGAUGUAUACUUGAACUUAGGAGUCCUUAAUGAGAAACAAGAGGAUAAUUUUGACCAGUCAUUGCAUAGCGAUCUGGAAAGCUGUGAUUAUGCCCAGAAAUUGCCCCCUUCGUCUCUCUCACACACUCGCGGAGAUGCUCUUUCAUAUAGAAAAAGGACACCCACACUGAGAUAUUCUGCAACAAGGGAAACUACAAAACAAUAUCAUAAUGUGGGCACAUCUCAUAGUUGUGAGGGUUCAUCUGAGCAUAACCAUAAACACCCCAACUCAACAUUAACUUGUCUUUUCUGCUCAUACUGUAUCAUAUAUUGGAUUCACAUGGGGUCAGGAAUCCAAAAGAGACUGCAUAUCUAGCUACACCAAAAAAAAAAAGGUGGGGAAAUGAAGAAGGGAGAGAGAGAGAGAACUUAUUCAAAUUCACAUCAACAAUCCUCCUUGUCAUGGAGGUAGCGUGGCUGCUUUUUAAUUUAAUUUUCUGUGUACUUCAACAGAAAUUCCAAGAAAAAUAAAGUGUUUUAAGUUCCGACAGACACUAUCUACCGAGAAAUCAAUUGAGCCUUUGAGUUAAGCAUUGUUAGGGCCUAUCACAAUAAAAAAUCAUGUUGUGAUUUGUUUACUAUUAUCUUCAGCAUGACAAGGGUCUGCAGACCAGUAUUGCCAUUUUAUAUGAUUGAUUAUCACUACACAAAGAAGGGUCAACUAAAUCAGUUCAAGGACGAGCUAAGGCAGAUAUAUAGACAGAAUAUUGACUAUUAGCCUUACAGCAUGUGGACUUACAGAUCAUAGCUGUAUUAAAUUAUUAAGCUAAUUAGAGAUUCCUUGAGUUCUUGGGAGUCAAACAAGAAGCAUCUUUUUUUUCUUAGAAAUUAAUGUAAAUAAUCUGACGAGAUCAUAAACAAUCAACACAUGAAUCUCUACUUUCCUCAUUAAUCUCUGCAUAUAGUUCAUUUGAUCUUUGCUGGUCUGAUUUGAAACUCAUUAGAAAAAGAAAAAGAAAAACCCACUAGAGUCCCUAUUUUCCAGCCAUGGUUUACAGACAUGAAGCUGUGGUCCAUUGCCAGAAAAAGCAGGCUCCACCUAUAAAAAAAAAACCAUUUAUAAUAUUGAUUCUCCAACCCAUAAAAGCCAACAGUGGAUGCAAAGAAUCAGGUUCCCAUUUAUUUUUUACUGGGUUCAUCUCCUUUUCAAUUGAGUGCCCAGAGAAAUCUCAUGGGAGCAUUAUAGAAGAUAAGGACAACUGCACCAAACCUAGUGGGACGAGGAAGAUACUGAACUAUUUUGUAAGGUAGGGGACUGUUUCAACGCGCUUCGAAGAUCUCCAUGACUCUAAAGUCUAAACAAAGCAGAAAAUUAAAUAUAGGAAACGCGGGAAACAAUAAAGGAAAGAGCUAGCCACACGACUUGCAGUCUUGUUCAAUCUUCAUAGAAUAUUUAUUACUUCGCUUGAGGUUUGUAUGGGCUUCCUGCUCUAUUUUAGAAAUCGUAUAUUUGAAGGAAAGAAAAAAAAAAAUCUCUGCUGCAUUCUGUGAAUGUCUCUGUCAUGCGUGGCUGGGGUUUCUUUGGAUAAGAUCAGUUGAUUCACUUGUGCUCAUAGCUUGUACGUGAGAUUUAAUUUUCUGGUUGGAAAAUAAAGCUGUGAUGGAAUAUAUGGUCAUGAAUAUGGGCCGGAACCCCAUCACAGACCCUCAUCAUAAAACAUACGGGUCAUGUUAUGAGUUAUGACAACAUCAUAGAAUGAUGUUAUGGAUCAGUAGCGUCGAGAGAGGUAGCUAGCUAGUAAUAUAGAAAAGCUCCAAAUUAAGAAAUGAGAACCCCAAGCUCAAUGUAAAAUGCUGCAGAGCUCUAGUUUUACUUUUAGGCAAAAUGGGAAUGAGCUUUGAAAUUAAAAAUAAUUUCAUUCUCAAGUGUAAUUUUCUGAUUAUAUGGAGACCAAAUUAGGAAAGAAACCAUAAAGAGUAGGUCUCCACUUUUUUCUGGUUCAAAAACCCAUUGCUCUGGAUACGAGGAGUCCAUCCCACAUUAAUGAUGAUGCAGCAUGCAUGCAUGGGGUAGCCGAGGGCCAAACUGCUUUGCGAGUCUUAGAGUGUAUUAUUAUUGUGCAGAUAAAGAUUGCCAAAUUUAGGCCCAUAUGGGCUCCCACACCAACUUUAGGAAUUACGAGUCUUCUUUUGCUUGAUUUCCUUUUCAUACACCCACUUAACUCAAAUUUAUCCAAUCUUCAAAUUUCUAAAAUUUUCUACUCCAUUCAUUCUCAAGAGAAGGAAAGGCUGAAAAUUAUUUGAAAAUAGAUUUUUUUUUUCCUUCUUUCUUUCUUUCUGUCACUCAUUGUCAACAUUAUCCCUUUUCAAAGGGAGCCAAACAAAAAAGGACCAAUACUUAAAAAAAAAUAAAUAAAUAAAAUAAAAUAAAUGGGUGUGAUGAAUUAAUACUGAGAGGGUCAAGGCUCUUAAAUGAAAGUAAGUAACUUACCAAACAGAAGAAUAAAAAUGAAACAAGACGUACAAGGAGCAGCAGCUACCCCCAACAAGGAAAAUAAUAAAAAUGAAGGUGGUUCAUUAAACAUUGAAAAUUGUACAAUCUCUACUUCCUCACUAUGCUCAUCAGAUUUAAUGGCCAUUUAAUUUCUUGCAAUAAAUUUGUUUCUAUGUCCAACACAGCUGUACAAUCUUCUGAUUACUCCUGAGCAACACAAAUUUGUAAGCAUAUAGUUAUGAGAACCUACCAACCAAAAAAUAUCAAGCUACGCUUGCAAUAAAAUAUGAUUUUUUUUCCAAAGUACUUCUAUAAAAUGAACGACCAGCUGUACACUGACAGAAAGCGUAAUAUUACUAAUGUUUUAAUAUAGAAAAAAAAUAAAAUAAUAAAAUAAUGAUAUAAUUUUAAUGGGUUUGACUUCCAAACUGCCUUUAAAACAUUGUGACUAAAUAGUUAAGAUACAAGGAACAAGCAUCAUUUGUUGUCACAUGUAAGGGGAGUCCAUUAAAAGAAUAUGAACAAAAGAGAAAAAACAUUAUUAAUUAUCCUUUUUAAAAUAAAUUCGAAAAAUGUGAACAAAUUAAUUUAGAAAAAAUUGGCCAAAAGAAUGAAACCUUUCCUUGUAUAAAAUCAAUUAUUAUUUCUAUAUAUACGCCAACAAUUUUUGUUUGAUUUCAUAAAAGAAAUUAUUGAAUUCAAUGAAUUAGAGGGCAGUAGACAAAAACAUUUUUAAAAAUGAUUGUUGUUCAUAAAAUGCAAAAUCGUGUUUCCUUUACUCAAUAAUACGUUCAAUUUUGCCUAAGCAACAACUUUCACGAGUGAGUAUGUUUUGAAGUGAUGGAAUGAAAAUAUUAUUUUGGGUUUUAAAAGUUAACAAAUAAUUCACUAAUGCCUUUGAAAACGAAAGGAAUUGAAAUCAAACUAUAAACCAUAUAGUGAAAGGCAUAUUUGAAAGGAAUUGGGAAAGACAAUGUGACCAAAUUUGGAAUUGGAAUGGGGGAUAAACAGAGGAAAGUGCAAAAAUGAGUGCAUGAUGAUGAUGAUUCAGUGUUGAAGAAUGUCUUAUGCCAAUUCCGUAAGGUAGUAGACAAGUUGUAUUACUUUAUAUUUUUAGAUGGGGCCAUCCCCCUCACCCACUCUCUCAUUGCCCUCAGUUCUAAGCUAUCGUCUGCCUCAGAUAAAACCGGUUCUGAUCUUUCUGUUUCCCUCCUUUCUUUAUUUCUUUUCUUUUCUUUUCUUUUCUUUUUUUAUCAGACUGUAAAACUGCAAACCUCAAGUGCAAUGUUUUUUAAAUGGAUUGAUAUUAAUCUCUUUUAAUUUUCUAUUAUUUAUAUCUACAUUAAGUAGCAUAGGGUAGCUAUAGAAACUUUAGGAUAACUUUAGUAAAGGCAUUGAAACAUAUACAUCGUUUUUUUCUUUUUUUCUUUUUUUCUUUUUUAAGUGUAGUAAUUUUUUGAAUAGUUAGUGUAAAAAAAAAGUGAAUUGAGUUUUUUGAAAAGAUAAAUUUAGUAUAAAAAUUUUAUAAGAAUUCACAUUUUUAAAAAUGAACUCUUUGAUAAUGAAAAAAUGAGAGUUAUCAAAUAAAGUGGGCCAAUGAUGAUAAUAAUCAGGAUGGGUCAUUUUAUCUUAUAAAUCCCUACAAAUGACCAAAAUUAUUAUCAGUUUUUUUUACCAUUUGAAUGACUUUUUAAAUUGUGGCUUGAUAGAAAUAAGAGAGAAAGAAAAGUAAAAUUCUCUAGUUCACUUCACGAUUGAAAUUUGCAACUUGAUCAAUAUAUGACUUAUUAUAAACAAGAGAGAAGGAAAUCAAAUUCAAGCUUUAAAUUUUCACAUUCCCAUCUUCUUGUCGUACUAGUCUCCUUUUCCUUCUUUAUAAAUGACAAUGUGGAGAAGUUUAAGAAAACCCUUCUUCAAAAGGUACGCUAAUUUCUUUCUCUUCAUAGAUAUUUUUAUUUUUGUUUAAGAAAUUCAUUUUAUAGAGAUUUCAAUUUUUAGGAUUUUAUUUUGGGCAUUUGAAAAUCCUUUUAUAAUAAUUUCACUUUGGGUAUAUGAAAAAUCACUUUAUUGUGAUUUGAAUUUCUAAGGUUUGAUUUUGAUAAUUAGAGAAAUCUCAUUUUCUUAAGAUCCAUUACAAAACAAAGUAGUGUAGUUUAAAAAAUUUGUUUAUAACUUAAACAUCAAAUUUUUACAUGAAAAAUUGUAAUAUCUUUUGUUUCAUGAUUUAUAUAUAUAUAUAUAUAAAUUAUAUUUUUACUACUAUCAUUUUCAUCCUUUGUUUUCUCUUCUUGUUUCAACCUUCAUAUCUUUUUUUUAUAUGCAUUUUUGGAGGUCUCUUUGCAUUUUUAACCCUGUUUUUUCUUUUUCUUUUUUGUUUUUUUUCAAUUUUAGGGUUGAUUUUCAGGGUAAGUACUCAUAUCUAAAUUUUAGAUUUUUAUUGCUUUAAUUAAUGUCCUUGCCUUAUUUUUCAAUUUGUGAUUUAUGUAAUUGGUAAUUGAGAUACUUUUUAUAUAAGUAUAUUGAGCGGAUAACAAAAAUUUCUAUAUAUGAACUAAGAUUCUCUAUGGAGGUCCUCAAAGCACUCUUUGUUUUUAUAGAAAAAGUUCCCUUUUUCAGGUUUUGUUUUUUUUCCUUUAAGACUCCAUUUAUGAAAUAUGGGAAAAAGAAAGUUGUCAUGCAUUUUCAAUAGUUUUAUGAAUAAAAUAAGUAUUUAAUCCUAAAAUUUGUUUAUACAUUUAUUCCCUUUUUUAUGUUAAGGUCCUCAAAGAUAUUUUUGUUUCAAAAAAAAAAUAUAGUUAAGUGAAAUUAACUUUUCUUGAAUUUUCUCUUAUUUCGAGCUCUAUUUAUAAAACCUAAGAGAAAAAAAAUUGCCAUGCAUUUUCAAUAGAUUCAAAAGUAAAAUAUGUGUUUAAGUCUGAAAUUUGUUUAUACAUUUAUAUAAUAUGUUUCUUUCUUUUCUAAUAUGAUGAUCAUUUUUUGGAAAAAAAAACUUGUGCUUAAAAAAGUACUUAGUUGGUACUUUGGUUGGAGACUGUCAUUGGCACACGACUUGAUACUCAAGUUCAUUGCAAGCUUACUGAUUUAAAAACACAAACUAUUGAUCAGGUUUUGUGAAUCAAUAAUAUGAAUUGGCAAUAGUUAGUAGUGCAACAAUGUUACUACACAAAGCUUUUAGUCUAAGGCAACACUCUUAUUUUUUAAAAUAUAUCACCGAAGAACAAUAAAAUGGUCAUGUGAGAGUGAUUAAUGCAUGUUGGCGUGUAUUUUACUUUGUAUUAUUACUAACCUUCUUUGAAAAACAUUGGUUUUGCUCCUAGAUCAUAAUCAAAAUAGUGAAUUAGAACAUAUGGAACCAUCUCUUUAUCUUUCUAUCAAGAAAAAAUAUGGUAGAUUAAUUGAUAUAUCAUUUAAUGAAAGAGCCCAAUGCAAAAAAAAAUGCAUGUUGGGUCUUUGAAACAGUUCAAAUCAUUUUGAUUUGUUUUAUCGAGGUCUAUAGUUCGAGUCCAUAAAACCCUAAUAUAAUAAAUAAGCCCUAUAAAAUAAAAAAAAUAUGAAAAAUAAUAUAUAUAUGAUUAUUAGUCCAUUUAAUGUAGAUUUGGAUUACUUUACAUAUACAUUAUUUUUAUACAAAAUAUAUGAAUGACAAUAAUAUACUACGCUUAUAAUAUAAAUAUACUAAUAUUAUAAUAUAUUAUGACAUGACCUAAUUAGAAGCUUUUGAACUUGUUUACGAAAGUGACAAUUAUGGUUCAUUAUUUUAUACUCUUUGACAUAUUGUACGUCAUAAAAAAAACUUAGAAGUGAAAUAUAGUAUCAAUUUGAAUUCACAAGACACAUAGGUUUUUUCUUUUUAUUUUAUAAAAUUCAUUAUGUAAUAAUUUUAAUGCAUUGAGUGAAUGAUGCUCAUACACUAGUGUGUUAUGUUAGAUGCCAAUAAGUAUAAAAAGACAUCGUUACUUGUAUUAUAAAAUUUUGGUAAUGACAAAAAUGCAUUACACUUACAAUAUAAAGAGACUCAUUACUAUACAUUACAACAUGACUUAAUUUAUAAAGUUUUAAAUUUUUUUUAUGCAAUUGUUAGGUAUAGGUUACUUUGUUAUAUUCCCUACCAUGCUUUAUGUCAUAAGUCAACGCUAGAUGUUAAAUAAAGUAUCACUUUGAAUUCACAAAUGUUAUUUUAAAGAAAUAACUUAGUAUUUUAUCAAAAAGUAUGAAUUAAUAAUAACCUAAAAUUGUUUUCUUGUAAUUUUUAGGAGAAGAUGACAAAUACAAGGUAAAGUUUCUAACAUAACUUAUAAUAUUUGAUGAUAAUGAAGUUCAAGAUAUCAUUUAUCACUGCAUAGAGAACACACGAAGUCCAUGAUGCUUUAUUGAGAGUUCAUUGAGAAUGUUUGAAGAUAAACAAUAUUGGAAUAAUUUACAUAUUAAUGAAUUUGCUAUAUUCCAUUUAUAUAUUGGUGAAUUUUUCCCUUUUAAUUUGUUUUGUUAGUUAAUGGGUAGUCCAUUGAUAUGUUAUUUCUUUAGAGAAAGAAUUUAGUAUAAAAUGAUAAUCAUACCAAAAAGUCAAAUAUUUAGGCAAAGGAAAACUUGAUUGUUUUAAUAUUUGUGACAGAUGUUUUUUUUCCCUCAAUGUAAUAUGAUAAUAAUUGCUAGUCAUCUUGUUAAAAAAAAUUUGUAUGGGUACUAUUCAACGCAAGCUAGAAGUUUCUAUUAAUUGUCUUACUAUAAAUUUUUAAUACAUAUUUUCCCAAUUAAAUAUGAAUCAAUGUUACUUACAUUUACUUCAUUACUUAGAUAUCAGUGCAUAGAAAAAAUUCUUAGUGAUGUAAAACAAUUAAAAAAAAUUAUAUUAGAUAUUAUUGUAAGGUAUUAUAAUGUUAGUAUAUUUAUAUUGAAAAUAUAAUUGAUUUAUGUCAUUCUUAUAAUUUAAAACAAAAUUUGUAGUUUUAGAGAUGCCUUUUAUACCUUAUGGGUACUAUUAGCAUCAUAUAUUCGAUGUAUUAAAAAAUGGAAACUAUGAAAAAAAAAAAAACUCAAAGUCAAGCAAAAAACAUAUUAUUCAAAUGAAAAAAAAUCAAAUAUGAAAAGAAAUAAUUAUACAAUUUUUUAAUUAUUUUAUUAUAAAAAACCAAAUUAUCCGAAAAUACAUUUUCCUUCAAUUAUUAUUUUUCUUUUCUUUUCAAAAAUGAGAUUGUUAUAAAGAACCUAAUGAAAGGGAAUUUAUGAUUUCUAAAAUAAAAACCAAAUCCAAGAUCAAUAUGAGUAUCUUCCAUCAAUACAACAAAACAAAAUUAAAUAAAAAAAAAAUUCAACUUAAAAGACAAUAAAUUUGAGCAUCAAUAUGGGUUUCAUAUUAUCUUUGGCUUCAAAUGAUAACAGUUGAUCUAACGGUUCAGAAAAAAAAAAAUUAUGGGAGAGCAUGAAGUAUUUUUAUAACUAGAUUUGUUGUUGGAUCUUCUUCGAGGAUAUGCAAGAGAUGAAGAAGAAGAUUAACACAAAUGGCCUUUGGAGGAAUUUUUACACUUUCUUCCCACCCUUCCCAAGACUUCUCAUAAUGGAUGAUUCCAUGGGGUCAUUAUCACCAUUAAUCCACCCUAUUUAGUAAUUUUCCCUACAAAAAAAGUGCAAGUUUUGCGUUAAAUUAUCAUAGAUAAGAAAGAGUAAUUUUUAAUAUGAAAUUAAAUUAUUUAAAAAAAAUAAAGAAUAAUGAGUGCGCAAAUCAAAAGAAAAAAAUGGUUUAGUUUGAGGGAAAAUCAAAGUAUGAAAAAAAAAACAAAAAAGUUUCACGAAGUGUGAGAAAAAAAAUCAUUUUAAAUUUAGUUAGAGAGAAUUUUAGAGAGUUUUAUUUUUCGAAGAAAAAAAUGAGUUUGAAAAAAAAAAAAAAAGAGAGAAGGAAUUCUAAAGAUUGAGUUUUAGUGAAAGGGAAUAUUUAAAAUUAAUAAAUUAUUGUGUAAAAAGGAUGUUUAAAACAAAUUAAAUUUGGUGUUUGUAGAGUAAAAAUAAUUUAAAUAAAUACAUUAACCAUCAACAAAAAAAAUAUAUUAAAAUACUAAAUUAAUUAAAAUAUAAUAAUCCUAUAGAAGGAGAGUUAAAUAAUAGUUCAACCAAUACAAAAAAAAUGUCAAAAAUGUUGAACAAGCUUAAGAUCAAGUAUAAAAAAUAAAAUAAAAAGUCAUUAUUAUUUUAUAAAAAUUUUAAAAUUAUACUUGAACUUUUUUUUCUCUUUUAAUUAGAUGAAUAUGAAUGUUUCAAUUAUUAUUUGAAUUGCAUUUAUGACAUGGUUAACACAUAUAACAUAUUGAGAUACUCAAUGUAUUGUAUUAUACCGUAUCCAAUAAAUUCAACUAGAUUAGUAUACAAAAAAUUUUACUAUCAAUGUCCAAUAUUAAUUUGAACUUAUUAUUCAAUUAGCAUACUAUUUCUUGUUUGGUUAUUUAAUAUUUAUGAAUUAUAACUACAAAAUAAUUUUUACUAAUACUAAUGCAUAUGAUAAAUUUUGGUUAUUAGAUUAUAAAUUAGUUGAAAAUAAUUUUUAACAAAACAAUAUUUUGUCUUUACUCUUUCUAGACAUAUCUUCAAGUUAUAUAAUUAAAUAAAUUUUAAUUGUUUUCCAUCUCUUAAGACUUAAAUUUUUAUUAGAAAAAAAUAAGUUAAGAUAUAUUAUUUUAUUAAAUAAUAUAAUGUAAUUUUUAAUAAAUAUUGAAUAAUUUCAAAUAUUAAUAUAAAAAAUAUGAAAUCAAUCUAAUUAGUAUGGUUUUAAAAAUCGAAUCGGACCGCUCGGUCCAACCGCUGGCCAAUCACGGUUUCAAUUUGAUUAAUUAGGUCGAAAAUAGUUUGAAUUGAAAUCGGACCCAACCCUUGAAUUAGAGGAACCGAUCGAUUCCAUCCGAACCGAAUGAACCCUGGUUGCUUAUUUUCAAUCUAAUUAGUAAACUUAUAUAAUUGCCUAAUAAAAUAAAAUACACUCAAAUUAAAAAGAAAAAAAAAAAGAAAAAAGAGUGCAAAUGUUGGACACAACCUUGGUUGCUUAUUUUCAUGACUUUAAACUCUGCUUUUUAAGAUGGAACGUGAUUCAUUCAAGUUAAGAAAUCCUUUAGGCUAUAUUUGGUUCCCGAAAAAUUUGAGAGAAAAUGCGAGAGAAAUAAAAUAGAGAAAAAAAGUGGAAGUAAAAAAAAUGAAGGAAACUAAAAAAAAUAGAUUCAAAAUUAAUAUAUUAUUUUUACAUGUUUCUUCAAGCUCAUUUCACUUAAUUUCCUCCAUUAUAUAAAGAUUAAAUAAAUUUAAAAUAUAUGAAUUUUUAACUAAUUUUAAUUAUAUUUAAUUUUCUUUUAAAAAAUUUGUAGUGAAACUAAAUAUAAGAAAAUUAUUUUUCUUUGCAUUUUUUUCUUUUCUUAUUUCUUUUUGGGAACCAAACAUAACCUUAAUGUACACUUAUUUUAGGUACCAAUGGACCUUUAUCAUUCCAUCAAAAACUUAAUAUACUACAUUGGAAAACAAGAAGUAAAAAACUAGUUUUGCAAAUUGAAUACAAUUAUGAAAAAAAAAAAAAUAGUUUCAAGGUGCAAUGAAAAAAGUUUACAAGUUUUAGAAUAUUGCACAAAAAAAUAUAUUAACAAAAUCUCAAGGUUUAGACAACAAACUGAUUUACAAGUAGUAAUCUUUCUAUGGAUGAAGUUUAAGAGCCUUAAAAGAGAGGUUCAAGUCAAAACUAAUCUUUAGAUAUAAGUUAUAAUUUAACUAAUCAAUCACUUAUUAUGUAUUAUACUUUUUGGGCAACCUUGGACUGUUAGCCACUGCAACCUACAACUUUUUCCCACUGCUCAAUUAGGUUAUGUUUGGUUUGGGGAAAGUAUUAAAGAAAAAAAAAUUAAGAAAAAUUUAUUUCCUUAUGUUUGAUUUUUCUAUAAUUUAUUUUUUAAGAAAAUUAAAUAUAAUUAAACUUAGUUAAAAAUUUAUAUAUUUUAAAAUUAUUUAAUCUUUAUAUAAUGAAGGAAAUUAAGUGAAAUGAAUUUGAAAAAACAUGUAAAAAUAAUUUAUUAAUUUUGAAUCUAUAUUUUAUUUUACUUUAUUUUUUCUUUCAUUCCACUUUUCUUUUUUCUUUUUUUCCCCUUACAUUUUCUCUCAGAUUUUUAAGGAAUCAAACAGAGGGUAUGAAUUUGAAUAUUUUUUAGCUAUAAAGGUCCAAGAAUUGGUUCAAUUGAAUAUCCAUAUAAUUUUGGAGGAACAUUUUAACAAUAUUAAUAAAUGUUUAUUCGAAUUGAAAAAUAUAUUUUAACUAAUGAUAAAAAUGAAUCAUGUUAAAUUUGAGCUUUUAAUUUUGUAUGAAUCAAACUCUUUGUUUUUUUUUGAAGAAAAAAAAAAUCAACAAUGCAUAAAUGGGUUUUUUUUUUUUAAAUCUUUAUAAAACUAUGAUUCUUUUUCCUUUAAAAAUGUUUAAUUUUUAAAUGUCAAUAUUAAGGCAUAUUUAUUAUCAUUGAAAAAAAAAUAUCUUUUGAUUUUCUUUUCAAUGUCAUUAAAAUUAAAGUCAUAAAUUAUAUGCUAAUCUUUAAUAGAAUGAUUCCACUUUUACCAUCACUUUCGUUAUCUACCUAGCUAUUGGGGAACUCAUGAUGGGACGUGAUAAAAAAAUGAAGUAAUUAUUUCACAAGUUAUUUAUCAAUUUUUUUUAAAAAAUCCUAAUUACCAUAACAUCACAAGAUUUUCUAUAAAUUAUUUUGCCAAACAUUAUGAAAAUGAUGAGAUAAUUUAAUGCUUCUAAAAUUAUAAUAAUUGAAGAAUAAGAUGAGAUUUGAUAGUUGUGGUGAAGUCUAAGACCGCGUUGAGUGUAAUCUGUAAUUAGAGAUAGUGGGGAAUUUCACGAGGCUUGUCAGUAGGCAAAACGCUGGAGUUUAUGCCCCAAUAAUCAAAUCGGGAAGCAGAGAUUCAAACGACAACAAACAAAAGCAAUAGCGGCUAGACGCGUGAAAAAUCCUUUAUGACGUAACGUGCCCCCCACUCAGAAAUCGCCACGUGUGGCACACGCGUCUUCUGAAUUACUUGAAAAUUGAGCAUCCAUUGAGUGUGCCCUGUCCCUUCUGUUUUUACCGAGUCAGUGAUGGACUUGUUAUAUUUUGAAUCCCACUCUCAUCUGCCACUCAUUAUCCUUCUCUACAUGUUUUAAAUAACUGAAAUUACUCUUAAGUGAGUCCACUCGACUACGGGGAUAUAUGAUUCACUCUCUUCUCAUAAGUUCAACUUCAAUUUUUUUUUUGGAUAAAGACAUGGUAAUAUGUACAAAUUUUCUUAAUUCUUGCAAAAAACCGUGACGCAUUAUUUUUAUUUAUUUAAAAAAAUAUGGGUAUAUUUGUGGAUGGAAGGCUUGGAAGCCAUAAUCUUGUACAGGUGAAUGGUGACAGACUUCAUUUAUGAUGGGGUAGUACUAUAUAAUAUUCUUUGUUUUUGGGAAGCAAAACUCUUAAACUUAAUAAUGAAUAAUUUUCUACCUGUUUAAGACUCAGCCUAUCAAAAUAAAACGGCCAAAACCCGGCCUUUAUCUCUCCGUAACUCCUAUAAAUUUCUGGUUCCAACGCAUCAGACACGCCAACAUUCUCGCUUCUUCUCCUCACUUCUCACUUCUCACUUCUCAAACUGAAGGAGAUAGAGAGAGAAAUGCAUAGACAACAUAAGCUUUUGAGCCAUCUCUUUCUCAUUUUCUUAUUCUCAGCUUCGUUUCCCAAUGUAGGAAUGGGUUUUUUUUCUUUUCUUUCUUUUGUUUUCUCAAUAAUUUUUCUUCUUUUUUCACACCCUUUCAAUUCACAAUGCAGGUUGCUUUGGGCGGAGCCGGUGAGGAAUCGGGCAAACCGGUGGCUGGAGAAAACCCAUUCACACCCAGAGCGUCUUUGCUUCGGUAUUGGAAUAAGCAGAUCGGCAGUGGCUUGCCAAAGUCCACCUUUCUUCUCUCCAAGGCAUCCCCAUUGAGCGCGGUUGAGUCGGCCACCUUUACUAAACUUGCCGCUCAAAAUGCGCUUUCCGACAAUCUGCCGGCGUUCUGUAAGUCUGCGAACCUGCUCUGUUUUCCCGAUUUGGGGCAGAGCUUGGAGAAGCAUGACGCUAGUUCCAACUUCGCCGUGUAUUCGAACAAGAAUUUCACCAAUUACGGAACGGAUGGACUCGGGGGAACGGACGCCUUCACAAAAUACUCGGAGGGGGUCAAUCUUCCUGUCGACGCAUUCAAGCGCUAUAGCCGUGACUCCGUCGGCAACAAUGAUAAAUUCGAUAAUUACGGCCGCGAGGGCAACGUCGUGGAUCAGAGCUUCAGCGGCUACGGUGCCGGGGCUACCGGCGGCUCUGGAGAGUUCAAGAAGUACAACGAAGAGGUUAAUGUUCCCAACCUUCGAUUCAACUCCUACACAGACGAUGGCAAUGGCCGUCAACAAUCAUUCACGAGUUACACAAAUGAGACCAAUUCUGGAGAUGAGUCCUUCAGUAGCUACGGCAAGAACGGCAACGGAUCUCCGAACGAGUUCACGAGUUACGGCAGCAGCUCCAACGUCAUCGGCUCCACGUUCACCGGCUACGGUGAAACCGGCAAUGCCGCCAACGAUACGUUCAAGAGCUACGGCUUUGACGGCAACGUGCCAGAGAACAACUUCAAGAAAUACGGUGAUGGUGGUAAUGCGGGGACCGAUACUUUCAUAAGUUACAGAGAUCAAUCCAAUGUAGGAGACGACUCCUUCAAAUCCUACGCCAAGAAUUCCAAUUCCGCAGAGGUGGAUUUCGUCAACUAUGGGAAAUCGUUCAACGAAGGUACAGACACUUUCGCUGGGUACGGCAAGGGAGCGACGAACCACAAAAUUAAUUUCAAGAUCUACGGCGUCAACAACACAUUCACAGACUACGCUAAAAAGGGCAUCUCCUUUUCAAGAUACACCAACAAAAGCUCUGAAACAAUGACUUCCAUGGCGGUCAGUGGCAGUUCAGUAAAUAGGUGGGUUGAGCCGGGUAAAUUCUUCCGCGAGUCGAUGCUGAAGAAAGGGACUGUGAUGCCAAUGCCGGACAUUAGGGAUAAAAUGCCCAAAAGGUCGUUUUUGCCCCGCACUAUUUCCUCCAAAUUUCCGUUUUCAACCUCCAAACUUGAGGAGAUGAAGAAAAUAUUCCAUGCCGCGGAUAACUCAAGCAUGGAGCACAUGUUCACAGAGGCAUUAGAUGACUGCGAGAGAGCACCCAGCAAAGGCGAGACCAAGCGCUGCGUCCCCUCCAUCGAGGACAUGAUCGACUUCGCCACCACCGUCCUCGGCCGCAACGUUGUGGUUCGCACCACCCAAUCCGUCGAAGGGUCAAAACAAAACUUAAUGAUCGGGUCGGUCAAAGGGAUCAACGGUGGACAAGUCACCAAAUCGGUGUCCUGCCACCAGAGCCUGUUCCCUUAUCUACUCUAUUACUGCCACUCCGUUCCCAAGGUUCGGGUCUAUGAAGCGGACCUCCUGGACCCGAAAACCAAAGCCAACGUUAACCAUGGUGUUGCCAUCUGUCACUUGGACACCUCCGAUUGGAGCGCGGGUCAUGGUGCAUUCGUGGCAUUGGGUUCGGGCCCUGGCCGGAUUGAAGUUUGUCACUGGAUUUUCGAGAAUGAUAUGACCUGGACCAUUGCAGACUGAGCCAUGACCCACCUUCCCGUCUGGGUUCGAACCACUUGGUCAACAAAGCUGGCUCGACCCCAACUUCCGCUUAUGUAUUUCCUUCAUAAGAUGUCAUGGUGAAAUAUUUAAGGCAUGUGUUUCACCAGGCUAAGGAUGGUAAUUUAUUGUAUGUUAUCAUUAUCCCAGUGUUGAGAGCGUGUCUUUGAUGGCUUCCUCAUUGGUAGGAGGGUGAAAUGCAAUGAAUGAAUGGCUUGUUCUUCUUUUCUCUCUGUUUAUUAAUUUUUUUAUAUUUGACAUUAAAGAAAUGGAGGGUGGUGGGAGAACAGAGGGAGAUGCAAAACGUUGAUGAAUCUAGAAACCAAAACCAAAAGAUGAUGCACAUACACCACUCAAAAAAGAAAAGGGUGCUAUAAAAAAAACAUGGGAAAGGCCAUGUGACAGCUGUUGCAGGGGCAUCCCCUUAAUUCUCAUGGAAAACAAGGGGCAGUGAUUAGAAGGUUUCUUCAGUUGAUCGUUCAAUUCCGAAGUCAAUUAGAUCCGUUUUAUUGCAAAUUUCCACCAUCUUGAUGGCGCAAAAUCACUGUCACCUUUCAAGGGUGCCCUUAAAAGGAAAAAGAACAAAAAGGGGUAGCCUUUUAUCCAUCUUUUUCUUAGUCAUGAUCAUGAAAGCAAAGAUUUCUAAUUUUGGGUGGCUCAAAUAAAGAAAGGCGAUUCCAAGAUUUGAGUGGCUCCAAUGAACGGAUUAGCGUUCGUGAUGGUAAAAAUUAAUCUCUCAAAUGGCUUCAUUCACGGCCCACGACUCAAUCAUGCUUCUCAUGAACUUGAAAAACUACCCUCCUCCCUGCACGGUCUAGUGUGGCACUGCCUUCUGGUUUAUUUAAAUACACUUCCUGAGCUUCAUUCUCUCAUCAAUCAACCUAAUAGUUUGUCUUUUUUCUUCAUAUUAAAAAAUAAAACCAUCAUGUUAUCGUAAAUAUUACAAUAAUUGAAUUGAGACAAUGACGUUGUAACUGCCAUUAAUUAGACGUUGAUACUCAAGGGCAAAAGUCCCAUCAGUAGAUCAUUAAUUGGAACACCUCCAUCUAUGCUCAAUCUAAAGCCCGAGGCAUUAAGUGCCACAUUUCCCUGUUCCACAGAUGGACGUCCUUAAACAGAGCUUUAUAUCAUUGGUCAAUGUUCAAUGAAAUUUGUAAGGCCCAGAUAAAGUGAGUGGGCUAUGGAAUGAUUGCAAAGUUGUUUCCUUUAUCACGUUAAAACUCAUCCCUUUCCUAAGGCUGCAACGCCAAGUAUGAUGAUGCUUAAUCUUUCAGUAGCCUCAAAGCUGCAGAGAGUGAGCAUGUAUUGUUUCCAAAAAGUGCCUAAUUCAUCCACCCGCGAAUCACUAUCAUGUUUGGGACCAUGAAAAACGGAAAAAGAAAAAGAAAAGAAAGGGAAAGAGAGACAGAAGAAAAGAAAAACGAAAAGAAAAGCGUGUAAUCGAUGUAUUAGCAAUAUAAUUAGCAUUAUCUCUUGGCUUUGUCAAAGAAGAAAUAAUAGAUUGGAGAAAGAUUUAGACGAAAAGGAAAAGAAAAGCUAGCCAAGCAUGCUUUUUAUGACGCAGGCACUUUUGGUAGGGCACAUGCAUUUUAUGUACGCACGCUUAUAACAGCGGGUUACAUGUAUUUAUGUAAUCCCCUGAGGAAGGCGCAAAAAGUAAAAUUCAUCGUGGGAAGUACAAAACUUUGUCAACGUUCAACGUUCAAUGAGAUUUGGCAUUUAGAGUUGAAGGGUGUAGGAAUUCAAGACAUUUCAACAACCCUCAAUACAUCAAACAAAAAGAAAAAGUACCGAUAUUUUAUUGCUAUUAGAGAAAAUAGGCUCUAUAAAGACCCAGCAUGUGAAUGGCCGAGGAAAUAUAACUGCAGGCACCAUAAUCAUCGUUUGGAAUUUGGAAAUUCAAGUUUGAGAAAAGGCUCCAUUAAUGGAGCCAAUGGCCAAUCUUUUUCUCUGAGCAAGUAGACCGAUCGCCCAUGUUUUCCAUUGUGAAGAUGGCUCUCCACUAGGAGCCUACAAGAACCAAAGUUGGGAUUCUCUCAACCAUAGACUGGGCCACCGACACAUACGACCCACUAACCAUCUGCCAUGCCAUAAAAGCAGGUACUCGUUUGCCAUUUGGGGAGGACCCCUACUCAAGCAAUUAAAACUCCAUAUCUCAUUUGGCAGGAAAUACUACAAACUACUACAUAUAUCUUGGAUCGCAAAUGCCUAAGAUGGUAAAAUGUAUGGGACCCAUGUGGCCCUGCACUUCUGCCAUUUGUUAGGGUCUACUACAUAUAUCUUGGAUCGCAAAUCUCUAAGAUAGUGAAAUGUAUGGGACCCAUGUGGCCGGUUUGCUUCAUCAGCAUCCCCUGCACUUCUGCCAUUUGUUAGGAAUGGCCUACGGCAUAUAUCUUGGAUGGCAAAUCUCUAAGAUGGUAAAAUGUGUGUGACCCAUGUGGCAGGUUUGCUUCCUCAUCAGCAUCUCCUGCUUUCUGUCAUUUGUUAUGUUUUUUAUUUUAAUGCGGCCCACGUGGCCUAUUUUAUUAUUAAUUAUUUUUAUUUAAUUUAAAAGAUAAUUAUAGUAAACUUAUUUUAUUAUUAAUUAUCUUUUAUUUAAUGUAAAAAAUGAUUAUGAUUAACAAUAUUAAGUGCUAAAAUCCUAUUCAUUAGUACUUAAAGGAGUUGUUUUCUAAAUAAUCAUUAACCUUGAUCAAGUAUGGGAAAUAAAAAGAGAAAGGAGACCCUAUUUAGGUGCGAAUCCUCUCUCCAUCCGAUAUAUAAUUUUCUCUUCAUUAAGAAACAUAUAUCAAACUAAAAGGGAUUAAGAGAGAAAAACCAAGUUUUUUUUUUUAAUUUGUUCUUCUUUGUAAAGAAUUCUCUUUAAGAUUAAUCUCAUGGAUUAAUAUAUAUUUUCUUGAUCAUUUAUUUUAUAUAUGAAAAAUCAUAAAGUUCUAAGAUUUGGGAAUUAGAGUUAUACAUAAUUGUUCAAUAUAGAUUAAAGAAACCUUAAGAUGUGAUAUUAGAGUAAAGAUUUACAAAUUUGUGAUUUUCCUUUGAAGAUUAUUUUAUAUUUCUCUCUUAUGAUAUCAAAUCUUUUAACAAGAAAAUUAAAUUUAUUAAUAUUUUCUGUUGUAAUUGUGUUAGCGUUUUGUUGUAUGUUUUGCCUUUCAAAUAGUUGACUAUUCAAUAAUUAUUGUUGAUGUAAUUUCUUUUAUAUAUUAUUGCUUAUCAUUUUUUUAAGUAUGUUUCAAAUGCUCUUUCUGGUUUCCUUAUGCAUAUUUGACAAUAAAAUCCUUAAGAGAAUUGAUUAAUAUAUAAUGUGUCAAUAUAUUAUGUGAAUGAUUUUUUCUUUUGUAUUAAAGUUUUGCUUUAUUUGUAAAGUUUUGUUUUAUUUUAUUGUAGUGCCACUUUUACUAUGAUAGAUAUAUAAGGAAUCAUGAAGUUUUGAGUGAUGUGUGUAUAUAUUAUUAUUAUUAUUGUUGUUGUUGUUGUUAUUAUUAUUAUUAUUAUUAUUAUUAUUACAAUUACUAUAUUAUUAUUCAUGCUUAUUGAUAUUAUACAAUUUGAAUAGAUAUUAUGAAUGGUUUGUUAAUCACCAAAGUGACAAAAUCCUAAAGCUUUAUGUUAAUUAAAUUGUACAAUAUUAUCAAAUAACUAUUAUGGCUAUUUAAUUUGAUAUCUAUAGCAUGAAUAACCUGUUAGUAAUCAAAGUAGCCAAAUUAGAAAGUUUUUAUAGAUGUCAAAUUAAAUAAAAUUCAAUUGCUCAUGAUUAUGUGAUGACAUAUGAAAUGACAUAAUGAUAUGUAUAUUUGUUUUGUCAUGAAUAUAUUGAAGUUUAUUGAUCAUAAAACAUUUAGGGAUCACCCAAAUAUUUAAGGAUCACCUAAAGGUUGAUUAGUUAAUUUUAUUGUCAUUAACAUGAUCGUGGUUAACUAAUAUACUUUAUUUUAUAUGUUUAGUAUAUCCAAAGUUAGCAAACAUGCCAGGUUAAAGUAUAUAUAAUUGUUAAUUAUAAAAAUAAAUAAAUUAAACAUCAAUUAUGUUUAUUGUUAUACAUUGUUGGAUCACCCAAAGAAGAACUUCAAUGUACAUUUAUUGUUUAUGUUAAUGUUAAUAUCUGAAUAAGUAUUAUCUGUUUAAGUUUAUGACUCAAAACAUUAAUGUAUGAGUGUUCUAUGUAUUUGUAGUUUCUGCUCUCGUUUCUCUUCAUUCACAAGCUUCGUCUAUUUUGAAGUAUAAUAGACUCAACUUCUUUGAGUGGUAUGAACAAGCCCAGUUUCACCUAGGUGUUCUGGAUCUUGAUUUGACACUCAUUACUGAUAAGCUUGUUGCUAUUACUAAUUCAAGUAGCACAAAGCAAAUGUCUUUUCAUAAGGCUUGGAAAAUAUCAAACAAACUAAGCCUAAUGUUUAUGCGAAUAACAAUAGUAAACAACAUCAAGUUAGCUCCUUAAACUUAUACACACCGACAUAUGUGGGCCUUUUGAUGUUCAAUUUUUUUGGUGGAGAAGCGUAUUGUAUUACCUUUAUUGAUGAUUUUUCACCUUAUGACUAUGUAUAUUUGUUGCAUGAAAAAUGUCAAUUAGUAGACGCCUUAGAAGUGUUUAUUAAUGAGAUUGAAAGACAACUAGACAGAAAUGUGAAAAUUGUUAGGUCUGACAAAGGUGGUGAAUAUUGUGGAAAACAUGUUGAAAUUGGACAAUCCACUGACCUAUUUGCUAAAUUCCUUGAAAAACGUGGCAUAUGUGCCUAAUACACUAUGUCAAGUACAUCGCAAGGUGUUGUAGAAAGGCGUAACCGUACUCUAAUAGACAUGAUUAGGAGUAUGUUGAGCUAUUCUUCUUUACUCUUAUCUUUGUGGAUGCAUGCUUUAAAAACUGUCAUGUAUUCAUUAAAUGGGGUUCCCAAUAAGGCAGUUUCAAAGACCCCUUUUGAAUUGUGGAUAAGAAGGAAACCCAAUUAAAGGUACCUGCAUGUUUAAGGUUACUCGAAAAAAGUAAGGAUUUAUAAUCCAUAUAAAAAUAAAUGAGACUCAAGAACAACUAGUGGCUUUUUCAUUGGUUAUCCAAAAAAAUCUAAAGGGUAUGGAUUUUAUUGUCUUGACUAUAGUACAAGAAUUGUUAAAGCUGAAAAUGUUAUGUUCAUAGAAAAUGGCGACAAUAAUGAGAGUAUGGAACCACAUAAAGUGGAAAUUGAAGAAGUUAGGGUGCAGGUUUCUUUACUUUUGACUUCUUCUCAAGUUGUUGUCCCUACGAUUGUUGAAUAGUUUGACAACUUGCAAGAACAACAAAUGAAUGAUCAAAUUCCCUAUAAUGAAAUUGUUGCAUAUGAACCUAUAGUGGACGAACCAUAUGAAGUAACAUUAAGAAGGUCUCAAAAGCAAAAGAGAUCUGUUAUCUAAUGUUAUAUGGUUUAUAUACAAGAGUAAGAAUUUGAAUUAGGUGUUAAUUCUAUUAAGACCAGUUUAGGAUCCAUCUUCAUUUUCACAAGCCAAAAAAAGUGUUAAUUCUAUUAAAAUGAUUAGACGUUAUGAAAGAAGAGUUAAAAUCCAUAGAUCAUAAUGGACUCUAGGACCUCGUUGAAGCCCGAAGGUUGUAAGAGGCAGUUGUAAAUGAGUUUUUAAGACCAAAUGUAACUCAAAUGGCAAUAUCAAAUGUAUAAGGCUAGACUUGUUGCCAAGGAUUUUAUUUAGAAGGACGGUGUUGACUACAAUGAGGCAUUUUCUUCUGUUUCAAAAAAGGAAUCUUUUAGAAUUAUCAUGGCAAUGGUAGCUCAUUAUGACUUAGAGUUACAUCAAAUGGAUAUGAAACCAUUUUUUUUAAUGAGUAUUUAGAGGAAGAAGUUUACAUGGAUUAACGUGAGGGUGUUUUUGUUAAAGGAAAGGAACAUAUGAUGUGUAAACUUAAGAAGCCAAUAUAUGGACUUAAAUAACCUUCUCGACAAUAGUAUCUUAAGUUCAAUGAUAUUAUCAUUUCUAUUGGAUUUAAAGAAAACACCGUUAACGGUGUAUAUAUAUGAAAGUCAGUAGGAGUAAGUUUAUAUUUAUGAUUUUAUAUGUUGAUGAUAUUUUGCUUGCUACUAAUGAUUUUGGCUUACUACAUGAGACUAAGAAAUUUCUCUCUAAGAACCUUGAAAUGAAAUAUAUGGAUGAGACAUCCUAUGUGAUGAAUCACAAGGAUUGUCUCAAAAAGCAUGCAUUAAUAAAGUUUUAGAAAGAUUCAAGAUGGAAAAGUGUUUUACAAGUGUUGCUCCAAUUUAGAAAGAGGAUAAAUUCAGUCUUAUUUAAUGCCCAAAGAAUGAAUUGGAACAUACAGAAAUGGAAAGAAUUCUUUAUCUAUCUAUUGUUAGGAGCUUGAUAUAUGCUCAGACUUGUAUCAGGCCAAACAUCAUUUUUGUUGUCGAAAUGUUAGGUAAAUAUCAAAGUAAUCCAGGUUUGGAUCAUUGGAAAGUUGCAAAAAAAGUAUUAAGAUACUUGCAAGGAACAAAGGAUCACAUGCUUGCUUAUAGGAGAUUUAAUCAUCUAGAGGUGAUUAAAUAUUUAAAUUCAAAUUAUAUUAGAUGUGUUGAUACAUGAAAAUCCACAUUUGACUAUUUGUUCCUUUUAAUUGGCGGUGUGAUAUCAUGGAAAAGUGCGAAAUAGUCUAUCAUUGCUGCAUGCACUAUGAAAGUUGAGUUUGUUGCACGCUUUGAGGCCAUCGGUAAUGGAUUACGGCUACAGAACUUUACUUCAAGACUUAGUAUUGUCAACAAUAUUGUCAAGUUGCUGAAAAUUUAUUGUGAUAACUCUGUAAUAGUUUUCUUUUAAAAAAACAAGAAGUAUUCAAAAGGUGUUGAACACAUAGAAGUGAAAUACUUUGUCGUUGAAAGAAGUUCAAAAACAAAGGGUGCCAAUCAAACACAUUAACGCCAACUUUAUGAUUACAAAUUCAUUAACAAAAGGAUUGUCGACAAACAUGUCGAAAAAACGGACAUUAUUGGGUAUUGUCAUUAACAUUAAGUAUGUUAUUAUGUUAUGUUUUUAUGUAUUCAACACUUUAAGCUCAUUUAAAUAUUGUUUUUGAUAUUUGAAUAUCCUAUUCCUUUUCAUUGGUAUAUACAUGAAUGAAUUAUGUAAGUUUUAAUAGAAUUUGUCUCUGAUGAAGACAUUAUUGUUGGAUGAUUAUGAUAUAUUUUAUUAUAGGUCAUGUUAAGUUUGAAAUUAAAUAUUGUGAUACAUGGAAGAGAUUAUGUCAAGAUAAUGACAUGUAACCACUAUGAUUCUUAUUAGUUUUUGUUUAAUGGUGAUUUAUGAUGUAACUAAUGUAAGAAAGGAUUUCACUUAUAGUAUGCAUAUUAUGUUUUAUUAUUAAACCAUGGUAAUGCCAUAUGAGCCAAGUGGGAAAAUGUUAGUUUUUUUUUUUUUUUUUUUGAAUAUGGCCCAUGUGGUUUAUUUUAUUAUUAAUUAUCUUUUAUUUAAUUUAAAAGAUAAUUAUGAUUAAUAAUAUUGAGUGCUAAAAUCCUAUUAGUCAAUUAAGGAGAUGUUUUCUAAAUAAUCAUUUAUGUUGAUGGAACGUGAGAGAAAAAAAAAAAAGACCUUUAGUUAUUUCUUUACCCAAUAUAUAUAUAUAUAUAUACAAUUUUUUUUCCAUCAAACAACAUAAAUCAAACUAAAGGGGUCAAAAGAGAGAAACCAAGUUUUCUCUUAUUUGUUAUUCUCUGUAAAGAUUUCUUCAAGACCAAUUUUAUGGAUCAAUGUAUGUUUUCUUGAUUAUUUGUUUUAUUUGUAAAAAAUUUAAAAGUUCUAAGAUUUCGAAAUUAGAAUUAUGCAUAAUUGUUCUGCAUAAAUUAAAAAACCCCAACACCAUUUUCCUCUACUCUCUAUCUUGCUUCUUGGGUCUCAUAUUUUGUACUUUGUUUACCAUUAUAUAAGUUAUCUUCCAAUAUAUUCGUUUUGCCAUAAUUUUCACAGAGCUUAUAGAAAUAUGUGAAUGUAUAUGCACAAAAGAAUUAAUUUUGCUUCCGUCAUUCUAAACUCUUGAAAUAAGUCCAGAAAGGAACUGCUACUUACAAAGAUUGAGCCAGCAAAUGAAAUUUUUUUAAUUUUCUUAUUCCUCAUUCUUAAUUAAUACUAUGUUUAGUAUGGUAAUGGAGGUAUUUGGAAAGGAAAAAAAUGGACUUAAAAAAAAAAAAUCAAAUUUGGUAUUAGGAAUAGAAGGAAUACAUGAAGGGAAAUGAUUUCAAAAUGAUUUAUUAAAAUUUUGAAGUUUCCAUUUAAAAAAAAAAAUGAAUGAAAUUUGAUUUGAUAUCUUUUAAUCUUUUUAUCCAUAUAAAUAAUUUUUACUUAGUGAAGUCUGGAAUUUCAUGUCAAUAUAUAGUUUCUCUUUCAUUUUGAUUUUUGAAAUUAUUGGUAGAUUCAUAUAAGAAUUCAAAGUAAAAAAAGAUUUUUUUUUACGAUAAUUAUUAUAUUCUUUGAAUUUUUUAACUAGUAUAAGUAAUUUUCAUUGAUCAUUGGGGUAAAUAUCUGAAUUUACUACAUCAUAUUUUUUUGAAGGAAUAUUACAAAAUUAUUUCAUUUUCAUUUCUCUUACAACACCAAACAUGUGAAAGAUUUUUUUUUUUCUCUUCUGGCAAACAUGAUGAAUAAAUUGAAAUCUAAUUUCUUUUCUUUUAAUUUCUAUUAGUAAUUGAAUUUGUUUUGAAUUGAAAUUAAUUCCUUUCAUUGCAAAUCCUCUUUUAUACCAAAUAGAAUGAAGUAAUUGAAAUCCAAUUGCUUUCUUAUUUUAAAUUUUAUUGAUUGAAUUCUUUCUUUCUCUCUCUAAAAUCAGAAUAAGUUGAAAUUAAUUUAUUUUAUUUCAAAUUUUAUUUUAAAAAAAAAUUGAUUCUAAAUAUAAUAUUAACAUUUUCUUUAGUUUAGGCUUUUGCCCAAAUAUCCCUAAAAUAAACACUCUGGGAGUAUGGGCCUCCGAGGAAUGGAGUCCAACUGUUAACACCCAGCUAUGAACAAACCCCAGAGUCAACUCUACUCAUUGAUUUCAGCUGAGUUCCUUGACAUCUGUGGAUCACUUUUCAUACUGGCAUGGCUGACCGGCUGAAUGACCCAUCUGUAUAGGGUAGAGCCGGGCCUGAUGCAGUCUUCUUUCAGUGCACUACCUACAUUCGACAGUCUGAUAAUCUGGACUAUCAUUCAUUCAUUUCACUCGGACAGCUUUCCCUGCUGUUUUGGAUUGAGAAUUAAUGGGCUAUGGUUCUGUAACCUUGAAGGUGGGGAAGAUGACUUCGGUGCUCUCUUAAACGAAGUCGCAGCAGGGAGUAUUCAAUUUUCUGAGAAGUUAGGUGAGUCCCAGUACAUCAUCAAUCAAUUGAACGUGCACGAGUAUACAUAAUGAAAAUAUAAAUAAAAGGUGCAAUUGAUUUAUAUUCUUGUGAUCACUACUAGCAUUUACGGUAGGUAAGUCGAGAUUCACCCACAAAUUAUCUUCAUCUGUCCACCAGCAAAACUAGAAUGAUCUGCUCCUUCUCCAUUGGGUAAGAAAGGAUUAUGUUUCCAGCUAUUUGACUCUAGCAGACUAGAUAGAAAAUUUUUAGAGAAAGACGUGUUUUAAAAUAGAUAACAUCUACAUAGAUGGUGUGCAUGCAAAACUAAGUCUCAAUCGAUAUCCUUGUCUUCCUUUUAUUAGAUCUAGUUCCACCCACAAAUUUAUUAUCUAGGAGUGGACCACCUUAUGCAUAAAUGGGCGACACCCAACAACAAUAAAGCCAAUGAUGGUGAACCAUUAGUGACCGAAUUAAAGAUCUUUUGGAGACUGUAUCGAUUCUUCACCACUUAUUGCUGUGCAACGACCACUCGAAAUGGACAUAUAUAGAAUAUUGAAGAAGAGACCAUUCAUACAUGCAUAUGUGAGUAAACAAACAUAUUACACAACGGGGACUCGUCAUUGUCAUCCCGCGGAGAGGAGGGCAAUCCACUGUGAGAUGAAUCACUGUCGAAUGCCAUGACAAAAUCUACGUAAGAAACGAAGAAGACACUCUAACACCGGCAACAGAGCUUUGACCCAAAAUAGUGCGUUUUAAAAAAAUAUUCCAAAAAAUGAAGUUGUUGUCAAAAUAAUGUCCGAUCUAAUGCGUUUGUGCCAUAUGUCAUAAAACCGUAGUUGGUGACUACGGUUUUAUUUUUCUUAAGUGAUUAGAAACCGUAGUUACCAAUCACGGUUUUAACUUACUACUGCUUUGACUUUUUUUAAAAUGGUCAAAAUCGUAGUCACCAACUACGGUUUUAACUUUAUAUAUAUUUAUAUAUAACUUUAAUUUUUUUAAUAAAAAUAUUAUAUUAUUUUGAUUUUAAAUAUACUUAUUUCAUUAUUUUAAAAAUAAUAAUAUAUGAAAUUAAAUAAUUGAUAUUUUUAAUUUGAUAUAAAUAUAUUUUUAAAUUUUAUUAAAAUAAUAUACUCUAUAUUUAAUAUAAAUAUAUUUAGUUAAUUAUAUUUAAAUAUAAAUAAAAUAUAAUAAAUUAUGAAAGCCUAUUAAAAAACAAAUAAUAUAAAUUAUUAUAUUAAUUAAUAAUUUUUUAUAUACUAUAUGUAAGUGGUAUAUAAUGUCACAUGUAUAUAAGUUUAAUCAAGUUUAAAAUUUAUCAUAUUUUAAUUUAAGUUCAUAAUAUUAUAUCGAUAUGAUAAUAAUUUAUUUAUAUAUUUAAAUAAAUAUGCUAAAUUUUAAACUUAAAUUAAACUUUUAUAUAUAUAUAUAUAUAUAUGUGUGUGUGAUAUUAUAUACUACUUACAUAUAAUAUAUAAAAAAAUUAUUAAUUAAUAUAAUAAUUUAUAUUAUUUUUUUAUCCAAAUAGGCAUUUAUAAUUUAUUUAUUUUAAAUAAACAUAAUUUAUUAUAUUUUAUUUAUAUUUAAUUGUAAUUAAAUAAUUAUAUUUAUAUUAAAUAUAGUGUCAAUUGUUUUAAUAAAAUUUAUUUAUAUAUUUAAAUAAAAAUAUGAUAAAUUUUAAACUUAAAUUAAACUUUAUAUAUAUAUAUAUAUAUAUAUAUAUAUAUAUGUGUGUGUGUGAGGUAUUAUAUACCACUUAUAUAUAAUAUAUAAAAAAUUAUUAAUUAAUAUAAUAAUUUAUAUUACUUUUUUAUUUUUCUAAAUAGGCAUUUAUAAUUUAUUUAUUUUAAAUAAAUAUAAUUUAUUAUAUUUUAUUUUAAUUAAUUAAUUAUAUUUAUAUUAAAUAUAGUGCCUAUUGUUUUAAUAAAAUUUAAAAAUAUAUUUUUAUAUCAAAUUAAAAAUAUCAAUUAUUUAAUUUCAUAUAUUAUUAUUUUUAAAAUAAUGAAAUAAGUAUAUUUAAAAUCAAAAUAAUAUAAUAUUUUUAUUAAAAAAUUAAAGUUAUAUAUAAAUAUAUAUAAAGUUAAAACCACAGUUGGUGACUACGACUUUGACCAUUUAAAAAAAAAAUCAAAGCCGUAGUCACUAACUACGACUUUAAACUUAAAGUUAAAACCGUGGUUGAUAACUACGGUUUCUAACCACUUUAGAAAAAUAAAACCGUAAUCACCAACUACGGUUUUAUGACAUGACAGCUUAUGUGGCACAAACGCAUUAGAUCGGGCAUUAUUUUGAAAACAACUUUAUUUUUUGGAAUUUUUUUUUAAAAUGCACUAUUUUGGGUCAAAGCUCCCAGCUACACAUGCUUAAUUCAGCCCAAUAUCCGGAUAUUUUAAAUAUGAAUUGUGAGUGUUUAGCUAGGUUGGCAAUUCCGGACAAAAUUCCUAAGUGUCCCCUAACUCGACUUUUCUAUUCCUAUUCGGACUACUUGACUUUGAAGACUAAGACUUUGCUAAGAGACCGAGAUAUGUAGCUGAGUGUGUGGUGAUUGGAUGUGAAUCAACCCGGUUUUUAAUCUUUAAAUGUGUUAGAAAGUUGGGAAAAAUGGUUUUUGGUGCAAGGCUUUCAUUCCUCUGUUUCUGGAUCGAUCCAAGUGUAGGGGUGGAUCUAUCCAACUAAUGUUUUUUUGAUCAAAUCUCAACCAUUAGAUUAAGGGUUUCUUUUUACACUUUAAAAACCAAUCUUCUCUCAUUUUCUAGUGAGAGUGACUGCAGAAACGUGGAGAGAGCAACCACACUCCUUGUGUUCUUCAUUUUCUCAUUUUGUUUUCCCAAUUUGGGGUUUUUGAUUGCAAAGAAAAUCCACUUCUCUUAAUGUUUUCCAAACUGGUUUUUAAUGGAUUUUCUUGAGCAACAAAUGGGUUGAUUCCUUCCUUCCUUCAUAUCUCAAUCUCUCAUUCUAUUUGGGUUUGUGCAAAAACCCAUUUUCUUCUUGUGUGGAUUCAAGAAGAGGCCGAGAUUGAGCUUGGUACGGACUCCAAGUGUGCUCCAAAAGGAGAAGCUGAAAAUGAAGGUACUAGUCAAGUAUUCCGGGAAGGAUUGGUUGGCUUGAGCUAAGUAAAACCUUGUACUCAUUUUUUAUUCUUCAUAGUGGAGUUUUCAAUCGAUGAUAGGCCCGUGGUUUUUUUAUCUCUUCGGAGGUUUUCCACGUUAAAAAUCCGGUAUUCAUUGUCUCUUUCUCUCAUUCUAUAUUUUGAUUUAUUUUUUAGGAGUGUUGAAGUAUUUGCAUGUGUUUUGCAUUUAUAAAUUGUUGGAAGAGUGUUGAUGCAUACAUUAUUGCUUGUGGAUGUUUUGCUUUGUUGAAAAGUUAUUGGAAGAAAAAUUUCUUGACAUUAAGAUAAUCUAAGGUUAGGUAAUCUUUAUUGGGAGAAUUUUUAAAUUGUUCUAUAACACCUAUUCACCCCCUUUAGGUGUAGUUCAUUAUUGAGAUUCACAUUUUCAUGAAUGUUACGGGCACCUACUUUUUCUGCUCGUUUUUUUUCUUUUUUUUCAUGUCCCACGUAUUUAUGGCUUCAAUUUCCCUACUUUUCAUGACUUUAUCCAUAAGAUAUUCAUGCAACGUGUCCUUGAAAAGGGUAAAUGGCUAUGCGUGGCAAGGCAUCAGCGUGCUUCCGAUGGAUAUGUCCCUAUGCAACUCAUUACCGUGCUUGCUUGGGAUCGAUAGUUAUUUUAGAUGGGUCGUUACCUAAAAUCUGAGGCCUGAUUGACAAUGAUUUUGCAAAUGGUUAUGAAAAAAAUAAUAGUAUUCUUAAAACGUUUCUAAAAAAUACUUCACAUCAGUAAAGAGAUAUGAAUAUUAUUAUUUUUUUCUUUUUUUUUAUAAUAUAGUAAAAAAUUAAAUUAUUCUUCAUUUUUUAAUUAUUAUUCAAAAUAUCAUAUAUAAAAAAUAAAUAAAAAUACUUUAAAUUUAUUCUAAAAAAUAAAUUUUUAUAACAAAUUUUUUAAAAAUUAUUCUUUUAAUGAAAAAUCCAUCAAUUUUAAAAAUUUUAAAAAAUGUUUUAUAUAUUAAAGAAUUAAAAAUAGUUACUAAACCUUUAACUUUUUAGGUAAUAGUAUGGACAAUGGCAAAAUAAAUUGACGAAGCCGAGGAAUGUUGAAUUUUGAAUGCACAAGUUCAUUGUGUCAUGUCACAUAGCUUAAAAUAUCAACCAAACGGUUGGAUGUUGACAUUUUGGCAAGCAUUUAUUAUUCUUAUAUUAAAUUUAAUAAUUUUAAUAAAUUAUUUAAAUAAUAUUCAAAAUUAUCAAAUUUAUUCCUAAUUGUUAGGAUUUUUUUUUUAAAAAAGGACAUUAAUAAAUAAUAAAAUACUCAAGAAUAUCCUUAAAAUUUAAAAAAAAAAUUGAUAAAAAUAAAACACAUUCAUAUCAACUUAAUUAUGAAAUAAAGAAUUUUUUAAUUAAUGUCAUUUCAAACAUCAUUUCUCCUCGCUUCAUGGAGGAAGAUAGAGUGAAACUCACCUUUGAGUUUAUUACUUAACAAUUUUCUAAAAUAGUUUUAUAUUCUUGAGAAAAAAAAAUCAAAAUAAUAUAUUUGAUAAUAAAAAAUUAUUUUUUAUUUUUUUAUUCUUAACAAUAGAAAAUAAUAUAUUUUUAGAUAAUAUUUUUUAAUUAUUUCAUGUUAUUUUCACUUGUUUUUUAAAUGUUAUUUAAAAAAAUAAUUAUAUAAAUAUAUAGAAUGAUUAAAAAUAAAAUAUUAUAUAUAAAAAUUAUUUUUAAAAUAUAUUUAAAAGCAUUAAACAUAUGUUAAAAAUAUUUUAGGUUUUUAAUUAUACUUUUAUUCUAAAAAAAAAAAGUUAAGGAAUAAUUUUUAAAAGUUAUUAUCAAAAACUAUUUUUCAGAAUUAUUUUAAAAUUAUUUUUUAAAAUUAUUUUUUAAAAUUAUUUUCAAAAAUAGUUAUAAAAAAACUUUUUUUUUUCUUUUAGAAUUAGGAAGGGAUCAAAUCCAUCAAGGAAAUAUAAAUAUUUUCUUUUAAAAUAUAUUAAAAAUAUUAAAUAUAUGUUAAAAACAUUUUAGGUUUUUAAAUAUACUUUUAUUUAAAAAAAAAUUAAGAAACAAUUUUUAAAAGUUAUUAUCAAAAACUGUUUUCAAAAACUAUUUUUUAGAACUAUUUUAAAAAACAGUUAUCAAACAUAACUUUUUUUUUUUCUUUUCUUUUAGAAUUAGGAAGGAUCAAAUCCAUCAAGGAAAUAUAAAUAUUUUUCUUUAAAAUUUUCUAAAGGAGACGUGGCCCCUUGCUUUCAAGUCUUCUGGCCAUUGAGUAUGACUGUGUGACUGAUCACUUCCUUUAACUAAUUUUCAUUGUUCAAUGUGGCCUAACAACGUCAUUAAGUGGUGGCUAAUAAUCUUAUUUAGUAUCAAAUAAUAUGUAAUGGUUAGUAGUUUAGUUUUGUAGUAAUUUAAGAAUCAUUAACCAUUAGUCAUGGUAUGAUAGUAAAAAAUUAAUGGCAAUUCUUCUCAAAUUUUUAUUUUGAAUUUAAAAAUCAAUAAAAUACUAAAAAUUAAUAAAUUAUACAAUUAAUUAAUUAUUUUAGUGGUAUGAGUAAUUUUCAAGUUCUCAAAGAGCAUUGGUCAUCUUCAUUUGUCUCUCUUUUAUUUCUUCAAGAUUUACGAGCAAAUGUGUUUCUUUUUUUUGACCGGUUGGGUAUGAGGAGGAGCUUAGAUUGCGACUAAUUGGCUCUCAUUGUUUUCAUGAUAUUUUCCUCAUAACUCUUUGAACCUUUAGUGGUUUGUCCUAUUGAAUUAUUGAGCAUCUGAUUUUUAUGGUAUUGUGGACCCCGCAUUUCGACUCAUGCGUUUCCCACUCGAUGGCGAGUUCGAUUUUUAUUUUGAAAAAUUGAUUUUAUUUGAUUAAGAAAAUGACUUGGAGUCGCCACUUAUUUUUGUUUUAUUUUUUAAAAAGGGUAAACAAAAUAAGAAAGAAAAACCCUAAAUGUGACUCCUUGUUUUGGAAAAGGUGGUCUGUGAAAAACCAGAUCGGGUUCGGGGGUCAGGUUACUUAUCGGGAAGGUACGGUAAAGACCGUAGCACCCCUCUAAGUCCCUAAAUGGGUCUCUACUAAUAAAAUGAAGUUGACAUGACAAUCAAUGAGAAAAUCAAUGAAUACUCGAAGCGAUCAUGCACAUAUGGGAAUCAAAACAUGUAUAAAGAAUGAACAAAAUAUGAGUGGAUACGUACCUGGUCCUCCAGUCACGAAUGCGCCAUCAUGAAACAGGAUUAGUGAAUCACGAAUAGAUAAAAUUAUGCGCAUGUCAAGGAACAGAAUAAAUCAAACAAAAUAAAUCAAUCAAUCAAUCAGUCAGUCAUAAGGAAAUCACAUAUGUUGGGCCUCACCAAAGCCCGAUUUAUAUUGCAUGAAUUAAUCUCACGAAUCCCAUUAUUUCGGAAUUAUGAAGAUUCAUCAUUCUUGCUUGUGUAAAAAUUAAAAGAAAUAGAACAGUAUUUAAAAAUCGGAGUGGAAUUAAAACUGUUCGAGAGAAAAUUGGAUUUUUGAGAUUUAUUUGGAAAUUGAAGUCCCGAAAAUUAUUUGAAGACUAGAGUCUUGAGAAUUAAAUUUAAGAAUUGGAAUUUUGGAUAUUAAAUUUGAAAGAAAUUAGAAUUUUGGAAAUCGGAAAUUAAGUUCGAAAAUUGGGAUUCAAAAAAAUGUUUAAAAAUGGAAUUUUGAAAUAAAUAAAUGGACUAAUAAUAAUAAGGACGAAAAUAAUGAUUAAAUAAAUGAAUGGGAAUGCUGGAAUUUUUGAAAUUGGAAAUUAGAUUUAGAAGUCAAAAAGUUUAAAGAAUUGUUUAAAAUAGAAUUUUAAAAUAAAUAAACAAACUAUUAGUGAUUAAAUUAAUGUGAAUAUGGGAAUUUUUAGGAUUAGGAAUUUCAUUUGUAAAUAUGAAGUUUUAAAGAAUUGAUUUAAAAUGGAGAUAAAAUACUAAUGAUUAAAUAAAUUAAUGAGAAUAUGAGAAUUUUCGGAAUUAGGAAUUUAAUUCGGAAAUCAGCGAUUUUAAAGAAUUUGAUUUAAAACGGAGUUUUGAAAUAAAUAAAUAAAUAAAAUACUAAUGAUCAAAUAAUUUAGUGAGAACAUGAGAAUUUUUGGGAUUAGGAAUUUAAUUUGGAAAUCAGAAGUUUUAAAGAAUUUGAUUUAAAAUGGAGUUUUGAAAUAAAUAAUCAAAAUAAUAAUAAUUAAAUAGAUUAAUGUGAAUAUUGGAAUUUUGGAAUUAGAAAUUAAAUUUGAAAGUAGGAAAUUUUAAAGAAUUAUUUUUAAAGUGGAAUUUUAGAAUAAAUGCAUAAAAUAAUAAUAAUUAAAUAGAUUAAAGUGAGUAUGAGAAUUUUCAGAAAUUGAAAUUUUGAUAAAAUAAGUUGAUAUGAAAAACAAAAUUUCAGAAAUUGUAAUUAAAUUUAAGCACUGGAAUUUUGAUGGCUUAUUCAAAGAUUGAAUUUUAAAAUAAAUAAAUAAAAUAAUGAUCAUUAAACCAAUUGAUGUGAGAAUUAAAAUUUCAGAAAUUAGAAUUUAAAUUAAGAAAUUGAAAUUUUGGAGAUUAUUAAAAGGUUGAAUUUUAAAUAAAUAAAUAAAAUAAUGAUAAUUAAAUAAACUGAUAUGAGAAUUAAAAUUUCGGAAAUUGGAAUUUAAAUUUAGGAAUCGGAAAUUUUGAAGAUUCUUAAAAGGUUGAAUUUUAAAAAUGAAUAAAUAAAUAAAAUAAUAAUGGAGAAUUAAAUUUUGAUAUUGAAAAUUAAAAUUUCGGAAAUUGGAGUUUAAAUUUAGAAAUCGGAAUUUCGAGGAGUAGUUUAAAGAUUGAAUUUUAAAGAUAAGCAAGUGAAUAAAUAAUGAUGAUUAAAUAAAUGGAUGUGAGAAUUAAAAUUUCGGAAGUUGGGAUCGAAUUCGGAAGUUAGAAAAUUAAGAUUGUUUAAAGGAAAACUUGAAAUAAAUAAAUACAAUAAUAAUAACGAAUAUAAUGAUUAAAUGAAUGAAUGAGAAUUUUGGAAUUUCUUCAAAUCGGAAAUUGAAUUUAAAGGUUGGAAAGUUGGAAUUGUAUAAGGAAGGAUAUUUUGAAAUAACUAAAUGGAAUAAUAUUAAUAAUAAUGAUAGUUGAAGUUUUUUUGAAAACUAGGUUUUAAAGAUUGGAGCUUUGGCAACUAGAUUAAAAUUUUGAAUCUUGACAAUUAACUUUGGAAAUUAAAAAAAAAAUUAUUCUAAAAUGGAAACUUCAGAAAUUAGAUUUAAGGAGAGAACUUUGGACAAUUAAACUAUGAGAAUAUGAAUUUUGAAAGUUAAACACUGGAAAUUUGAAAUAAUAAUAAUAAUAAUAACAAUGAUAAGAUUUGAAAAAUUGAACAAAUAAUAAUAAUGACAAUGAUAAUAAUAAUAAUAAUAGUAAUAAUAGUAAUAAUAAUAAUAAUAAUAAUAAUCGUUAAUAAUAAUAAUGAUAAUAAUCCGUUAAUAAUAAUAAUAAUAUCCGUUAACAAUAAUAAUAAUAAUAAUAUCCGUUAAUAAUAAUAAUGAUAAUAAUCCGUUAAUAAUAAUAAUAUCCGUUAAAGAUAAUAAUAAUAAUAAUAAUAAUAAUAAUAAUAAUAAUAUCCGCUAAUAAUAAUAAUAAUACUAGUUAAUAACUAUAAUAAUAAUAAUAAUUAAAAUUAAUAAUAAUGAUAUGAAUUAAAAGGGCUUUGGGCUCCAUCUCCAUCAUAAGCCCAAGCCCACUUGGCAAAUAUUACCCUCCAUCUCCAUCACAUAAUUGGGCCUAGUGCCCCAACUAAAGCCCAAGCCCGAGCUUCAUCUUCCUCCCAGCUUGUUCCCACCCCCGCGCCUGGCUCCAGCACCGACAGCCACCUCCUCGCGGCGACAGUGCCCGGGGUCAUGGAUUCUCUGGGCUUGGUGGACAGCUCCUGGACCUCGGUGGCGCGAGAACAGCUUCUGGAGGAUCUCGCCCUUCCAGGCGAAGACGGCGGCGCUGUCGCAGGCUAUGGCAGCGGCGGCGUCGUCCCGGAGCAAUAACAGCGGCGGCGGCGUCCCGGAGCAAUAGUGCGACGCAUUGCAUUGGGGAAUCAGUGUCACAGAAAGCAAUAAUUGGAGUGUUUCCUAGUGCAGCUUCCUUAAUAGGCUGGUAAUGGAGAGUGAUCUUGAUGGAGGGGUUGGGAAAAGACUGGAGAGAUGGGUGAGCGUGAAGGUUAGAAAAAAAAGGGAUAUGGGCAGUUGAUAAAUGGGUAUGAAAGUCUAGAGAGAAAUGGGUGAUUGAAUGAUGGGUAUGAAGGUGUGGUUCAGAGGUGACAAAAUGGAGUGGGCUAGUGGGUAUUAAAGGAAAUGGCAAUGAGAUCAGUAGCAACAGGGCAUAAAAGAAAGGUCCGAAAAUCAACAACAAACAGCAUAUAAUUCAUAUUUUCCCAACCCAAAUUGACGAGCAACGUGGAGCAAACCAAAUAGGAAAUAAAUGAGAAAUAUAUCAAUCAAAAUAAGCAAGGAAUUUACCUCAAACUCACCUGCAGCCACUCUCUUUUUCUCCGUUAUCUCCUUGUAAUCAGACUGUCACCCCCCUGAAGAACGGGCUCCUCAAGCAACUGAAUAAACUCCCUUUUUGACUCUCAGAAGAAGUAUCCCCAUCCAAAGCUACCCCUCUUUUUUGCUCUGGUCCCGCCUGCUACCGAAGAAAAGCACCCCCAGAUCUCUCCUUUCUCCGCCCUCUUUUUGUCUUCCAAGAACCAGGCCCCCUUUUCUCCUGGCAGCCUCUCUUUUCCUCUGCCCUCAGCCACCCACAUCAGUCUUCCUUUCCAGUCUUGUCUCCGCCGCCCUCCAUACAGCCCAUCCUCGGGUUGACAAGAAGAUGAAUAAAAUAAUAAUAGCAAAAUGCAGAAACUUCUCACCUCUAGGGGGGUCUACAGGUAUGUCUUAACUUAUAAUAUCUAUCUAUGAUAUGAUACAUUUAUGCUAUGUUUGAGUUUUUUUUUAAAAAAAAAAAAUCUAAAAAGGAAAUAAAAUAUUAAAAUAAUGAUUUGCUCAUAUUUUAUUUUUUUAUGAAACAUAUAAAAGAAAAUAAAAAUUAAUUUAAAUUAUUAAAAAAAAUUAUAUAUUUUUAAAUUAUUUAAUCUUUAUAUAAAAAUUUAAAUAAAUACUAAAAUGAUGUUAGAGUAACAUAAAAUAGUACUUUGUUGAUUUUAAUUUAUUUUUUAAUUUUUCAAAUUUUUCUUUCCAACGGCUUUCUUUUAUCGCAUUUUUCCUCAAAAUUUUCAGGUAAGAAAAAUGCAUCGUCCUGGUACUCCGCACCGAACCAGUUGUGGCGAAAAGUUUCUGAUAGAGCUUAUUUUCAUAAAAAUGGUAUUGUAUUUCUUUUGGGCCUAUUUAAUGGAUCUGUGCGUCAACCUCUCCACAUCCAAAUGCAAAGUGAAACCGGGCCAGGUCUUGCAGCAUGGCCAGGCCCAUGCCAUCAAGACAAACACUUUAGUUCUUGUUUCCCAGUCAAAUGAAGAGAAAACAAAAGAAAUUCAAAGUUUUGGCCUUCUGAAUCUAAGAGCGGUUUGGUCAUAUUUUUUUAAACUUGUUUUUAAUUUUAUUAUUAUUAUUAUUAUUAUUUUAAGUUGAAAGAAUAAAAAAUAAAUUUCUAUUGUUUUAUAAAAAUAAGGGUGUUUGACAAGUUAUUUUUUAAAACAAUUUUUUUUUUUAAAAAAAACUUGUUUGGAUAAAUUGUUUUUAAAAUUAUUAUUAUUAUUUUUGUUUUGGUUUUGUAAAAAAAUUAUAAAUGCAAUUUAUACAACAUAAAUUAAAUUGAAUUCAAGUCUUAUUAAAAAUGAAAAUAGUUUGAUAAUUACAAAUAAAUUACAAAUAUAUAUAUAUAUAUAUAUAUAUUAUAAUAAAAUCAUAAAUUAUAUAUAUAUUUUUAUAAAAAAAACUAUUUUAGGAGCUUUGACCCAAAAUGCCACAUUUUAAAAACAAAUAUCCAUAAAGUAAACCGAAUUUGAAAAUAAUGCCCAAUCUGGUGCAUCUGUGCCACGUAGAUUGCCACAUCAUAAAACUAUAGUCACUAAUUACGGUUUUAAAUUUUUUUAAAUCAGUCAAAACCAUAGUUGGUAACUACGGUUUUGAAUCCUUUAUCUUUUUCCGUUCCUUUCCCAAUUAGGUUUCUUCAUUUUCCUCUUAAGUUUAUUACCUUUAGGGUUUCGUCCUUCCCGUUGUAUCAUUGGCUCAAAUUCAAAAUUUGGAAGUUAUUUAUCAGGUAAGAUUUAUGAGUUUUUUAGUUUACGUAAAUUUUAUUUUAUUUUUUGUAAAUCUGUUUGGUUUUCACGUUAUUGUUGUAGAUGUGUUUGGUAAAGAUGUGUUUGAUUUUUUUAUUUUAUUUUGAUUGUGAGCUUAGAAGAAAGAAAAAUGUUUUUUUGGUAAAGAAAACGGAUAUGGAAUGGAGGGCCAACAUGGUUUUUUUUGUUAAAGAUACCGAAAAUGAAGGGGAUCAUUGUAAAAAAACUCCAAAAAUGAACGGGACGAGCGGUGAUUUUUGUUAUAGGAAUAGAAAAAAAAAAAUAGGAGUACUCCACUUGUCAAGGACCAGAUUUAUCUUAAGCUAGGAGAUUGAAGGUGUGUGGUCGGUUUCUACAUCAUUCUCCAAAUUCUGGGAAUGUUUGGUUGCUUAGAAAAUAUAGGAAAGUAAAAAAAAUAGUCCCAAGAUGACAAAUCCUCAAAUAAAAAAAUGUUGCUGGAAAAAACUAGAGAUUCCAUUCCUCACACCAUACUGACUAUUUCAAUCUGACCAUUUCACGAAGGAAAUUCUUAAAUAAAUUAGCAACCAAUCUUACCCCUUUAUGAAGGCAAUUGUUUUCAGAUAAGCCCCAUUUGAAAUUUGCCCUUUGCUUCUUGCUCUAAUAUGUGAUGAAGAAUAUCUAAGAAUGUGAUAUAAGUGAAAAUAGGAUUGUGCCCAAAUAAAUUUCCCAGAUAUUAAGUAGUAGUUUCAUUCACAAUGAUUUUUUUCCCAAGGUAGACUAGAACUCAUUUUCUGUCAUCUUUUAUGAAAUUUGCAUCCUCCAUCCUAUAUAACAAUGUAUUUUAUUUGAGCGAGCUUUGUGUUAACACGGGAUCAGAGGUAUUCUACUGUUAAAAUGGCUAGAAAAACACUAAUAGUAUGAUUGUUGAACUGCCAGUAGAUACUAUGAACUUUGAUAGCAAAUAUAUUGGAACAAACACAAAGAGAACAACAUUAUAUCAUAUAGUACAAUAGUUUCAAGGAUAAGAAUGGUUGACCAAGAUUGUAUACAUGCAUUAUUGAAACUUCCUAAGGGUAAUUUUAUUGUCCUUUAAACCACUCCUCCCACCCCCACACUAGAAACAUUGAUAAAAAGAAAAAAGAAAAAUCAAACAUACUAGUCAUUGAUAACUUGGCAACUGUGAUUGCUCAUCUUCUUGAAUCCUUAAACUCCCAAGCAUUGCCUUUUUUCUCCUUCUGGUUGCGGUUGAGUCUGCAGAUAAGAGCAACCGGUUCUGCAUCAAAUCUAGUAAACGUGAUUGCAAGUGUUUGUUCAUCUCCAUGACGUGCUUUGUCAUUCUUGUAGCCCAUAUCCGGUUCUCUAUACUUGUCUCUAGUUUCAUUUGUAUUGCUCAUGGUGUACAUUCUUGCUGCCAAAUUCAUCAGGAUUGCUAAAUUCAUACCAAUAUAUGACUUUCCAAUAUGAUUAUAUUUCCUUCUUAUUCGCUUAGUAUAUAUUAUGGGCCAUAUCCUAAUAGUUUUAGCUUAAUAUGGUAUCAGAGCUAUGAUUGAUAUAGAUAUCAAGUUUAAAGAAAGACCUCCAGAUCGAGAAUCUACUGGUUUAGUGAAACUAUGCUUUGGAACCCAAUAGUAGGGAGGUGAACUCUAUGGGAACAACAUGAAGGUAGGAGAGUGAUCAUUCCCAUGGAUGAGUUGCUUGGCUGAGGAUACUUGUCAAGCAAAGAAACACGAAAUUGAUUAGAUAAUCGCUAAUGGUUUGUCACAGAAAGCAGUGACAACUUUGGGAUCACUACCAUAUUAGUAAUAGCCCCUGAUUAGAGAUGAAAAUGACAUUCUUAAUUAAUUACAAUUAUAAAAUAUGAAAUACUUAUAGAUGGAAAACUAAAUUGUAAAAGAUAAAGAACUCCAUUUGGUUGCUGAGAAAAACAGAGGAAAUGAAGAAAUAUACAUUAGUUUUUAGUUUUUCUUUUUAUAUCCACUAACUUCUUAGCAUCCAAACAGAAUAUUAGAAAAUGGAGUCGUGAAUCCUUCUAAGAAAUAGAAAUAUAGAACCUACAAACCAGAAAUGAAGAUUAUGGUCACCUUUUGGAUGAUUGAAUCUUCUGAUGAUAACCCUAUUGGCAACAUCCCAAAUAUGGGCAGUGCAGUCCCUAGACGUUGACACCAGACCCAAUCUACUAAAGGCCAAUGCAUUUAUGGACCUGCUGCAUUGCCAAGUGAAAAAAUUGUCAAUUGAAAAUUUGUGUAUGCUUGUUAAUACUAUUAACAUUCUACCUGUGACAAUCAACCAUUCUCUAAAAAAUAUCGAUAAACUUAAACCACCAUGCAAUACUUGUGUCCAUUUAGCCCAAUCGGCCGAUCCUCUGGAACAUCAAAUGGAUUACCCACCAACCGAGUGUCAAGCAUGCUAACGAAAAUUCUCUCAUCUACGCUUCCAGAAAACAAGAGCUGCUCCCCUAGAUCAAGCACAAUAGCAAUGAUUUAAAUAAAAAAUUUAUUAUUAUGAAGUGAUUUAUAUUUUUCCCCCUAAUGUGUAAGAAGGUGUUUUAUUAUAUAAUUGUGUAUUCACAUAUUAAAAGAUUAUAUGCAAUUUCUCUUGAACAUUCUUGUAUGUGUGUUUUUGUAAGUAUUUUAAUAAACAAGUAUGUUAAGUUCAAAACAGAAAGACUUGCUAUUAUUUUCAUUGAUUAUUAAAUCAUUUGAUAUUGUAUUUUUUUGUAAGUAAAUCAUGUCUGAAUCUAUUGUUCAUUUGAUUUGCUUUUGUGAAGGAAACAUGUUGAGGAUAGAAACAUAUGUAAAAUAUAUUGGGGAUCAAGCUGUAAUUGUGUCUUUGGAUGUGCCUGUUAGUUCAACCUAUGAACACUUGUUAUCUAUGAUAUACUUGAGAAUUGACAUUGACAAAAAACAAUUUCAAUUAGUCCUCAAUUGUAGGUAUCCUUUAAAAAGAGAAAAUAGGUUCCAAUAUUGUCUAAUAUGAGAUGAUAAUAGUUUAUCUCAAAUGUUGAAAUUGGUUAACACAUUUGGAAUAGACGAAAUUGAAUUGUAUAUUAAACAAGUGCCAAUACAACCACGGGUGAGGGGACAAUUAUUGGGUAACUUCACACAAUUAUUACUCGGAGAAAAUGAUAACGUUAAGGAAUUUGAGUAUGGUUGUGGACCUAGUAGUGCCCUAAUCGCAAUGACUUAUGAAUGUAGAGCAGAUGAAGAUGAAGAAGAAUGUGAUUCCCAAGAAGGUGAUGAUCAAAGUGAGAGAGCGAAAGAUGUUCAACAUGAUGACGAUGAGGUGUUCGAAUUUAUUGAUGAGGAAAAAAAUAAUGUUGAUGUUGUUUCAUCUUUCUUAGCUCUUCACGAAGCAAUGAAAAGUGAACAAGGGAGAUAUGUCUCCGUGAAUGGGGAAGGUUGUGAUAUGUCAAAUGACCUAGAUCAUGAGGACCCAAUAGAGUUUUCCCAUCUUCAGUAUCACUCAACACCAUCACUGUAGUUUGAAAAUGUUGAAAACAUUGGUAAUGUCAUUUCAAGUGACUAGACCCCAUGGGGGAACACUAAUAUUGGAAACUCAAGUAGAGAGUUCAUGGUUGGCCAAGUUUUUAAUUCAAAAGCAAACUUACAACAUGCUACGAAGUUGUACUCUAUUAGUGCAUACCAAGAGUACAUUGUUGUUUCGUCAACUACAAAGUUGUUAGUCUUAAGAUGUAAGAAAGCUAAACAAUCUCAAUGUCCAUGGAAACUUCGUGCUAUGGUUGUAAAAAGUACAACUUCAUUUGCAAUCAAUAAAUAUAAUGGUUCGCACAAAUGUGUAAAUCCUUGUUUGAAUCAGGACCAUCAACAAUUAGAUUCCACUUACUGCUCAUAUCCAAAGAAUGAUUAAGGUACAAUUCACAUUGUCCGUGGCUGCUAUUCAAGUAAGUAUUGUGGAGAAAUUCGGAUACCAAAUAUCAUACAAGAAGACAUCUAAAGCAAAACUUAAAACUUUUGCAAUCUUAUUUGGUGAUUUUUAUAAGUCAUAUGCUGAGCUGCUAUAUUUUUUCAUUGCCUUAGAGCAGACAAAUCCAGGAUGUGUUGUAAUUUUAAAAACAUUUCCUGGUAUUAUGGAGAAUACAAAGAUAUUUCAGUGAGUUUUUGGGACAUUUCAUCCAUCUAUUGAAGAAUUCAAGCAUUGUCGGCCUGUACUCAGUAUUGAUGGUACACAUUUGUAUGAUAAGUAUAAAGGCACUUUAAUGAUUGAUAUGAGUUGUGAUAGAAAUAAUCAGUUAUUCCCAUUGGCUUUUACCCUAACAGAGGGUGAGAAUAUUGAUAGUUGGGGAUGGUUUUUGGCAUGUAUUAGAACUAGAGUAACUCAUAGGAAGGGACUUUGUGUUAUAUCAGAUCGACAUUCAGGCAUUAUGGCUGCAAUGAGCGAUGUUCAUCUUGGUUGGUAUGAGCCAUACGCAUAUCAUAAGGUUUGUAUGUGUCAUUUUGCUAGCAAUUUUAUGACUCAAUUCAAGGAUAAAAUAUUGAAAAAUCUGAUGUGCAAAGCAGCCUUAGCAACCAAGAUUGAAAAUUUCAAUAAACAUAUGAACACAAUUGGGAGGAUUAAUGCAGUCGCACAACAAUGGUUGGAAGCAAUUCCUUUUGAGAAAUGAGUGUUCUCUCAUGACGGAGGUCGAAUGUAUGACAUCAUGACUACAAACAUGUUGGAGGUGUUCAAUAGUGUGCUUAAAAGAGCUCAUAGCUUACCCAUAGUUGCUUUGGUUCAAUUGACAUUUUUUCGGCUAAAUAGUUACUUUGUUGUGAGAAGGGAACAAAGUGCUAAUCGACUUGCUUCAAAUGAGGAAUACACUCCAUAUGUCGAUGCUAAGAUAAAGGCAAAUGUGGUUAAGGCGGGAUCUCAUGAGAUUGUUUUAUAUGAUCACAUCCAAGGACAAUUCCAUGUGAAAACUAAUAGGGGUACUAAGAGUAGCUCAACUAGUGGUCGAACAUAUCACAUCAACUUACAGGAGUAUGCAUGCACGUGUGGUAAAACACUCAUAUAUGCAUUCCCAUGUAACCAUACUCUAGCAGCAUAUCAUUUUCGUUCAGUUGAUUUUAGACCACUUGUUCAAUGCUACUAUAGUACACAAUUGUACUAUAAUACUUAGGUACCCUUGUUCCAUCCCAUUUUCAAUUUAUAUGAGUGGUCUCCUUAUGAUGGUCCGAUUAUCAUGCCUUUUGAAUCGAUGAAACGUGCAUCAAGUGGACAACCUAAAUCAAGUCGUUUGCAUAAUGAAGUGGAUGUUAGAGAGGGCAAGACUUCUAUUACAUGUGGGUUAUGCAAACAAAGUGGCCACAAUCGCCAUUCUUGUCAAAAUAGUAAUGGAGUUGAUUAAACCAUGUGAUGUAUGCAUGUAAUUUUCUUGGAUAUUGUGAUGUAAGCUACUAUGUGUAGACCCUCAAUUUUGUCCCUUUAGCACAUGUCUUUAAAAUUCAUUUUCAAUGCUCCACAAUAGUUCCUUGGUGGCCCAUGGCUACUCAUACCACUUACCUUUUUCUAAGUCACCUCGGAGAUUUUGGUUGAGGGAUUAUUUGAUCCCUUAUUGUGACCCUUGGUAGCCCUAACUUAGACUUAGGCUUUUCUUGUUUUUUUAGGAUAGCUUUUAGAUACACUUGGCCCAUUAGGCACUACCCUAGGCCCACUUAGUCUCACCUUAGGCCCGUUUAGGCACACUAGGCCUACGAAGACUUUUAUUUUAUUUUAUUUUAUUUUAUUUAUUUAUUUAUUUAUUUUGUUUUUAAUUUUAAUUUUAUGAUUAUCAUUCACUUUUUAUUGGUUAUCUUCCUCUUUAUAUUAUUUUCCUUAACUUAUUUAUUUAUUUAUUAUUUUUACCAUUUUUUAAUUUAUUUACUUAUUUAUCUAUACAUGCAAUUAUUUAACUUCAAAAAUUUCAUGUUUUUGCAAGGAAACUUACCAUUGGAGUUUAAAGAAGAUGGGACUCUCCUUGGAAGUUUUGGAGGGGAAUUUGAAUUGGAGAUUGCUUGGAGGGGAAUUUGAAAUUGGGAAGAUUGCUUUUGAUUGGAGGAUUUAAAAAAAGAAGAGAAGAAGAAAGGAAGGGGGAGAAUUNNNNNNNNNNNNNNNNNNNNNNNNNNNNNNNNNNNNNNNNNNNNNNNNNNNNNNNNNNNNNNNNNNNNNNNNNNNNNNNNNNNNNNNNNNNNNNNNNNNNNNNNNNNNNNNNNNNNNNNNNNNNNNNNNNNNNNNNNNNNNNNNNNNNNNNNNNNNNNNNNNNNNNNNNNNNNNNNNNNNNNNNNNNNNNNNNNNNNNNNNNNNNNNNNNNNNNNNNNNNNNNNNNNNNNNNNNNNNNNNNNNNNNNNNNNNNNNNNNNNNNNNNNNNNNNNNNNNNNNNNNNNNNNNNNNNNNNNNNNNNNNNNNNNNNNNNNNNNNNNNNNNNNNNNNNNNNNNNNNNNNNNNNNNNNNNNNNNNNNNNNNNNNNNNNNNNNNNNNNNNNNNNNNNNNNNNNNNNNNNNNNNNNNNNNNNNNNNNNNNNNNNNNNNNNNNNNNNNNNNNNNNNNNNNNNNNNNNNNNNNNNNNNNNNNNNNNNNNNNNNNNNNNNNNNNNNNNNNNNNNNNNNNNNNNNNNNNNNNNNNNNNNNNNNNNNNNNNNNNNNNNNNNNNNNNNNNNNNNNNNNNNNNNNNNNNNNNNNNNNNNNNNNNNNNNNNNNNNNNNNNNNNNNNNNNNNNUUUUUUAUUUUAAAAAUUUUUGGUUUUGGGGAAGAAAAUUAUUAUGGGGGUGUUAAAAGGGGGGGGUUUUUUUUGAAGGGGUUUGGGGGGGAAUUUAAAAAUGGGGAAAAUUUUUUUUUUUGGGGGUUUUAAAAAAAAAAGGAAAAAAAAAAGGGGGGGGGGGAUUUUUUUUUUUUGGAAAAAAAAUUUGUUUUGGGGGGGGGUUAUAUUUUGGGGGAAAAAAAAAAAAAAAGGGGGGUUUUUUUUUUGGGGGGGGGGGGGGGGGGGGGGGGUAGAGCACACGGAAUUUUGGAAAAAAGCAAGGGACUUCGAACGGAGAUCGGGCUUUCAUUUAAUCAUCAAGAGAGGAUUUUCUCUUUCACUUCAAAGGUUAGUUUUCUAUAUAGUACUUUUAUUUAGCCUAGAUUUUUUUUUUUUUUGGAAAUUUUAGUUUUUGAUUAAUUCUUUGUGUUAAAGUUUAUAUUUUUUUCUUUUUAAAUCCCCAAUUAGUAUAAUUCUAAUCUAUCUUUUAGUUUAAGUUUGUUAAUGAUUUUAAUUCUUAAGUUUAAAUAAUCAUAUUGAAUAAAGUUUGUAUUUUUAAUCCCAAUUAGUUUGAUUUCAAUUCGUUUUUAAUUUAAAUGCAGCUAGCUGAUCUUAAUUCUAUGUUUUAAAUAAUCACGUUAAAUAAAGUUUGUANNNNNNNNNNNNNNNNNNNNNNNNNNNNNNNNNNNNNNNNNNNNNNNNNNNNNNNNNNNNNNNNNNNNNNNNNNNNNNNNNNNNNNNNNNNNNNNNNNNNNNNNNNNNNNNNNNNNNNNNNNNNNNNNNNNNNNNNNNNNNNNNNNNNNNNNNNNNNNNNNNNNNNNNNNNNNNNNNNNNNNNNNNNNNNNNNNNNNNNNNNNNNNNNNNNNNNNNNNNNNNNNNNNNNNNNNNNNNNNNNNNNNNNNNNNNNNNNNNNNNNNNNNNNNNNNNNNNNNNNNNNNNNNNNNNNNNNNNNNNNNNNNNNNNNNNNNNNNNNNNNNNNNNNNNNNNNNNNNNNNNNNNNNNNNNNNNNNNNNNNNNNNNNNNNNNNNNNNNNNNNNNNNNNNNNNNNNNNNNNNNNNNNNNNNNNNNNNNNNNNNNNNNNNNNNNNNNNNNNNNNNNNNNNNNNNNNNNNNNNNNNNNNNNNNNNNNNNNNNNNNNNNNNNNNNNNNNNNNNNNNNNNNNNNNNNNNNNNNNNNNNNNNNNNNNNNNNNNNNNNNNNNNNNNNNNNNNNNNNNNNNNNNNNNNNNNNNNNNNNNNNNNNNNNNNNNNNNNNNNNNNNNNNNNNNNNNNNNNNNNNNNNNNNNNNNNNNNNNNNNNNNNNNNNNNNNNNNNNNNNNNNNNNNNNNNNNNNNNNNNNNNNNNNNNNNNNNNNNNNNNNNNNNNNNNNNNNNNNNNNNNNNNNNNNNNNNNNNNNNNNNNNNNNNNNNNNNNNNNNNNNNNNNNNNNNNNNNNNNNNNNNNNNNNNNNNNNNNNNNNNNNNNNNNNNNNNNNNNNNNNNNNNNNNNNNNNNNNNNNNNNNNNNNNNNNNNNNNNNNNNNNNNNNNNNNNNNNNNNNNNNNNNNNNNNNNNNNNNNNNNNNNNNNNNNNNNNNNNNNNNNNNNNNNNNNNNNNNNNNNNNNNNNNNNNNNNNNNNNNNNNNNNNNNNNNNNNNNNNNNNNNNNNNNNNNNNNNNNNNNNNNNNNNNNNNNNNNNNNNNNNNNNNNNNNNNNNNNNNNNNNNNNNNNNNNNNNNNNNNNNNNNNNNNNNNNNNNNNNNNNNNNNNNNNNNNNNNNNNNNNNNNNNNNNNNNNNNNNNNNNNNNNNNNNNNNNNNNNNNNNNNNNNNNNNNNNNNNNNNNNNNNNNNNNNNNNNNNNNNNNNNNNNNNNNNNNNNNNNNNNNNNNNNNNNNNNNNNNNNNNNNNNNNNNNNNNNNNNNNNNNNNNNNNNNNNNNNNNNNNNNNNNNNNNNNNNNNNNNNNNNNNNNNNNNNNNNNNNNNNNNNNNNNNNNNNNNNNNNNNNNNNNNNNNNNNNNNNNNNNNNNNNNNNNNNNNNNNNNNNNNNNNNNNNNNNNNNNNNNNNNNNNNNNNNNNNNNNNNNNNNNNNNNNNNNNNNNNNNNNNNNNNNNNNNNNNNNNNNNNNNNNNNNNNNNNNNNNNNNNNNNNNNNNNNNNNNNNNNNNNNNNNNNNNNNNNNNNNNNNNNNNNNNNNNNNNNNNNNNNNNNNNNNNNNNNNNNNNNNNNNNNNNNNNNNNNNNNNNNNNNNNNNNNNNNNNNNNNNNNNNNNNNNNNNNNNNNNNNNNNNNNNNNNNNNNNNNNNNNNNNNNNNNNNNNNNNNNNNNNNNNNNNNNNNNNNNNNNNNNNNNNNNNNNNNNNNNNNNNNNNNNNNNNNNNNNNNNNNNNNNNNNNNNNNNNNNNNNNNNNNNNNNNNNNNNNNNNNNNNNNNNNNNNNNNNNNNNNNNNNNNNNNNNNNNNNNNNNNNNNNNNNNNNNNNNNNNNNNNNNNNNNNNNNNNNNNNNNNNNNNNNNNNNNNNNNNNNNNNNNNNNNNNNNNNNNNNNNNNNNNNNNNNNNNNNNNNNNNNNNNNNNNNNNNNNNNNNNNNNNNNNNNNNNNNNNNNNNNNNNNNNNNNNNNNNNNNNNNNNNNNNNNNNNNNNNNNNNNNNNNNNNNNNNNNNNNNNNNNNNNNNNNNNNNNNNNNNNNNNNNNNNNNNNNNNNNNNNNNNNNNNNNNNNNNNNNNNNNNNNNNNNNNNNNNNNNNNNNNNNNNNNNNNNNNNNNNNNNNNNNNNNNNNNNNNNNNNNNNNNNNNNNNNNNNNNNNNNNNNNNNNNNNNNNNNNNNNNNNNNNNNNNNNNNNNNNNNNNNNNNNNNNNNNNNNNNNNNNNNNNNNNNNNNNNNNNNNNNNNNNNNNNNNNNNNNNNNNNNNNNNNNNNNNNNNNNNNNNNNNNNNNNNNNNNNNNNNNNNNNNNNNNNNNNNNNNNNNNNNNNNNNNNNNNNNNNNNNNNNNNNNNNNNNNNNNNNNNNNNNNNNNNNNNNNNNNNNNNNNNNNNNNNNNNNNNNNNNNNNNNNNNNNNNNNNNNNNNNNNNNNNNNNNNNNNNNNNNNNNNNNNNNNNNNNNNNNNNNNNNNNNNNNNNNNNNNNNNNNNNNNNNNNNNNNNNNNNNNNNNNNNNNNNNNNNNNNNNNNNNNNNNNNNNNNNNNNNNNNNNNNNNNNNNNNNNNNNNNNNNNNNNNNNNNNNNNNNNNNNNNNNNNNNNNNNNNNNNNNNNNNNNNNNNNNNNNNNNNNNNNNNNNNNNNNNNNNNNNNNNNNNNNNNNNNNNNNNNNNNNNNNNNNNNNNNNNNNNNNNNNNNNNNNNNNNNNNNNNNNNNNNNNNNNNNNNNNNNNNNNNNNNNNNNNNNNNNNNNNNNNNNNNNNNNNNNNNNNNNNNNNNNNNNNNNNNNNNNNNNNNNNNNNNNNNNNNNNNNNNNNNNNNNNNNNNNNNNNNNNNNNNNNNNNNNNNNNNNNNNNNNNNNNNNNNNNNNNNNNNNNNNNNNNNNNNNNNNNNNNNNNNNNNNNNNNNNNNNNNNNNNNNNNNNNNNNNNNNNNNNNNNNNNNNNNNNNNNNNNNNNNNNNNNNNNNNNNNNNNNNNNNNNNNNNNNNNNNNNNNNNNNNNNNNNNNNNNNNNNNNNNNNNNNNNNNNNNNNNNNNNNNNNNNNNNNNNNNNNNNNNNNNNNNNNNNNNNNNNNNNNNNNNNNNNNNNNNNNNNNNNNNNNNNNNNNNNNNNNNNNNNNNNNNNNNNNNNNNNNNNNNNNNNNNNNNNNNNNNNNNNNNNNNNNNNNNNNNNNNNNNNNNNNNNNNNNNNNNNNNNNNNNNNNNNNNNAUAAAUAAAUAAGUUAAGGAAAAUAAUAUAAAGAGGAAGAUAACCAAUAAAAAGUGAAUGAUAAUCAUAAAAUUAAAAUUAAAAACAAAAUAAAUAAAUAAAUAAAUAAAUAAAAUAAAAUAAAAUAAAAUAAAAGUCUUCGUAGGCCUAGUGUGCCUAAACGGGCCUAAGGUGAGACUAAGUGGGCCUAGGGUAGUGCCUAAUGGGCCAAGUGUAUCUAAAAGCUAUCCUAAAAAAACAAGAAAAGCCUAAGUCUAAGUUAGGGCUGCCAAGGGUCACAAUAAGGGAUCAAAUAAUUCCUCAACCAAAAUCUCCGAGGUGACUCAGAAAAAGGUAAGUGGUAUGAGUAGCCAUGGGCCACCAAGGAACUAUUGUGGAGCAUUGAAAAUGAAUUUUAAAGACAUGUGCUAAAGGGACAAAAUUGAGGGUCUACACUAUGAUACUACCUUUAUGCAAUUAUUGGCUUUGGUUUGAUUAUAAAUAUUGAUGUUAUUUUCAUAAUUAGGUUAUUUUUAUUUGGAAUAAUGUCCAUACUAUAGGGGAAACUCUAUCAAAAUUUUGAAAUUUCUAUUAAAAAUGUUAACAAAAUGCUCCAUUGUAUUUGUAUCUCUAAUAUUAAUUUAGACUAGUAUGACUUAUUUAUUGGUCAUAAAUGACUUGAUCUACUUAAAUUUAUCAAAUUGAUAUAUACUUAAUAUAGGGAAAACUCCAUAAAUUUUUAAAACUUUUCCAUUAGAAAUAUUUCUUAUGUAAAAACAAUAAGUAUUGUUUAUUUAUCUUCACAAUUUUGUUACGGAUAUGGAGUAUAGAGGACAUAGUUCUAAUCCAAAUCCAUUAAAUACGUCUGUUUUGGUUCUACAGGAUAGAUACAAGUCUCAUUUAGUUGACUCUGAUUAGGUAUGUAUAUGAAAGCAUAUAAUAUCUCUUUAAAGAAUGAAAAAAUUUGUAGUUUAUUAUAUAAAUGAUUUAUUUGAAUUUUUACAACUUGCUUUAGUCUUGACUUGUCGACAACAUAUAUCUAGGUUUAUGCGGGAGUGGGAGAUGGAUCCUCGUCUUCGACCUUAUAUUAUUCGAUCUGGAUUUUAUGGUGUAUACUGUAUUGGACACAUUACACUAGAUUGGGGAUUGAUCACUAGUCUAGUUGAGAGAUGGCGUCCUGAGACACACAUAUUUCACUUACCUAUUGGGGAGAUGACCAUUACUUUACAGGAUAUUGCUGUCAUAUUAGGACUUCGUAUUCAUGGGCUUCCCAUCACUGGCACAUGUGACAUAGAUUGGUCACUGCUAUAUUAUGAACUUUUAGGGGUGAUUCCCCCUACAUCUAAGAUUAAAGGAUCAAUGAUAUCGACACGAUGCCUAUGUCACCAAUUCUCUCAUCCACCAGUUGAUUCAGAUGACACCACAUUAGAGCGGUAUGCACGAGCUUUCAUAUUAGGACUCAUAGGUUCAACGCUAUUUACAAACAAGAAGGGUACCCACAUCCAUAUGUGUUAUCUCCCACUACUUAAAGACUUGACUCAAACAUCUAUGUAUAGUUGGGAUAGUGCAGUAUUAGCACACCUAUAUAGGGAGUUGUGUCGAGCAAGUUUGGAUGGUGCCACCGAUAUUAUUAGAUGUGUCACACUAUUACAAGUAUAAUUAAUUAUUCACAUUAGAUUAAAAUUUCUAGUUGCUUCAAGUUUAUAAUUUAAGUAAAAUUUUAAUGUUACAUUUUUUCUAGUUGUGGUCUUGGAAGAGACUCCACCUGGGUCGACCCUAUUUUGGUCAACCACCAGUCCCUCCAACAACCCAACAUUUAGAGCAUGAUGCAGUCGAUGAUUUACCAGUUGAGCAUUUAGACCAGAGAUUACAUGAUGAGGCAUUGUUAGAUGAGGGUUUACUAGCUGAUCCGUUAGAAUACAGGUGGAGAGUACCUUUAUCAUGGGAUCAAAACCCAUCACAUGUGUUGACAUUUUAUCGAGACCAAUUAGAUACACAGACCCAUGACUAGGUACAUAUAAGAUGUAAUGUGUUAUUGUUAACCAUAUAAACGUUAACAUUAUUAAUUUCAAAUGUUGAUUUUAAUAGGUUUUAUGGGAGCCUAAUUACAUGGGAGACUUAGUUGUCCAUCUUCCGGCGAUAUCUCUAGCAGACCAGGAGAUUUGGCAGACGUCAUCACCUCUUAUCUGCUUUGACAUUGUCAAGUGGCAUCGACUGGAGUGAGUGCUGCGACAAUUUGGCCUCCAACAAGGGAUACCUUCAUCUUGUUCCAUAGAGCAAGACCUUUAUUCCGUGGAUAGGCGAGGACGACACAAGUAUGAUUGGGGGGCAUUCUAUGCACAUUAUAUUACCUUAUGGGCUAGUCGUGUGGAGCGUAUUGCGACGGCACCACCUAUGGUGGGUGCUAUGCAGUUUCAUGAUCCCUAUAUGGAGUGGUACCGAUGUAUUACAAGAUGUUUGAUCACACCUCCUCUCCAUAUAGAUUAGAUGAGGUAUCAUAGUACAACAACGGCUACUCAGUUGUUCGUAAGAUUUUUUAAUUUAUAAAUAGUUUAUUAAAUUAUAAUUAAUUAAAAAUCAUUUUUGUCUGUUUAACUUAUUUAUUUAUUUAUUUUCUAUAGAUCACUAGCAUGGUUGAGAUUGCUAGUCGAUCUGCUAGGCCAACUUCAGGUGCACUAGGCGACAUUCAUUGGAUCACUAUUGAUAUUUUGCAUGUUAUUGGAGAGGACCAUCAUAUACAUUAUGCUCAUUAGUCACCUACAUAUCAUACCCAUCCAUGAGACCACUUGUGUCAGCCACUACAGUUAGGAUGCAUCUUAUUCGAGGCCGAAUGAGAGAUAGUAGGAGAGAUGGUGGGCGAGCUGGUCGAUAGCCUCAACGAUCUAUGCAUCCACCCGAGACCAUGUUAGCAUCAUCUACAUCAUCUACCCAAUUUGCACUUGAGGCUUCCACACUUCCCCCUUCACCCCUACCAUCACCUUCACCUAGCCCUUUUCUCUUAGAGAAUGUCGUAUCAGAUACAACUCUACCAUCACCUGUAUUUCUUCCCACAAAGGCCACUAUACCUGAUGUCAUUACAUCAGAGACUACCCCACUAUCUACUAAUCUACCAUUACCUCUACCUUGUCUCGAGGAGACCACUACACCACAUGUCACCUCACCAUCAUCACUUAUAUCUCCUCUCCUCGAGCCCACUAUAUCAGAUGUUAUUGCACUAGCUACCACUAUUGUAGAUGUCAUUAUUUCAUCUCCUAUAUCACCUCUCCUAGAUGCUACCAUAUCAGAUAUCACUGUACCUAAGAUCACCAUACCAUCUACCACCUUACCAUCACCUACACCUCUUCCCAUAGAGACUACCAUGCAUUAUACCUUUACACAUGUUACACAAUUAGAUGUAUGUCCACCUAGGAGACGUCGUGGUCCACGUAGACGUCGAGUCUUGCCUCCAUCAGCUCCAUCUCAACCUAUACAUACUGAGACAUGGCAGAUUGCACAGAUAGAUUCCACAAAGAUGUCUUUGUAUCAUAGACGUCCGCAGAGAAAGAUGAAGACCCCAUCAUGUGGCACUCAUUGAGGACUGUUUUUUAGUUUUUGUGUUUAUUUUCAUUUGCAUUAUAUUGUUAACUUUUUUUAUUAUGAACAAAUUAUUAUAUAUUUAAAUGAAAAUAUGAUAAAUUUUAAACUUAAAUUGAACUUAUAUAUAUAUACCACUUACAUAUAGAAAUCCGACAAUCUAAACAUUUGGUUUUAGGUUUAAAUUUAAACUAAUUAUAUUUAUAACUAAUUAGUUACAACAACACUAUAUUAAUAUAGAAAAAAUAAUGCAUUAAAAAAAAAUUUACUAUCUUAACCUCCAAUCAAAAUAAUUCUUAAAAAAUUGAACAUUCACAUGAUUAAAAAAUUGAACUUAAAAAAUUGGUUUUAGGUUUAAAUUUAAAGUUAUGAUAACCAACUACUAUUUUGACUAUUUUUAAAAAAAAUUUAAAAAUCGUGAUUACCAAUUACAUUUUUGAGAUGUGAAUACCCUCAUGAAUAAGAUACACAUCACAUUGAAAAUUAUUUUGAAAAUAAAAUUAAGUUACGAAUUUUUUGUUUCAAAGAAAUCAUUUUUGCCCAAAACUCCCGUUAGUACCCAAUAAGGAACAUUUUUGCUAUUCUCAAUGAAUUUACAAAAAUAUUUUAAAAGCAUUUUAAUCUAUUUAUCAAAAUUAAACUAAAUAGUGAAUUGAUUGGAAAAACAUAAGUAUUUUCUUUCUACAAUUCGAUAUUUUAAGAAUUCUAUUAGGUUGGCAUUUUAAGUUUAAAAUUUUUAGCCUUUCCAUUCCAUUUUGAUCCCAUUUUGAAAGGAAAAAAUGGAGAAAAAAAAUUAUUUUUGUUGUAUUUAAGUAAUUUUCCAAUUAUUUACCCACUUGAAGUCAUAUUAUAUUUUGUACAAAUGCUUUAAUUUUUGCACAAAGUUACAAAAUAAUAUAAUAUUCUUUAUUAUGAGGGCAUAAAAUAAUAUAUUUAUAACUAAUCAUAUUUAUAUUGAGUAUAAUGUCAAAUAUUUUAAUAAAAUUAAAUAAAAAUAUUUUUAUAUCAAAUUAAAGACAUCAAUGAUUUAAUUUCACAUAUUACUAUUCUGUAAAUAAUGAGAUCAAUUAAAGUUAAAUAUUUUUAUUAAACCACUCAUAUAUUUUAAUCAAUAUAAAAUCAAAAUAAUAUAAUAUUUUUAUUUAAAUAAAUUAAAAUUAAAUAUUUUAAAUCAAACAAUAUAAUUAUAUAUAUAUAUAUAUAUAAUUAAAGUUAAAGUUGUAGCCACCAACUACGGUUUUAGAAUUAAAGUUAAAACCGUGGUUGGUGAUUACGACUUUGACUAUUUUUUUAAACAGUUAAAGUCGUAGUCACCAACUAUAGUUUUAAACUUAAAAUUAAAAUCGUGGUUGGUGACUACGGUUUUGACUAUUUUUUAAAAAUAAAAUCGUAGUUACCAACUAUGGUUUUAUGAUAUGAUAAUCUAUGUGACAUAUACGCAUUAGAUUAGACAUUAUUUUCAAAUUCGGUUUACUUGAUGGAAUUUUUUUUAAAAUGUGGCAUAUUGGGUCAAAGCUCGGUUUUUGGGGUAGGUCCAGCCUUAGGAGGGGUCUCUCUAGGUUUAAGAGAGAUUUUGGUGGCUUGGCUUAGGGUAAGGACAUGUGUCCUCAUCUCAGCUGGUCUUUUCCAUUUCGAAAGGCCAUCGUGGCCUCAAUUAUGGUACUUUUUGCCACCUUUGGGAGACCCUUUUCAAAGAGAGUGGGAGGGCAGGAAGAAUAUCAGUUCUAUUGGUGUUUGUUAUAGAGAGAGGGAGAUCGAGAAGGCUGGAAGAGAAGAAAGAAACCAGAGAGAAGAGGAUUAGAGGAGCAAAGGAGAAGGGGAGCUCGUUGGGGCCUUGUUAGCCUUUGGGGAAAGGAAGUAAUAGCUUGAAGCCAAACAGAAAUGCUUGAGAGAAGGACUGUAAGGUACAGAUCAAUAUGGAUUUCAUGCCUUUCAUUUUCUCACUGGUUUACUCACUUUUCUACUGAUUUCUGGGCAUUACUUGUUAAUUUGAGCGUGGAUGUUAGAAGCCAAACGAUUUUUUUUUGUUGAUUCCUGGUUUGCUUAUGGGCUUGUUAUUGCUGAUUCAUUUGUCAUUUCAUGGGGUUGGUUUGAGAACAACAUGACUUUGUUUUAAGCUUUGUUGUGUAGCAUUUAGAGGUCUUAUUACUGUUGUCAUUUCUAUGAGAUUUAUUCCGGUUGUUUCACAUGGCUUUCAAGCCUAUUGACAAAGUAAUGAAAUGUCGCUUUGUUAGGUUGUCUGCUCCUUAUCUGUCUCUUCUCUGUUUCUCUUAGCUUUUAUCUCUUUGCUUCUGCAUCUGUAUCUCUUUCCUUUUCUUUCUUUGGUGCCCUGGGCCAUGGAGAUCAGAGUAGCAUGAGUAUUUCAAGAGGAGUAGAAACUUUAUGAGACUGUACGAUGAGGAUUGCUUGUGGUGUUUAGCACACUGCUGCAAUUGUUGAAUUAGUGAUUGCAUCCUUUAGUUCUAAGUCUUCUGGUAGCUAUUUAUCUGGAAACUUGUUCACCUGGGGUGAAUGGAGCCAUGAUGUGAGAUAGUGGAGUUGUAUUGGGAAAGUUCCUCGAACAUGCUGUGGACAAGGAUACUUCUUCUUCAAGGUAAGAAGGUUGUUGAACUGGGCUCCGGCUGUAGUUUAGUCAGCUGCAUAGCUGCUCUUUUGGGUGCUCAAGUUUUUCUUACUAAUCUUCUUAAUAGAUUGAGGCUUCUGAAAAAGAAUGUUGAAGCCAAUCUGAAACAAGGAGACUUACGGGGUUCUGUAACAAUACACGAGCUUACAUGGGGUGAUGAUCCUGAACCAGAAUUGAUUAAAUCUCUGCCUGCUUAUGCCAUGUGGGGCACAAACACAAUUGCUUUGGCAGGAGAACUUUGAAAUUAUUCUAUCCUUGAAUACUUUUCAAAAGCUACAAUGAAGGAUUUCAUGGUUGGGCACGUGGCGUUAUGGAUAUGAUAGUUCUACUGCUCUCAUUCGUUCGACUACUUUAUUUGAAGAGUUGAUUCAUCUCAAAUGUGAAAUUUGCCACCAAUUUAUCCCAACAAAUGGUGCUGGUUUAAUUGAGCAUAGGUGCCACCCACUUUGGUCCCACAAAUAUUGCCUAUGACACGAACUCGACACUGUAGCUAAGUGUUGUAGCUGCGAACGCUUGGAGUCUUGGAAUGCGAGAUACAUAUCCUUGGAAGUUGGGCGAAGUUUAUGUAGUUUAAUUAUCGCUAUGAGAUUAUCACAAACACGCAUGACUUGUAAAAUUUAAAAUAAUAAUAAUAAAAAGAAAUUUGAUAAUAAGAAAUAUAAAUUAUAGAUUAUAUAAAAAAUGAAGAAAAAUAAAAUAUCAUUUUUUAAUCAUAAAAAAUAACAAAAGUACUUGUUUUUCAAUUAAAAAAUUAUUAUUAUCUUUUUACUCUAAAGUAUUUAUACACUUUUUUAUUUUUAAUAUUUAUAUAGUAUUCAAUGUAUUCAAUAAAAUGAUUGAAACCAAUAAAUAUGAAAAGAUAAAACAUUAAAAAAUUGAAAUUUAAAGAAGUUUUAGAAGAAAAUCUAUGAUGAUUUUGAUAUGUUUUAAAAAAUAUAUUAAAAUGAAUAUGGAGGAAAAGUUUUAGAAACUAAAUGUUAUUCUUUAAAAAAUAAUAUAUAUAUAUAUAUAUAUAAUAUAAUUAUAAGGGUGUUAAUCGAUGAAAUUUAAAACCUGUAGUGGCUUAAUAUAUUUAUACAGAACCUUAGGGGGUCACAACAAAAUUAACCCGAAAAUAAAAUGAUGAAUUAUAGUUUGUGUGCUUGCUUAUGAUUGAUCCAAAGGGAAAUUGAGUAUAUGCAACUAAAAGCUACAUUAGCAACAGUUGGAUAUAUGUUAUGUGCUUGCUAUUGCUUGCUUAGGUUCUGUGUGCCAAGAGAAAACACACAGCAAAAUUCAUUAUUAAGUUUCAUUUAUUUAUCUCGAGAUAUCAAUUCAAAAAUAUUUUCUUUUCUUCAGACCCCAUUUUGUAGCAAACAGACCCUAACCUGUUAUACACAAUAAAUUAGAAACUUCAGCCUUUGAUGAAAUUGGGUGCGGUUGGGAAGCAUCUGGCAAAAUUAGGCCUUUGGCUCCAAUCUCAACCCAACUCACCCAUUUUGUAGCAUUAGAAAAUAGACGUUAGGAGUAAACUGGCUGAAACUCAUCUUGAAUCAAUAUCAGUAUUUGAAACUUCAAAAAUUUGAAAACAUAACAUCUUAAGUUCAACUCGUAACCUUCUCUUAUUGGUUGGCUCUAUAUACGUUUUAAUUUAUUACCGUAUACCAGAUGCAUACAUAGCUGCUUUCCAUGCAUUGACAUGCCAAGCCAACUUGCUUCUACCCUUAAUGACAUCUGGAUGUAAACGACCUCACCAUGACAUUGAAAAUCUAUUGAUACCAAUAUUAUAUAUAUUUAAAAAAAUUUUAUAUAUGCAUAUUUGCAUAUUUGCAGAACUGGAUUACCCAGUAUUGUCAAUUUAAAAUUUCAGUUUCCUAAUUAAUUGAAAUACAAUAUAAAUUUAGGAUAUGUGUAAGACCCACAUGGAGGGUCAGAACGCCAUAUCCGGCAAUUUCCCAUCAUCUUCAAAGCAUUUUGAACAAGUAAAGAUAGUGUUGCAGUGCAUUUUUCUCAUGGCCCUGCGGUCAGCCUCUUCAAUCUUUCAUGCACCCUUGAAGAGUCUAUGCCGAUUCUAGAACAAACAGCCUGCAAAAAUCAAUCAAAUGACAUUAAUACUAAACAAAGUCUGGAAAUGGAAUCAUUCUGUUCUAUUGCAUCUGAAGAUAUUUCUACCUGUGAAUUAAUUAUAUAGUGGAUCUUAUCGCCAACACGGGAGUAGCUAACAGCUACAACAGGAGCUGCUUCCUCCUCAAGAACAUCUAGAACCCGGGUCAGGAUGAACUUGUCAUUUGACCUGCUAAUCAAACAUACCUCUAUCGCAGAAUCCAAUUCUGUCACUGUGAAAACAGUUGACAUCGAGCCCCUCAUGCCUGCAGUCUCAUCAGUGCUGCCUUCAAGUUGUUGCUUCCUUUUCUUCAGCAUCUCUACCCUUUGUUCCAAUUGCUUCACAUGAGCGGUGGCUUGAUCCAGCACAUCAAGUGACUUCCACUAUAUAUGUAUGCAUGCAUGCAUGUAUGCAGUAACUUCAUUAGUUCACAAUAAAGAGAAAAGCGACCGACGACGGUGUUAGUACUUACCUUGGGUGCCCGUGGGGUAGGAUUAAUUAGAGAAGCAAGCUUGGAAAGGAGAUCUUUCGCGAACAUUCUUCGGUUUCUUUCUAAAACAUUUCGAGUAAGUGUAGGUACUUUACUCCCCCGGCGGGGCAUCUUUUCUUUGCCGAAAAGCAGAUGGAAACCCUAAACCAAGAUAAAGAAUGACACGAAUUAUAUUUGGCUCAAAUCGGCUAUAUACAGUGGUGAGUAUCUCCCGUGAGAGGGACAAAACUAGCUCAGAAAUGUGAACCGGCUGGUUUGCUUCCACACGAAAUGCUAAUUGAUUCUACGGAUGAGGGCUAGAAAGGCCAUCCCAGUGACUGCGAUGGACGAAUGCGACCACUCUUGUUAAGACUCCUAUGCCUAUAAAACAAAAUUUUGAGUCCGAUUGCAGACGUACUGUUAUUAAAAACAAAAAAAACAGCUCACAACUUCAAAGCUACUGUAGACCCCCAUUUGGGUGUCAUUUUCUACAGCCAUUUUUGCCAAGUUUCGCAGUCCCAUAGGGCCACAUGUCGCCUUGUGGUUGGUGGUCAUAGAAACAGAUGGUGGAAUUGAGGAGCGAGUGAGAGUUUGACACGUGGCAUGGAGAUAUUCUGGCCGUUAGGAGGAGCGUAUAUUUUCUGUUAGAGGGGAUUUUUGCAGGGGGGUCGGCUGGCCAGAGGUAGGGUGCUUUUCAGAAGCUGCUGCAGGGUAGUGAGGGAGGGGGGCUUACUUUUGGAGAGGCGGUUAGAGAUCUUUUGGGAGGAGGAGCUUUGGUUUUGUGAGAGGAGCUUCAGCGGAGGAGGGAAGAAGGGAGAUUCUGGGGGGAGACGACUACAGACAGAGUGAGGCAGAGAUCUAAAAAAAAAAGAAGAAGAGGAUGGUUUAUUGAGUUCCUGUCGAUCUUGUUGGAGGGGAUCGUUCUGAGGUAUGCUUUUCUUCUCUUUUUCUACUCAUUCUUGGGAGAUUUUUGGGGAUUGCUAGUAAGUAUGUUCAUAUAUAUGUUUUUUUUUUUUUUUUUUUUUUUUUUUUUGGGGUUCUUGCUGAAGAUCAGUUUGUUCUUGUUUCAUUUUCCCCAUGAUAUAUCAGUAAUCAUGCUUUGUUUCUUGUUGGAUACUCAUUUGAUUUCACUCACCUUCACCUGAGUCCAUUGAUUGAUUCAUAAUUGAGGCUUGCAUGGAUUCACUCUGCUCCUAUUAUUUGUACUCUGUUUUUCCAUUUUCCCCUGUUCCUGGUACCCGCCCAUGGUGCAUACCUGUUCUUUCACCCCUGCCUGAGGGAACAAAGAACUACUAAGGUCCGAAUGUAAGGAGACUAAAGCCAGGAUACUAGUGGGAGUGUGAUUAUGUAUGCUCUGUUUUUGGGACCUCUUGUCUCUCUACCCGAUUCUCAAAUCAUUUCUUAGUUUCAUUAUUUCUUGGGGAUACUGUUUGUUUGCUCCUGCUGUUGACUUCGUGGUUAUGGUGGCUCGCGUGUUGGUCAUUGGCUGUCAAAGAUGCUAGUUGGAAUUGCACAGUUUAGGCUCUACUUUAUAAGGUUGGGAGUAUGAAUUUGGUUCUAUCCUCUGAAAAUCAUCUGAGCCAGAGCAAUAUAUGCCCAGCUGAAAAAGGUAUCUAAUGGAUGCUACCACGAGGGCAAACAUUGUGGGGAAUUGAUUUAAUAAGAAUAUGAGCGAGCUUUCAUGUCAGUAUUAGCUUGAAGUCGGAUCAAAAGCUAAGUAUCAUGCGGCCGCCAUGGAUCAUCUGAACCCCGAAGCUUUCUGCCAGUCCGUGUGUCUCCUUCACACGCCCACGACAUCACCUGCGGUUGUAACUGCGCAAGGCAUAGCCAGGAUGGAGAAGCCAUAUUUGAUGUUCUGUUUACGGAUAAGGUCACCAUGGAGGCUUGAACUGCUAUGGCUACAAAGUGAGCAAUAAGUUACUGAGUCCUAGGCAGAGGAGUAAUUGAAUUUGCUCUCGGGAAAAGACGUAUAGAAUAAGACCCAGUUCUUGAUUGUUGUAGCAGCUGUCAUGGCAAGCUCCAGUUAUAUUUCAGAAUAAUUUCAUGGCUCCCGAGAGACUCCUCUUCAAGGUGAAGAAUACCGUCAUCCUGUUAUGAGACCCUUACUGCACAACAAGAAGGUGUAGUGCUGCCAUGCAAGUUCCUUGGGUUUGAGCUCCUCAUUUUCUGGAAGGUGUGAUGUUUGUCGAUGUGGAUGGCCUAACUGUUCACAUUACAUGGUAUUUUGGAUCUGGGCUCUGGGCCCAACUCAACUCGGUGAAGAAACUGAAGCUUUUCUUGGUAACGGGCCUCAUAGCACUUCUAAGCUAGCUGACCUUCGUGAGGAUUUCAUUAAUAAACAUGACCGACGUAGUGGCUGUAGACAACCCAGCUCUGACCCACUUCCAGUACCCACUAAGCCACCUUUUUCACACCCAUCCCCAUACCCGUUUUUUUCUUACUCAUGCAUAUACCCCUAAUCCCAUGCAAGACUGUACCUAUUCAUACCCACACUUCCAUACCAUCUUUCAUCUUUAUGCCCCAUGCCUGCACUCAUCAAACCCAUUCCACAUUAUCACCUUUUCUCCCUCUUCAGACUCUUUCAUACCCAUUUCACCACUCCUUAUUCAUCAUCCAUCAUCCAGCCCUGUUCAUUCAUUCCAUCCUUCAACUUGCCACUAAGCUAUCCACAUUUCAGUCGCCUUUCAUUCCCUGUAUACUCGCCGCCCUUCAAUUAUUCCUCUCAUAUACUCGGCCAACCUCAUCCCCAUAUUUUAGCAUGCCCACAUUGUACCCCUCACCCCAUAUAGCUCAUCUUCGGUUCAUUUCAUCCUUUUCCUAAGUAUAAGGGACCCCACAUAUAGCUGCCGUCACCUCAUUAUCCUUCAUCACCACCUUCACAUAUCCAUUCUCUCUCAUCAACCUUUAUACCCAUUUUCUUUUCUCCCAAUACCCCACUAUAUUCCUGUCCUCCACCUCUCAUGAACCUGGACGUGUUUAGCUCAUUCAUUCAGUCACUAAGUCCCACGUCCAAAGCUUUGCUAGAUAAGUUCUCUAAAAUUGAUCGUGAUGCUGGAAUUGGAAUGAUGAACUAUAGGUCAGAACUGGACUUCAGUGGGAACGUUAGAGAAACAAUUUCAUUGUCCAAAAAUGCGCCUCCUGGUCCACCUCCAUUGCGUUCAAUAUGUCAACACAAGGCUCCUGUAUUUGGAAAGCCCCCCAAGGUGGUUCAGCUAUGUUGAGCUGGAGCUUGCUACUGGUGGAUUUUUACAAGCUAAUUUCUUGGCAGAAGGCGGGUUUGGAUCUGUCCACAGAGGGGUCCUACCUGAUGGCCAAGCAGUUGCUGUGAAGCAAUACAAAUUGGGUAGUUCUCCGGGUGAUGUUGAAUUUUGCUCAGAAGUGGAAGUCCUGAGCUGUGCUCAGCACCGAAAAGUUGUUAUGCUGAUUGGGUACUGUAUAGAAGACAGAAGAAGGUUGCUAGUUUAUGAAUAUAGAUGCAAUAGCUCACUGGAUUCUCAUCUAUAUGGACGCCAUCGAGAUCCACUAGAAUGGUCUACUGGAGAAAAAGUUGCUGUUGGAGCUGCUCGAGGUCUGCGUUACCUUCAUGAAGAAUGCAGAGUGGGUUGCAUUGUCCACCGUGACAUGCGACCCAACAACAUCCUCAUCACCCAUGAUUUUGAGCAACUGGUUGGGGAUUUUGGCUUAGCUAGGUGGCAGCCUGAUGGAGACACGGGUGUGGAAACAAGAGUAAUUGGAACAUUUGGGUAUUUGGCUCCAGAAUAUGCUCAAAGUGGCCAAAUCACAGAAAACGCUGAUGUAUAUUCUUUUGGGGUUGUCUUGGUGGAGCUUGUCAUAGCAUGGUUCAAAGUCGCGGUAUCGGUCAUUGACUCGGAGGGUCACGAGGCAUAUCGGUAUCGGUGUCUCGGUUCGGUAUCGGGCGAUACGUAAAAUAAGAUAAUUAAAAUUUUCAAAAAAUUAUAAAAAUAUUAUAUAAAUUAAAAAACAAAAUAGAUAUAAUUAAAUAAAUUGAAAAUUUUAAUAAAACAAUUUUUUUUUUUACAUUUAACUCAAAGUUAUUUAUGAUAAUAUUAAAAAUUGAGGAUUUAAUUAUCACUUUACCAUAUAAAUAUUUUAAUUUAUCAUUAAACCUCAUAUAUAUACCUUUCAUAUCAUUUUAACAAAUGGGUACUCAAUUUUCCUAAUUAGUUAUUAUUAAAUCAGAUUAAUAUAAAAGGUAUUUUUCAGGUAAAUUGGCCUUAAUUCUCCGUGUAAAUCCGUAUAAAAGGUAGCUUUUUUACUUUACUAAUUUGAGCCCCAAUCUCCCGUCCUCGCCACCAUUGCUGUCAAGACCCACAACAGAGCUCUCAAUCUCCCACCCUCGCACACCACCAUGCUGUCAAGACCCACAACAGACGACACCACUUGCAAUCGCAAAUUUAUAACCGUUCCUAACAUGGGAGGGGGAGCAAUCUGAUUGCGAGGGGUUGUCUUGUCGACGCCGCCGAUGAAAUAUUCAGUCCACUUGACGAGUCACCACCGCCGACACCAAAGCUCCACCCUCUGGUAAUGCUCGAUUUUGAGGAAAAUCAGGUAAGUAAAUCAUAAAUCAUGCCCUCAUCCUUCGGUGGUUUCUCCGCUUAUUUCCGAAUGGGUUACGGUUAGGGUUUUUUCUUCUUCAUCUUCUUUGAUCUUCUUAUUGAUGGUUUAAAAUUUCAGAAUAGGUGUUUGCUUUUGGAAGGGCAAUCUCUGGUUAAUUUUUUUUUUUUUAUUUUAUGAAAAAUUUGAAAAUUCUCUGUAACCUAACCGAGUCAACCGAGUUAACUCGGAAACUCAGACAAGUCAGUCGAGUCUAACCGAUUCCCAGUCGAGUUCAUGCAUUAUACCGUAUCUGGUAUCGGUCUCGUCGCGGCAGGUGUCGAGGCGGAUACGACUCGGCCGAGUCGUACCGGACUCGGCCGAUACUUUGAACCUUGUGUCAUAGGACGAAAAGCUGUGGACCUUAACCGGCCCAAAGGGUCGGCAAUGCCUCACUGAAUGGGCACGUCUUUUAUUGGAAGAGUAUGCCAUUGAUGAACUAGUAGACCCGCGGCUGGGAAACUGUUAUUCGGAGCAGGAGGUAUAUUGCAUGUUGCAUGCAGCAUCCUUGUGCAUACAGAGGGAUCCUCAUGCAAGGCCUCGGAUGUCACAGGUGUUACGCAUUCUGGAGGGAGACAUGGUUAUAGACUCAAAUUACAUGGCCACCUUUCAAGCCGCAUGUCUUUUUGCCUUUGUUUCACCUUUGUUUUUUUUUAAAAUAAUCCUUCAAAUCCCAAUUUUCAAAUAGUUUUCCAAUUUUUUUCAAAUUCUUCAAAUAAUCUCAAUUUUCUCAUCUUUCAUCCUUAGAAUUUUUAGGAUCACCCAAGAGUCUCAUUUUCAAUAAAAUUUGGCUGCCAUUUUCCUCCCGACAAGCCACUUUUGAAUUUUCUUUGUUUUCUAAAAAUGUUUUAAAAUAAGUAGGGAUUAAAUUCCGUAAUUCCAGGUGAUGGAAUUUAUGGAAUUGAUUCAUGCAAAAUGAACGGGCUUUGGUGGGGGCCCUACAUCAAAUAAAUUUGCUUUAAAAUAAAAAUGAAUUUUGAGUGAAGUGUCAUGCGUGCCUUUGAUGAUUCUGUACUCGUUUUUGUGACAUGUGAGUUAUGUUUGUGCACUUUAUUUUGCACUAACCCUCUCUCUUGAUAGCGCAUAGUGGCUCGCUGCACAGGUACACACUCAUUCUCACUCUGAUUAGUCUAUAUGCAUUUUCUGACUCUCGUAUGUACAUGUUUUGCUUUGAGUAUUCAUUGGUUUAUUCAUCCAUUGCCAUGUCAGCUUCAUCUCAUUAGUAGAGACCCGACUUUAGGGACUUAGAGGGGUGCUACGGUCUUUACCGUACCUUCCCGAUAAGUAACCUGACCCCCGAACCCGAUCCGGUUUUUCACAGACCGCCUUUUCCAAAAUAAGGAGUCACACUUAGGGUUUUUCUUUCUUAUUUUGUUUACCUUUUAAAAAUAAAACAAAAAUAAGUGGCGACUCCAAGUCAUUUUCAAAUAAUCAAUAAAAAUCAAUUUUUCAAAAUAAAAAUUGAGCUCACCAUCGAGUGGGAAACGCAUUAAGCGAGGCGAAAUGCGGGGUCCACAGCUACAUUCCAUAAAUUUCAUUUAAAAAAAUUGUUUUCAAAAUAUAGGUUGAUUUUAAAAAAAAUUUAAGGUUUUUUAUCCUAGUAUUCUUUUAAAGAAAAAAAAAGCAUAAAAUAAAUCUAUGCUUUUUCCACAAGAUGCUCUACUUUUUACAUAAAUUUUAUUUCUAAUUUUUGUUUUUAAAAACAAAAAAAUACAUCCAAAAAGGAUAUUGAAUUGUUGUGAAUAUACUGAUGACAAAAUAAAGAUGCUAAAAUUUAAAUCAAUUUCUCCUAGUUCAAUAUUAAAAUCAGCUUAAAUAAAAUGUAAUUUUUGUUGCACUUUUGUUUUUAAAAUUUUAAAAUUAAUAUUUUAAAACCAAUUUUGAAAAUAUGUGAGUUUGAUUUAUAAAUUUUGAUAGAAGAAAUUAAAAAAUAAGUGUAUCCAAAAACUUUUUACUUUCUAAAUUUUUUAAAAAUAAAUAUUAAAAUAAGAAAUCCUUAGUACUCAUGACUUGCUUCCAUUUUUUCCAAUAUCAAAUCAACGGCAGUGACAUAUUGUAGAUAUAUAUAUAUAUAUAGAACAUUAGAAUAUAUAAAAUUGGCCCAAAUUAUUAAAAAUCAUUUUUGUUCAAAACUUUUUUCUUUUGCAUGUAUAAAACAAAAACAAACAAACUGCAUUGAUUCAAUAAAAACCUUGUCCUCAAUAGCGUUUAACAUCAAAAACAGUUCAUCGGGACACAUGUAGCACAAAAAGGACCCACAGUUUACUAAAGACUUUCCAUGCUGCGUGAUUUGCGUGUGCCAUGGCAUUGACACUAGAUAGGCUGCGUGGCGCCUAUUGGCGGAGCCACAUAGUAUCCACUGCCCACGGAGUGCUGAGAUGCCCCCUGCCAUGUAGAUCAAAAUAUUGGAAAAUAAAUGGGAUUUAGUACUAGACAUGAAAUUUUAAGAAAACAAGGGUCGGUUUCCUGUGUUUUCUGUUUUUAAUAUUUUAUAAAAAAAAGAAUGUUUAACAAGUAGUUUUAAUAAAAAAAAAUAAAAAUUUAUUUAAAUAAAUUAUUUUUAAAAAUAAUUUAUUAUUUUAGUUUUAUAGAUUCAAUUUAUAUAAUACAAAUUUAGUUUAAUUUAUGUCUUAUUAAAUAAUUUUUGAGUUUUAAUUUAUUUUUUAAAAUUAAUAAAUUUUAUAUAUGUUUGAUUUGAUUAAUUUACUUAAUAAAAAAUUUUAAAAAAAGUAAAAGAAAAAGAAAAAUAUGUAUAAUUUAAAGAAAAAUCAUAUUUAAAGAUUUUCACUAUUAGUAUUAAAUCACCUAGAGAUAAAAAAAAAAGAUAUUAAAUUCAAUUAUAUAUAUUUUUUAAUUUUCAAAAUUUUCUAUAUAUAUUUUUUUCUUCUUUUAAUCUUUCCUUGAUGCUUUCGGGAAUCUUAGCAUUAAUUAUUUCCAAGAGUGUCAACAUUAUUUUCUCAACUUUCUGCUUUAGAGGAAUAAUUUCUUAUGAUCUUUCACGCGUGCAUAUGGGAGAAGCAGAGGAUGGUCGAUGUCAUUCAAAUUAAUGCUUUAGAAAGAUACACGAAACUAGAGAACUAGUUCCCUUAAAUUACAUUCAAAUGGAGUGGUCUAGGUAUUAAGAAAAAAACAGAACAAUUUUGCUGCGUCCAUCACCAUGUCUUUGGAAGAGGAUGGUCCCAAUACUUCAAUCACUUCCGCGUUUUCCAUACAUUAUACAGGCACUUGACUUGGUCUUUAGUUUCUUACAUUGAUAUCCGGGUCAACACGUGGGCUAUCAUUGUCACUUUCCCUGCCUCAUCCUCACCUCACCUAAAUCAUGCCCUGCAUAUAUGCUAGAGACAAAAGCGAAAUCCUCAUCGAACUUGUUGAUUUUGGGUAAAAUACUGAUCAAGUUAGAUAUAAGUUUCUCAAAUGAAGCAGCAACGUUGUGAUCUUCUCGUACAUUUUCUAAAUCCUGGUGUUUUCCAGGAAAAAAAAAAGUCACGUGCGAAAGCAUUGGACGCAGGGGACCAGGUCUGGUAAUGUAAGGGGAGAGUUACCAAUUCAAGAAGAAACAAAAAGAUGAUUGAUCUUUUUUUGUUGUCUACGAAUGCCACAUUUGGAUGCCGGUCGAUAACCGUUCAAAAAUGCCGGAGAUUAAUUCUGAACCCUGCAAUUCUCUAAGUGUCGGAUGGUUUUGUCAUAAUCUGGGUCCUUUUCAUAGUGUGAAUCAUUUGAUUUUAAUUGCAACUACGUCUAGCGUGUCAUCUUCUCUGUUUGAAAGUUGCGGACUUGGGGGCUGGAGACUUGGAGUCAAAAUAAGAGAGGGUGAAGGUUCUGUCCACAAUUCAUUUUUGGCAGGUUUACUUUGGAGGAAGGCCACACAAACUCAUUAACAUGGUUCAAAGUCGUGGUAUCGGUCAUUGACUCAGAGGGUCACGAGGCAUAUCGGUAUCGGUGUCUCGGUUCGGUAUCGGGCGAUACGUAAAAUAAGAUAAUUAAAAUUUUCAAAAAAUUAUAAAAAUAUUAUAUAAAUUAAAAAACAAAAUAGAUAUAAUUAAAUAAAUUGAAAAUUUUAAUAAAACAAUUUUUUUUUUUACAUUUAACUCAAAGUUAUUUAUGAUAAUAUUAAAAAUUGAGGAUUUAAUUAUCACUUUACCAUAUAAAUAUUUUAAUUUAUCAUUAAACCUCAUAUAUAUACCUUUCAUAUCAUUUUAACAAAUGGGUACUCAAUUUUCCUAAUUAGUUAUUAUUAAAUCAGAUUAAUAUAAAAGGUAUUUUUCAGGUAAAUUGGCCUUAAUUCUCCGUGUAAAUCCGUAUAAAAGGUAGCUUUUUUACUUUACUAAUUUGAGCCCCAAUCUCCCGUCCUCGCCACCAUUGCUGUCAAGACCCACAACAGAGCUCUCAAUCUCCCACCCUCGCACACCACCAUGCUGUCAAGACCCACAACAGACGACACCACUUGCAAUCGCAAAUUUAUAACCGUUCCUAACAUGGGAGGGGGAGCAAUCUGAUUGCGAGGGGUUGUCUUGUCGACGCCGCCGAUGAAAUAUUCAGUCCACUUGACGAGUCACCACCGCCGACACCAAAGCUCCACCCUCUGGUAAUGCUCGAUUUUGAGGAAAAUCAGGUAAGUAAAUCAUAAAUCAUGCCCUCAUCCUUCGGUGGUUUCUCCGCUUAUUUCCGAAUGGGUUACGGUUAGGGUUUUUUCUUCUUCAUCUUCUUUGAUCUUCUUAUUGAUGGUUUAAAAUUUCAGAAUAGGUGUUUGCUUUUGGAAGGGCAAUCUCUGGUUAAUUUUUUUUUUUUAUUUUAUGAAAAAUUUGAAAAUUCUCUGUAACCUAACCGAGUCAACCGAGUUAACUCGGAAACUCAGACAAGUCAGUCGAGUCUAACCGAUUCCCAGUCGAGUUCAUGCAUUAUACCGUAUCUGGUAUCGGUCUCGUCGCGGCAGGUGUCGAGGCGGAUACGACUCGGCCGAGUCGUACCGGACUCGGCCGAUACUUUGAACCUUGCUCAUUAACGAGGAAUGUAUUUCCUCUCGUAUAGGCGAGGAACAUGAUACUUGGAAAGGAAAUGGACUAUUUUAACCCUAUACUAAACAAUUGUUAAAUAUUUGAAUAUUUAAAGAUAAAUAAUUAUAAAUAUAAUUAAAUAAUUGUAUAUUUGAAUAUGUAAAAUUACUUAAAUGUUUUUAAAUUAUUAAAAAUACUAUAUAUUUGCUAAACAUACAAAUCAUGUAUUUUUCUAAUCUAUAGUUAUAAUAUCUCAAAUUUAAUCAUAUAAAACCCUAUUGAUUCAAAUUUUUGCUCGAAAAUAAUAACUUUAACAUGCUAAAAAUACUGUUGUAUCCAAUUGAUCCCCACAUAAUUAUUUUCAAUUUUUAAAAAUCAAUUUCAUAAUUUAAACUAAUGAUUUUUUUAAAAAUAAAAAUAAAUGCAAAUGAUAAAAAUAAAUUUUAUUCAUUUAAAUGAGAUCUUUUUUUAAUAUUUAAUAAUAAUGGUGAAAAUUAUGAGCAUAAAGAAAAAGUGAUAAGUUAUACACUUCAAAAACUGUCAUAUUCAUUAGAUUCUUUUUCCUAGACUACAUGUGAAAACUUCAAUAAAAUUCUUGAUUUGGGAUUCAUUACCUUGCAUUCUUUUUCUUAUAUUGAACUGGUGCCGUGUAUGUCUUGGGUGCUUCCUUUAAUAUUUCUUUUCCUGUACGUUUCUACCAAGACAAUUCAUGCACUUGAAGUUCUCUAUCACUUCCAUUUAUGUACUUGGAAAUAAAAGUUCAAGCUUUUCUUUUUUCUACUACUCAUUCUUCUAGCAACUAAGAGCUAAGAUGUGAAUUAAAACUUUCAGCUUGGGUUGAGAUUGCUUGAAAUUCAAAGAUCGACUCAAACAGCUAUCAGAUUUCAAAGAAAAUAUUUCAAUUUAAUUGAUAACCAUUUCUUAUGUUAAGCAGCUAGCAGAUAUUUAUGUACCCAACCAGAGCUUCAUGUAGGCUAGCUCCAUAUGUUCCUUUGGCAAAAGAGUUCAUACGUGCAUAUGGGAGGAGAAGUAGAGGAUGCUCCAUGUUAUUCAAAUUAAUGCUUUAGAAAGACAGGCGAUAUUUGAGAAGUAGUUCCCUUACAUUACAUUCAAAUGGAGUGGAAAUAAAGUUAUGCAAGCCAUUUCAUCUAAUAGGCAGUGAAAAAAAAACAAAGAACAAUUUGCUGCGAUGAAUCCAAUGAUCUCGCUCUUCGGUCGCAGCAACAAUUGAACCUUGCCAUUGUGAGAGGGUAUUUUCUUUUACCGUCUGUUUGGUUUCUGAGACAAUUGAGCAAAAGAAAAGAAAAGUGAAAGCGAGGUGGUUAGUAUUGGAUGAGUGGAGGGAGGGUUCCUUUUUCAUUUCCUACAUUUUCUCAGUAACCAAUUAUAUGAUUAAUUUGAUUUGAAAUUUUAUGCAUUUUGGUAUCUGAGUUUUAGAUUUUUCUCAAUCUAAGAGCUAGUUUCGUUUUAUUAGAUUUUCUCGAAAAGAUUAAAUCCAACUUGAGAGCUGAACCUAAUAUCAGAAUCACUUUUUUAAUUGUUGAAAGGAUUGAAAUUUUGUGCGAUGAAUUAAUAGCCGGUUCUUGCUCUUCCAUGUAUUCAAUUCUGUUUUGAAGAUGAGUUACUGCGUGUGUGUUUGUGGACAAUAUUUCUGGUUUGAGGUAAAUUAUUACAUGUCAAAACUAAUCUAGAUGUUCAAUAUUUCUAUGUUUAUGAUAGUUAUUUUGUUCUACUUCAAUUGAUCUUGUGUUUUCACUUAUAAUUGACUGACUUAUAUCCCAUUUAAUUUUCUGAAGCCUGGUUGAUCCAUUUCUAUGGUAGGCUAAGUUGUGGUGUGACUGCCCUUUCUGGCUAGAUGACUUGCGAGAUUCCUGUGUUUGUGAAUGCCUUGAAAGUGAGUUCCCUGAAUCAUUUAAGAAGCUCUUUAAUCAUGACUUUUCAUCAAAAGAUCUCAUUUAUCAAGAGGGAAAGCCGCAGGCUGUUGUCAACUGUACACUAGAUGCCAAAGCUUUCAAAGGCUGGGUAGAAGUAAACAAUAUGAUGAGACUGACAACGGUGGAUUCUUUUUAGUCAAUAACACUGUAUCUUUUUUGCUUUUAAGUUACUCUUAUGGUUUUGAUGGUUCAUUUUCAUUUGCAGCAGAGAUGACAUCUGAAUUAGUGUUGGGGUUCCUAAUCAGGGUUUAGGGCUGGCUAGGUUCUGACAUUUUUCUUGCUUCUGCUAUUUUUUUCCUUUAAAUCUAUCUCAGUUGAAGUUAUUUCCUUCUCUAUUUUUUACCACUGUUAUUUCUUUCUUUGCUAUGUCACCUGCUUAUAAAAGUUAGAUCUUCACACUUUUAAAACCUUAGUUUUGUUAAGCUAUAUUAGCCAUCUUCCUUAUAGUUUGACAUGCAUGGAGAAUGUGAUUAAAUGUAGUAGUAGUAAACUAGUAUAUGGUAAUAUUGUUUUCCUCGUCAAAGUAAGCAUUGUAUAGUUGUUGUUUGGUUCCUUUAGCUUAUUUAGCUUAUUAUAAUUUUAACUUUAAAUGCUUAUUAUAUUUAACAUGGUCACUUUGUAUCUUGUUUUAGUUUAUUGUAUGGGCUCCAACAAGGGAGAGCACAUUGUAUGAAAAGGGCUCUUGAUGACACUAUUACAUUAAAGGAAAAAUAGUUACCUGGUUAGUCAGGAGAAAAAAUGCUGGCAUUUCCCUUUUGGACUUUCUCUGUUUGUUUCUUGGAAAUAACAGGGGAAAAAAUAUAAAGAAUAUCCAAUAAUUUUCCUUCUAAUUCUUACCCUAAAUGAUUGGUGGCAAGGCUUAUUUUUGUGCCCUUGGGUAAAAAAAGGGUACAGAUACACAUUUUAGAGGAGUAUUCUGAAUAAUAGAGUUGUAAAAAGCAGGGCGGAAAUUAUGCUCUGUUUGGUUUUACAUGGCAACAAAUACUGGAAACAAUUUUCCGUUGCUCCAUGUGUUUGCGUAAGAAAAUUGCUCUCGUUCAUCCCAUUCAUAUUGUUCAUUCACUGAUAUGAAGACCUUCAAGAUGAUGGAUCUUCAUAAGCCAGUAUUAGAUUUUGCUUAUUUUGCAUUUUUUUUCCCACUAAAUGCAGUUUUAUAUCUAAAAAUCCAGCCUAUAGAUAAAAAAUUAUAAGAAUUUUUGCUCAAUUGGGUUCCUUGUGGGUUUCUUUUUUUAACUAAUAUAAAUAAUAAAUAUAACUUUUAACAUUAUAAAAUAUACAUCCUCAUGGCACAUAAUUGGUUGGUUCGAUGAAAUUGGUGUUUAAUUACCUAUGUGAGGAUCAGCACCUUGAUUCUUGAGUUCUUUGUACUUUUGACAAAGAGCACAUACACAGUAGCAUCAAUGAACCAACAAAUCCCUACUUGGAGCCUUUGACAGUUAAAAUAGUGCCUGGAAUUUGGACUUGAGCAAAAAGAGUUUACUCCUUUUGUUUGAGGCUGAUGACAGUUGACACCAUCCCUUAUUCUUUAAAAGUUCCUAAUAUUUGUAGAACAUCAGCUUCACUUUGUAGGAUGUUGGUGGUCAGGAUAAUGUAUUAACAUUUGUUUACGAACCAUAUUAUGCUAUUCUUUGCAUAUUUCAAAAUAUAUACUCAUAUAUAGCCAUUAUUUCUGUAUAAGAUUUUUAACUCUCUCUUUCUCUCUGUCAUGCCAUAUCUUAUUGACAAAGUUAUUACUAAAAUUUUAAUUCAUAUAAUGGCUUAAAAAAUAAUUUGAUUCUUACAUAGAUUCCUCCAUUGUGGAGGCAAUAUUUCCAAAACACACAAGGUCUUAUAUUUGUGGUGGAUAACAAUGAUAGAGAUCAAGUUGUUGAGGUCAGGAAUGAGUUGCAUAGGAUAUUGUUGAAUGAGGUAUCUUACUAUUUAGUAAAAUCCAUCUUUGUGGUGGAUAACAAUGAUAGAGAUCAAGUUGUUGAGGUCAGGAAUGAGUUGCAUAGGAUGUUGAAUGAGGUAUCUUACUAUUUAGUAAAAUCCAUCUCUAUUUAAAUUUAUAUAUAUAUAUAUAUAUAUAUAUAUAUAUAUGCAUAUUCGCAGAACUGGACUACCCAGUUUCGUCAAUUUAAAAUUUCAGUUUCCUAAUUAAUUGAAAUACAAUAUAAAUUUAGGAUAUGUGUGAGACCCACAUAGAGGGUCAGAACGCCAUAUCCGGCAAUUUCCGAUCAUCUUCAAAGCAUUUGGAACAAGUAAAGAUAGUGUUGCAGUGCAUUUUUCUCAUGGCCCUGCAGUCAGCCUCUUCAAUCUUUCAUGCACCCUUGAAGAGUCUAUGCCGAUUCUAGAACAAACAGCCUGCAAAAAUCAAUCAAAUGACAUUAAUACUAAACAAAGACUGGCAAUGGAAUCAAUCUGUUCUAUUGCAUCUGAAGAUAUUUCUACCUGUGAAUAAACAAUAUAGUUGAUCCUAUCGCCAGCACGGGAGUAGCUAACAAAUACAACUGGAGCUGCUUCCUCCUCAAGAACAUCUAGGGCCCGGGUCAGGAUGAACUUGUCAUUUGACCUGCUAAUCAAACAUACCUCUACCGCAGAAUCCAAUUCUGUCACUGUGAAAACAGUUGACAUCGAGCCCCUCAUGUUAGUAUUCAACCAAGAUGAAUACCCUAAUUUCAUAUAUACUGGAAUAGUCUUGUUAAAAUCAACCAAGAUGAAUACCCUAAUUUCAUAUAUACUGGAAUAGUUAACAAGGUAAAUACCCUAAUUUCAUAUAUAUUGGAAUAUUUAACAAGGUGAAUACCCUAAUUUCAUAUAUACUGGAAUCUCCUGAUUAAAAACAAUGAGUAGAAAAAUAAUAGCGGAAGUAUACCUGAAUCCAUUGAAGAAGAAACCUUAUAGGAAGAAAACCCUUUGAGAUGGUCUUCCAAUUUUAGCCACUAGAUUCUGUGUCAAUUUCUCUCUGAGAGGAUUUUCAGAAAUUGGAAUGCGUAGUCGUAGAAUGGGGACCAUAACCCUAUUUAUAAACCGCUAGGGCAGUUUUAAUUUUAUCACAAUUAUAUUUCUGCCCCUCAUAGAAAUAAUAAUUGUCUAAUGGUAUCUACACAAUAAUCUCAUGACAAUUAUACCCUUAAGCCAAUUAAUCAAUUAUUAAUUAGAUCACUAUAUUUAGACUUAAUUAAAUGAUAGCACACACAUUUUAAUUAUUUACACGUGUGACCCAAAUUAUAGAUUAAUUACAAAAAUUAAUCUAACAAUCUCCCACUGGGCCACAUGCAUAUGUAAUCAAAUAAAUGUGUUAAACCUUAUGAGCUCAAAAUUUGCUAUCAUGUCCUUAGGGUAUAUCCGAACAAUCUCGUCCAUUAACUAUACUGACAUAGGAUCAAGGUGGCCUUUGUUACAUCAAUCGUUACUAGACCAAUCAAUGGUCACGUAUAUCUGCACAGCUAAAUGACAUAGAUCAAUCAUGAGUGCAUAGCAUGGAAAUUACAUGCAAUGUGAUCUAUUCAUGCCUAUUUCCAACUGGUCCAACUUAACUUUAUUGAGAUCAAAUCUUUAGCAUAAUUUAACAGAGUGCAAUAAAAUGAAUACUUUAUUUCUGCAGAACACAAUCCAAAUGUAUAGAUAAAGUCUAAACAUAACAUAGAGCAAUAUACAAUGAAUAAUAUAAACUCCCACUAAAUUUGGAUAUCCUCAAAUGAGACAACACCCAUAUGAGCAGUGUGCUCAUGAAAGACCUUGGGUGGU